ACUUCUUCAAGACUUGUUCAUCCCAGCGGUGCAGCAAGCAUGGACCAGAGAUCAGGUACCCGUUCCGUCUUUCGACACAACCUCCAUCAUGCGGUGCACCUGGUAUGCAAUUAUCAUGCUCUGGACAAGACACCAUCCUGGAUCACCCUGUUCUUGGUUCCUGCAAAGUGACCAUGAUAUAUUACAGGCAUGUUAUCAUGAACGCCAUUCCACUUGUAGAUUCCUUACCUCACUGCCCACUUCAGAAGCUCGUGUCAGUAAAUCAAUCAACUGCUGUGUACAAACCUCAUACGUCGGAAGUUGCAAGUGUAGUAGGUUGUUCAAGAGAUUCCAUAGACACAAACCAAUAUGGUAUAGUUGGCCCAACCUCUUGCCCCAGCCUCGCUAACAACGCAAGCCAGUUCUGGUAUUUGGCAUAUCCCUAUACAUACAUGUCUAUUCUUCCAUUGGGCUGCACAAUUGUUUCCAAAGACAUCCCAAUGCCCUACAGUUACGAUAAAAAUGGUCCAAACUUUGACAUCUCAAUCUUCACCGAAACAGCAAAAAGAGUCAUCAGCACUGGUGAGACUGUAUUCACUUGGUACACAAGUAACGUUACUAGUAUUUGCCAACAAUGUGAACGUGAAGGUCGGCGUUGUGGCUUUAGCUCUCAAAGGAAUCAAGCAUUCUGCCAGCAUCAUAGUAUGUCUCUUUCUCAAGUAUAAAUUCAGUUUCAUUAUGAUGACUUGUUUUAGUUUGAAUUUUCACUUCUCUAUCUAUUACAUCUCUUAUUUCUCGAGUAUUCAGUUUUCAAACUAUCCAGGAUAUUUUUCACAAAUAGUCAAACUAUCUAGCAAACUGUGAAUCAGCCAAAGGCUAGCUUGGAUGAACAUUUUGGUUCUAGGUUCACAACUGCAAUUUUUCUCAAAGAAAAUUUCAUCAAGAGAUGAUAAUGUCUGAUCAUUAUGAAAAUCAAUAUUUUUUUUUGUAAAAUUCUCAUAGAAAAGGUUAUAAGCAAUGGCAGCACAUUUUAGCAGAUAGCAAUGAUCUAAAGAGCAAGCUUUAUUUGUAUUACUCUAGACAUUGGUAUUAACUUAGAACACUAAAUUGGAUUCAUAUGGUUCAAAUUUACUAGUUUGGAAUACUGUAAUAGCUACUUGAACAUUAAAGUUAUAUGCAAAUGGCACAAUUUUACUAGUUUGGAUUACUGUGGGAGGUACUACGGUGAGAGUAGUCACCAUCUCAAUUAGACCUUUUGGUGCUAGAGAUGCACUUGAUAGUGCAGUGGCAAGGGGUGUGUGGUUUUAACCCCGAGGUCCCGUGUUCAAUCCCUAACACGCUCACAAUUUCUUCUUAAAAAAUGGUUGGAGGGACAUCUCUCCCUCCAAAUCUCCUAUUUUUUUAGACCUUUUGGUGGUAAGACCAUAGUCCUGAUUGUUAGAAAGUUGCACCCAUCGAGUAAUCAAGAAUGUACCAGUAUAAUUUACAGCAUUAACAAGUUCCCACAGUGUUAACAGGGUAGAAACCAGAACAUAUCCAUCUUACACAACGUUGGUACGAAAGUUGUGCACAUGCAUAUUUCCAGCGAUGCUCUGUAAGAUUAUUGAAUCAGGUAAUUUCUUCCUCCUAGGCACUAUAGAUAAAAACGUCUUACUUCUAUGGUUAAGACAAGAAGCCUCCUUAUCCUAUUUCUAUAUGACAAUGCCAAAUAAACAAGCCAUCUAACAAUCAGGAACUAAUUGUUUCUAGGAAAAAUUAUAGGUGUUUCUCUCAAUUUAUUUCAUCCAUAAAUCAUGUCAUAACUAAUAAUCUUUCUUCAUAUGUCCAGGUCCGCGUGUCACAAUCAUUGCAGGUAAGCAACUAAUUUUUUUCUUCAUUCUUCCUGAACUGCUCAUUCUGUAGAAUCAUUGCCUUUUCUCCAAGUGCAACUAGCUAAAUUUCUCUCUUUUUUUACUCAGCAACAUCAUCUGUGGGCACAUUUAUAGUUCUUUCAUUAAUUGUGGCCACUGCACUCUACAUCUCCUUGAAGUCAAGGUACAAUGAAGAGAUACAUUUGAAAGUCGAAAUGUUUCUGAAGACAUAUGGCACAUCAAAACCCACAAGGUACACAUUCUCCGAAGUUAAGAAGAUAGCGAGGCGAUUCAAGGACAAAUUGGGCCAUGGUGCAUUUGGAACUGUAUAUAAAGGUGAGCUACCGAAUGGAGUUCCUGUGGCUGUUAAGAUGCUAGAAAACUCUGUAGGAGAGGGACAAGAGUUCAUCAAUGAAGUCGCAACCAUUGGGCGAAUUCAUCAUGCAAACAUUGUCCGCCUCCUAGGCUUUUGCUCUGAAGGAACACGACGGGCUUUAAUAUAUGAACUCAUGCCCAAUGAAUCAUUGGAGAAAUAUAUAUUCCCACAUGGUUCUAAUAUUUCAAGAGAACUCCUAGUACCAGACAAAAUGCUAGAUAUUGCAUUAGGCAUAGCCCGAGGAAUGGAGUACCUGCACCAAGGGUGCAAUCAGCGCAUUCUCCAUUUUGACAUCAAGCCUCACAACAUACUGUUGGACUACAGCUUCAAUCCAAAGAUUUCAGACUUUGGGCUUGCCAAGCUAUGUGCAAGAGAUCAAAGCAUUGUCACAUUGACUGCAGCAAGAGGCACAAUGGGCUAUAUUGCACCAGAACUAUAUUCUCGGAAUUUUGGAGCAAUUUCAUAUAAGUCGGAUGUCUACAGCUUUGGCAUGCUGGUGUUAGAAAUGGUGAGUGGGAGGAGGAACACAGACCCAACCGUCGAGAGCCAAAAUGAGUUCUACUUUCCUGAGUGGAUAUAUGAGAGAGUUAUCAAUGGGCAGGACCUGGUGCUUACCAUGGAGACAACACAAGGAGAGAAAGAAAUGGUGAGACAGCUAGCAAUUGUAGCCCUAUGGUGCAUUCAGUGGAACCCAAAAGACCGGCCCUCAAUGACAAAGGUGGUAAACAUGUUGACGGGGAGGUUGCAGAAUCUGCAGGUGCCCCCUAAGCCCUUUAUAUCGUCUCAAAAUCAACUUGUGAUUUAGAUCAUGAGACCGCAUCGCCAUGGUUUGGACUUUGGAGACCAGCAAAGCAAUGGAGCUUGGCCAGCAUUUCCUAUAAAAUGGCAUCACCAUGGUUUUGUGCCUGAGUGACAGAUAAUCCACAUAUCAUAAAAUAGUUCUUAGUGAGCUGAAGCAUGCACAUAUAGUGUUUAAUUAUUAAACUAAACUGCGCAACCAGGUAUAUGAUAUAUCACCAUGUACUCAUGUAAUUCUGAUAUCCAGCAAACAUAUGCCAAUGGAUUUUAUUUGCAAUAUAAUAAUAGUUGAUGACAACUAAAUUACCUUAUUCCAUCGUUGCUGCUAGUCCACAAAUCAUCCUUGCUGAACGCCACAAUAAAGUUGUGGUAUUUGCUCUCCAUUCCCUUCAACACAAGAGAUCGAUCCCGCAGCGUGUCAUAUUUACUCCCAGUGCUGCAUUUUCUUUUCAAGAGUAAAAAAAAAAGUGCUGCAUCAUCCAGAAGAGGAAAAAAAAUUAAAAAUAACAAGGGAAGAAAGCUAAGCAAAGGGAUUAUUACCAAUGCAGCGAGGCUCAGGAUGGAAAUUGACUAAUAAUGUGGGAAACGGAGGUGGUGUGAGGGACUUGAGAAGACGAUACCAUUGAAGACAUCGGGCUUAUAGAUUCGACCGGAUCUUGACACGGUAGCAAUAACAGAUGGCGUCAUGGCGGCGGUAUGGGCGACGCCGAGGCUUGGUCUCGCAUAUACCGGGAGCAAACGGCACCUUACCCAUCUGUCGACGGAGGCGAGAAGCGGCGGCGGAGGCAGACCGCCGCAUUAACUGGAGCUCUCGCCGGGAAGAGUGGUGGGGGACGGAGGAAGGAGAAGGGAGUAAUUUUUUUUUUCUUUUUUGAGAGAGAGAGAGAUGGAGAAGGGGAUGAUGAUUGCUGGUCCACAGGUUAGGAUGGCCCAUCUAAGGCCUUGCUUCGAUGGCCCAACUAAUCCCCGCGGCCGGACGGUUCACAUGUGGCCCAAUUCACGAGCAAAUAUAAUGCUCAACUCACCAGCAGCUAGUACAAGAACACUUGCUUAUUUAUAGUAGUAUUUCAUACACCGAAAAAAGAGUUUAAGCGUAGUAAAUAUCAAUUGUUGGAUCCAUGAAUAUGGAAUAAUAACAGCCAUUAUUUAUGAACGCUAAUUGCUAGCUAGAUCCAUCAUUGUCAUCACAGCCUAGCUACUGGCUAAUUCAGCUAUUCCAUCGUCCUCUUCUGAGAUUGCAGUAAGCUCGGAGGAGUGAAAGUAAGAAUCCAUGACUUGUGGAGGUGGCAUGCCAUUGCCAAUGCCAUCCCCAUCGCAGAAAAAUGGUCUCAGAGGCACUUGCAACGCAUCCACAUCCCCUUCGAGCAUCUCUAUUGCCUCGCUCAUCGUCGGGCGAUCGUGUGAUUUCAUCUGAAUGCACCACAGCCCAACAAGGCAUAGCUUCCUCUCCAGCUCAUGCAUGUCAGCAACAUUGGAUAUCUCAUCAACUUGUUGAUCUGCUAUCAGUUGGUCAUACACCCAUGCUGGGUAGUAUGCCCUGCUUGCAUUUGAGUUUGCAUUUGGAUCUGCAUUCCUUCUACCUCCAGCCAUCUCAAGCAACAACAUUCCAAAGCUAUAAACAUCGGAUUUGUCGGAUAUAACGCCAAAGCUCCGGGAUACCAUCUCAGGAGCCAUAUAACCUACUGUUCCCCGUAAAGCCCUAUCUGACACAAAGCUCUUCUCCCUUGGGUACAGUUUUGCGAGGCCGAAAUCAGCAACCUUUGAAACAAAGUUAUCAUCAAGAAGGAUGUUGUCUGGCUUGAUAUCAAAGUGUAGAAUCUGCAUCUCGCACCCCUGAUGCAGGUAGUUGAUCCCUCUAGCAAUGCCUAGAGCAAUCUCAUUGAGCUUGUCCCAAGAGAAGCUUCUCUCGGAUGAGAAGAUAUACUUGUUUAGAGAUCCUCUAGGCAUGUAUUCGUAAACCAAUGCCCUUCUCAUUUCUUCGGAGCAGAACCCCACAAGACGCACCACGUUGAUGUGAUGGAUCCUGCCUAUGGUGGCAACUUCACUGAUGAAGUCUUCUCCAUUGCAAUUGGAGUUGCCAUCCAACAUCUUGAUGGCGACAUGAACAUCACCCGGGAGAAACACACCCUUGUACACAGACCCAUAUCCUCCUUGGCCUUGCGAGUAAGAAAAAUCAUCACGGCCAACGGUGCGAACACAAACCUGCAUAGCACUGCAUACGAAAAGGCUAAUGAAUUUUGCAAUGCAAUAUGUGGUGUGACCAGCUUGAUAGUGUAUACUGUAGAAUUGAGUGGAAUGCAAAAGUUAAUUAAUUACCAGCAAUCCACUUGACAAGACACAAGGUGUAUAGUAUGAAGAGCUUAUGGUAAAGAGAAUGAUCAACGCCGCGGAUCAUGUCGCUAAUGGAAAGACGCAUGUCGAUGUAAUACUCUCUGGAUAAGCCUAUCAUGCAUCCCCAGAAACGGAGGUCAAUAGAAAGGAUGUCAAUGAUCCGGUCUUUGAUGCCUACUCUGGGUAAUGGAUUGUCAUGGCUAUCAGCUAAGCUGCAAGAUCAUUUAUUGGAAAGAGUUAAUUAAACGGGAUUGGAGGAGAAGAGCUAAACAAAAUCGGCCCUUUUCAGAUGAUAAAGUAAAGGUUUCGAGAUUAUAAGGAAUUAGAGCCUCACUCCGGUGCUUUCUACUUAUAGUAGAAAAUAAUCCGAGCCGUUGAUCGUAUAUAAUCAUAGGGUUGAGAUCUAAUUCUACUACCACCACUCUUAGUGGUAGUAGAAACGUGGAGGGGUAUAUUUGUCCAUAGAUAAUAAUUCAUGUAAGGGUAUUAUCGUAAAUUAUUAUUCAGUAACUCUAAACCUUCGCCAUUCUCAAGCGCCUGACCCCAUCCAUCGUCGACUUCGUCGCUUGUCCAUCUCCCUCUCCGCCUCCAUCAUCUCCAGCGCGAUCGACAUCUCCUCCCCCUCCAGCGACCAAGGGUGGCCCUUCUCCUCUUCGCCAAGCCGCUGAAGGUCCUUGCCCACGGCGGACGACUAGUCCUGCCAUGUAGCUUUGACCAAGACAGAGGAGAUCGCGGGGCAAUUGGACGGCGGACGAAGUUCGACGGGUUCCGGCGAACGGCGGCGAGGUAGGAGGAAUGGGCAACUGGGAAUGAACGAGUGUAGUAUGGGGAUGUGGUGGACGGCUCGGAUUGGCCAAGAAAUGAGCUAUGGCAGCCGGCGACGUGCGGUGGCGGAGCUCGAGUGAGGCGGUGGCAUUUGGUCGCCGCCGGUGACCGUACGAGCGGCUAAGGGACUUGGGAAUGAGGUGUUUGGAUGCUACAUGAAUAGGGACUGUGCAUCACUUCACAAGCUGCCGCGGAGCUAAUGCAAAUGCUUUUGCAUAAACACGACAGUAUACCAGGGAGUUUGCAGCAAAGAGUGAAUCAAGAUGUUCUAAGCCCCCAUUAGUAGACAUUGUCCUAUGACUGAAAAAAAAAUCAAUUUAGUGGCAAUUGAGGGCUUAGCUACCCCCAUAUGAGCACAAGAAAGGAAUCAUGUAGCGAUGAUUCAGAGCGCCAGAAUAUGACAGAAUGCAGUUAGAUGUUUCGAUGGUAUGAAAUAUAAAACAAAUCCUGAAUUACAGCUCUGACUGAAAUGCAAUUUACAUAUGGGCAAAACUCUGAUAGUGAAAAAUCUCAUUUAAGCAGUUUAUCAGAUUUUUUCAGUCUCACUCUUUCAGGAGCAAAACAACUUGUUUACUGAUCCAGGAGCAGGAUGACAUAUUUCAGUUCAAAUUGCCUGGACUCAUCUCACCCCAUCACAGUUGCACACAAAAAAAAUGCACAACACACUGACAUGGUCAACACAUUGACAUUACUAGUAGUCCAUCACUAUUCACCUUUUCUUUUUUACUUAAACCAUUACUGAACAAUGAAUAUAUUGGGACAGUCACAAGAUCCAAUAAACAUCAGUAUCUCAAAGCUCGUCAAUUAGUCAAUGAAGUAUUCGACACACCAUACAACUGAAUAUUACAAGCAGAAUGAACUGGGCAGGCCUUCUUGUUGUCACGGAGCCACUUCGCGAUGUUGCAAUCCUCGUGGAAGUCAUGCCCGCAGGAGAGCGUGCGGACAGUCGCCGGCCACCAUCCUGAGCUAGCAGAUCGGGCAUGCCGCAUGCAUCGUUCAGCGUCCGAUCCAGUGUCCUGACGCCGCCGCGAGCACGGAUGUGCUGAAACCUCUGAGCAUUGCGGUCUAUCAGGUUCGCCGGCGACGCCUUCCACGGCAGCACGCAGCGAGCGACACUGUUGCAUAUUCUGCAUCUCAUGCCGUGCUCGCGGUCGAGGAGGUGCUCGCCGAUGCAAGCCACAAGACUCGGGCACGCACGGAGGGGGACCGGGGAUACGGCGCCGGAAUGUAUCGCAUCUGCCUCCCAAGUGGCCGCAGCCCACACAAUCGGAGCAACACGGAAUGGAGAUCACUACCCGCCGGCGGAAUGGAUUGAAUCCUCCAAAGUGGGCGCUGCCAAGAAUCUCAGGUCUUGCGCAGGGGCUCCGGCGGAAUCGGACGCGCGCGGAAGGCCACUCGCAGCGGACAGAAGGCCACGACGGCGAACCAGGAUGCCGGCGUGGAAUAUAGGAGAGGAGGAGAAACGGAUAGACAGGUGAGAGGUGGGAGGAGGGGACGCCUGAGGGUUUCGCUGCACCGCGCCACGGCAUGCCGGGAGGAGUAGCGAUAAGCAACGUGCGUCGGGCGAGAUGCAGUGCUUUUCGUCGGACCUGAUGCGAUCAAGCUAAGACCGACCGAGACAGAGAAAAUAGAUCCUGCCAAAAUUGCCCCUAAUAUAUAUUAGGAGAUUACUAAUCUACCCUUUAAAAUGAACGGUCGAGAUUAAUUCUACUUGUAGUAUAAUACUCCAAGUAGAAAGCAUCGGAGCAUUGCUCAAGGAAUUAAGGCGCUCACCUAACAGACUUGUUGAGGCAUUUUUUGAUGAGACCAAACCAAUUAAGCCAAGGUGUUGGAAAUUUGACGGCAAAUCCACCCCUCAUGGAUUUUACAACCUCUGCAUAACUAGUGUAUUCGGGCAGAUUAACGGAGUUCCAGCCACCGCCGAUAGGAGUCAUGGCCAAGUAUCCACAAGAAGGUUCGAUGUCUUCGACAGAUGGUACUAAAGAACCAAAAAAUGGGAGCAUAUAAUAAACGAAGGACAAAGCCGUGGUCAGGCAAUCCACGGGAUGGUACACGUACAGGUAUUUGCUACUACUGUUCGUAAUUAGUUCCUGCGAACAAUUGACAAAGCCAACCCAAGUAAUCAUAUCAUCAAGGCCCAAGUCCCAGCUGUCGUGUGAUCCUGGGAUACCCAGACCAACGUAAGGCAGCUGGUCCGAGCGAGGAAGAGGGCAGCUGCUGUUUGCAUCAUCCUGCAGGUUGGCGUCGACGACCCAAAAGAUGGAAGCAGUGUAGUUGAUGCUACUCACAUAGUAUUUCCCUGUGUUGAUCCGAAUGGUGGCCUUGCCAUCAUCGCUGCUGCAGUCUAGCUCGUACGACCGGAAGCCGCACCUGCGACUGCGAGGGUCGCCUCGCCGGCGAAAAGGAUACGAUACGUUUUGGAGAUGGCCGCAGGAGAAAGGUUGGCACUGAUGCCGUCGUCCUUGGACACGGACGACGUGAUGAUCAGCAUCCGCUACCACAAGUGCGAGCACAUACAGGACGGUCGACAAAGCAGCUGCUUCCAUUGCAUUUGCAUACCCUGUAUAUACUAAUAUAGUGUAGGCUACCAAGCUAGCUACUUGUUGCUCGCUCGGCCGGCUCCUACUUAUAAGUACUACGACGUACGCUACCCGGCCAGGGUUUUCAAUUUCGAAAUUCAAUUUUAUGCCGGAGGUUACCGAAAUUACCAAAAUUUCGGAAAUUUCUGACCGAAAUUAUUUGAAAAUUUGACUGAAUUUGAAUAAAAUUUGACCAAAUUCACAUAAAAAUGUAAAAAACUGAAAAUUUCGGGCGAGAUUUAAGCAUGCCGGUGAGGGCAAAAUUUCUGACCGAAAUUUCGAACCGAAAUUUCAAAUCCUGACGCUACCAAGGAGGGGAAAAGAGAAAAUUGAGUAUCCGUAAAACGAGCUUAGCAUGGUUUUUAAUUGGAUAUUAAUUGAGUAUACGUAAAAAUAGAAAUUAGCGCAUAAUUAAUUGUUUUAAAUUUAGAAAAUAGAUUAACAUGGUUUUUAAAAAGCAACUUUUAGGUAUAUAUAUAUUUUAAAAAAAUACUCCCUCCAUCUAUUUUGAUAGUUAUAUUUCAUCUUGGCAGGAUACAUAAUUCUACUUAUCAUCCAUUUAAACAUGCUACUAGUCAUUCCUCGUAAACAAUCGAUUCUUUAAUAUUUACAUUUCUCGAUGCCCAUGUAGCUAAUUUUGUAUGGAAGAAUAGAGAGUCGUGCAUUAAAUCCGAGAAAGUCAUUAAGAGAAUAUGUUGUUGGAUUGAAAUAUGCCUAUCAAAAAUAAAUUUUUCAGAUUUGAAAACAUGACUAUCAAAAGUAGAUGGAGGGAGUACAACUGUUAGUAGUAUGUAAACAUGCACAUGAAAAAAUGAGUAGUUUUUUCAUUCUUUCAGCUCGGCCGAACCUUUGAAGUUCGAAUUUAUAUUAGGUAGAUCUUAUGCUAUAGGUCGUAUCCAUUACAUUCUACCUCCAUCCCAAAAUAUUGCUAUCUAGCAUGAGAUUUGACCUAUGUCCAGAUUCGUUGUCUAGGAUGGGUCAAAUCUCAUCCUAUGUAGCAAUAUUUUGGGACGGAGUAAGUAUUUGUUAUUUAUAUUAAGUUGACCUUACGCAACCAUCGAACUCAUUUGAUGAAAGAAAAGGCAGUAAAUUAAGCACCGAACUGGACGGCCUCGUCCAGUCCAGAUCAAGUGGCCAGAGACAAAACUCUCGGCUCGCAGUGCUGAAAGCAGUAACUAAACAGGCUACUCGGUAGUAGAAUAUACUACCUUUCCAUUUUUCUUAUGAUGUUGAUUUUUCGUAUAAUGUUUGAUUAUUUGUUUUAUUAAAAAAUAGUAUAGAUAUGUAAAAGUUUGAUGAUAAAAUCCAGUCAUAAAAAAAUAAAUAAUACUUAGUAUAUAUUUUUUACUGAAUUGAAUGGCCAAACGUUACGUCAAAAACUAAUGGCGUCCGCUGUAAAAAAUAAACAUACAUGCGUGUUGCAAACUUCUGACUGUAGUACUGUACGACAACAAAGCUCAACUUUUGACUGUACUUGUAUGACAACAAAGCUCGCGCGUGAAUUAGCAUUUCUGCGUGCACCAGGCCUAAUUUCCACACGGGAAUUAACCUUUACUAACCGGUUUCUAUGUUAAUCGCUCAUGAGAUUGGGCAUGAGUCAUGAGUGGACUGGAGCAAGUCUACGAUGCUCCAGGUCAGUCCUGGCCGGCAAGAUUUUCCAAAGUACCCACUCCGUUUCAUUUUUUUUAGAUAAUGGACCCACUCCGUUUCAUAGUUUUUGACUUCUUUUACUGGUUAAACUCUAAUCAAAUUUAUAGGAAAAUACGAUAAUAUUUUUAAUACAAAAUAAAUAUAUUAUUAAACUAUAUUAAAUAUUAGUUGUAAUGAAACUAAUUUGGUGUUUUAGAAUUUAGAUAUUGCUAAAUUUUUCUUUAAAUUUAAUCAAACUUAGAAAUGUUUGACUAGAAAAAAAAAAGUCAAAUUGACUUAUAAUAUGAAAAAAAUGACUUGUAACAUGAAACACGGGGAGAACAUACAGCGCAUUGUUGCUUACAAUGAAGCGCACAGUUGCAAUAUCCUGAUCCCACAUAUAUAUAUCCACACCUCCACUUCAUGUACAUAUAUGGAAUACCUACAGAGUACAGACUACAGUUAUCUCUUUUUUUUUUCAAGGGAACAUACUACAGUUAUCACACACACAAUUGCUUUUGCACCUAGAGUCAGAGAUCAAUAUGAGUAGCAAAUUCCUCGCCAUAUAUCUCCUGCUUGCUUUCCUCAGCCAUGGCACCUGCAGCUACAUGGCCACCACAGCUUCAGGCUGGGAUGACCACGACUUCUUCAGGCAUUGUCCACCGUCCCGGUGCAGCAAGGAUGGACCAGAGAUCCGUUUCCCUCACCGGCUUGAAUCCAGCAAUACAUCAUCAGCAUGCCGCGCUUCAUGCGCGAGGCUAGCAUGCUCUGGCCAAGACACCAUCCUACAUCACCCAAUUCUGGGGCCUUGCAAGGUCACCUCCAUAGAUUACAAGGAGGCCGUCAUCAACAUCAUCCAUCUCCUUCCGUUUCCAUGCCCUCUCCAGAAGCUCAUGGUCGACAGUUUACCGCCUGAUGACUACCAUGGCUGUAACUUAUACAGGAGGAUUCCUGCAAAAAUAGUAAGCUGCUCAAAAGAGUUUACACCAAGUGGUACCUCUCCAGUUCCGUACGAACUUGACCAUCUCCAGAAUGCUGCCGAAAAUAUCUUCGGCCCAAUAUCCUGCCUUAGCGGCACAGGACAGUACUUCUCAUAUUUGGUGCAUGCUCAGCUAUACAUGUAUUUGCUUCCAUUGGAUUGCAGGAUCGUCUCCAGAGGCUCCAUUCCAAUUCCUGGCUCAGACUCCUGCAGUGGCCCAACGUUCAAGGAAAAAGCAGAAAAAUUCAUCAACUUUGCUGAGACGACUGUCAGUUGGGGGUCCUUUCAAGAUGGAGUUCUCGACAACUGCAUGGCGUGUGAACGUCAAAAGCAACUCUGUGCAUUCAGCUCACGAAGGAAUCAAACAUUCUGCACAAGCCACGGCAAUCAUCAUGGUACUAACUAUCCUAACUGCACAAACAUGAUCGUACCACCCAGCUUUGUUCCUGAACUAGUUUUCUACUCUUACUAUGAUUCAAGCAUUCAGCCAUACAGUACUAGUGCACCGCUCUCAAUACAUAUGCUCAAAACUAUUUUUGCAGGCUAGUAGCCUACUACUAGAAAUCAUUUAGGGAACUAACUAGCUUCAUCAAACAUUUUUGCACAAUUGCCAUAAAAGUGUCACAAUAUUUAGUAAAAUAAUGAUAGAAUUAUCUUGAUCAACUAGCAGCAGUUGGACGAUACAUGACAUUAAAGAUCAUAAAACCUGGGACUUCUCAAAGAUAUUUGCUAGAAUUGAUAUUGUCUAUGAACUUAUUGAGACUGCCUCUAUAAGACUUCCUUAUGGUUUCCUCUAGAAGUAGAAAGUAGCUCGAAUAUGUAAACAAGACUGCAAGGGAACACUUGACUGGGACAAGAUAUAAUCUAAGUUUUUUUUUAUUUUUUUGCCAGGUCGGCGAAAGGAAGCCGACCAAAAUUCAUUAAGAUAAAGGAAUAAUUACAGAGGUAUACACGAUAUAAUCUAAGUUUUGGUUUGUUACCUGAUAUAACAGGAGCUGCAGUUAGAUCUUUGGUUGCUUUGAUAAUAGAUUAGUAGACAUGGGAGGUGAUAUGUGGAAGCCUUUAUAAUUUAGCCCAUAACCCACCUCAACUCAUCCUAAUCAUCCUUAUCUGGCAUGACAAAAAUACGAGAGUUAGCACACAGAACUGUCUUAUGAUGAUACUGCAAAAUAAGAUGUAAGGAAAAUUUCACUAUUGCAAAUAUAUUCAUAUGAUCAUGGUGCAUAAAAAUUUAGAGCCAAAACUCUAUCCUACCCCACCAGGGCCAUGUUCGCUGAUACAUUUUGUUGGAUUGCUCUGUUUUUAUUUUCAAGAUGUAAUUAUCCAUUAUCUGUUAAAACCACCAACCAGAACUUAUUAUCUUCGUUCAUACUUGCAGGUUAGCGUGUGAAAGUCAUUUCAGGUACUGCAGUACUCAAACCUACCUUUCUAUUAAAAAGAGAAAAGAAACAAUGUUAUCAGUACAUAUAAAUUCUUAUUGCUAGCAGUUCUGAGUCUUCUGACUCAGCAUUCUUCUGCUAAAAAAGACACCACCUGCUCUUACAGUACCCAUCAGGCAAUCACAAUCAGUUGAUUACUAGCCACAACUUUCGAUCCUAAUGCAAUGUGCUAAUUUCCCCUUCUCUGUUAAUUCAGCUACAUCAUCGGUAGCCGCAUUUGUUGUUUUUUCGUUCAUCAUGGCCACAGCACUCUAUCUUUCACUGAAGUCAAGGUAUGAUGAAGAGGUACAUUUGAAGGUUGAAAUGUUCCUCAGGACAUAUGGCACAUCGAAGCCCACAAGGUACAGUUUCUCUGAUGUUAAGAAGAUAACGAGACGCUUCAAGGAACAAUUAGGUCAGGGUGGAUUUGGAAGUGUAUACAAAGGACGACUACCAAACGGAGUGCCUGUGGCAGUUAAAAUGAUAGAACACUCUACAGGAAAUGGAGAAGAGUUCAUCAAUGAAGUAGCAACAAUUGGACAAAUUCAUCAUAUAAACAUUGCCCGCCUUCUGGGAUUCUGCUCUGAAGGAACACGGCACAUUCUUAUCUAUGAAUUCAUGCCUAAUGAAUCAUUGGAGAAAUGCAUAUUCUUGCAUGACCCUAAUACUUCUCAAGAACUCCUAGCACCAAAAAAGAUGUUAGAUGUUGCCUUAGGCAUUGCCCGAGGAAUGGAGUAUCUUCAUCAAGGAUGCAACCAACGCAUCCUCCAUUUUGAUAUCAAGCCUAAUAAUAUAUUGCUUGACUAUAACUUCAAUCCGAAGAUUUCAGACUUUGGUCUUGCAAAGCUGUGUGCAAGGGACCAAAGCAUUGUUACCUUGACCAAAGCAAGAGGCACGAUGGGCUACAUUGCACCAGAGCUAUAUUCUAGGAACUUUGGGGAGAUAUCUUACAAGUCAGAUGUAUAUAGUUUUGGCAUGCUUGUGUUAGAAAUGGUGAGUGGAAGGAGAAACUCAGACCCGAGUAUUGAGAACCAAAAUGAGGUCUACUUUCCAGAGUGGAUCUAUGAGAAAGUAAUUACUGAGCAGGACUUUGUACUUAGUAGGGAAAUGACAGAAGAAGUAGACUGAAGGUUAGACAGAUGGCCCUCGUGGCACUGUGGUGCAUUCAGUGGAACCCAAGAAACCGUCCCACAAUGACGAAGGUUGUAAACAUGCUAACUGGAAGGUUGCAGAAUAUAGAGGUGCCCCCUAAGCCAUUUGUUUCAUAUGAAAGCCAUGUUGUGCCAUAAAUCAUAGUAAUGUUAUGGGAGUUAUACUUAGUUGACGUGCUGCAUAGUAAUGCUGAUUAACUGUAUGAAGUAUGAAUCGUCGCUCUUUAUUACCAUGUAUUAAAAGUAAUAAGAAACACAUCAGUUGAUGUGAUUACCUUGUUCAGUUGUUGCGAUGUAUAUCUCCAUCCAACCACGGUGUGCAGAGUACUCCUCGCUGUACUAUUUCAGUAAGAUGCCGUCCUCGUCCGUUUCAUGGGUCCAUAUCUAGUGGCUUGCAAGAAAAUCCUGCAAGGAAAUUGAAUUAUGGCAAUUUUUCCCAUGCAGCACAAAUAUAAAAUAUCGAAGCAAAGAGUAUUAUUUUUGUCUGUUUGUCCGUGCGAACGGCCGACUAGGGUAACAUUCAUACCCUGAAUUCGUCACUGAAUAAAGAAGUAGAUUCAUAUCCUAAAUUCCUCACUGAACUAAGAAGUAUAAUAAGUUAAGUUGGCUUGGUCACAUUCCUAUCCAUCCCAUUCAAAAAGUCAGGGCCCGCCUAUCUAUCUGAUGGAAAUCUCACAGCAAACAGGAUGCUGCUGGGCAAGCAAUCGAGGAGCUACGAAUUUGCAAUGUGAAGAGAUGAAUGGGCAUGGACUCGACUAGUGAAUAAGUACACUUUAAUAAAAACUUAGGAAAAAUAAUCAAAAGCAGAGGAAACGGGCUACCUUUAUCAAUGCAAGGAGGGGGCAGCGAACCGAACAACCACCGGAUCAGGAGACCUCCCCGAGUUCUGUCAAUCCUGCGGCUCGGCGUGGCAUCCCGCUUGGGGCCUGGAUUUGCGGCUCGGGUCUCACAAGGACGCAGGGAGAAGGCGACGCAUAGCCCGGGCAACGCGCAUUGACGGCGGAGCGCAAAGCAGAGACAUCGCCGGGGAAGCAGAGGCGGCUGGGAGUCGGUGGGAUCGCCGGCGACGGCGAAGGGUUCGUGGCAAGAGAGGGAGGAAAGGGGAUUCCGUACGGUUUGCAACCAGAAACUAAGCUCGGCCUAGGGCUAGUAAUGGGGCCGGCCCUAAAGCUCCUGCCGCUAAUGGGCCUUUAUUUGCAUUUGGGCCAAAAAUGACCUGCGGGAGGCCUGUCUUCUUUCUGCUCGUGGAAAAUUCCAUGUAAAUCGACCAUUUGUUUUUUUUUUAGAGAAAUGUACCUUUACCCGGCCUCUAUAUCCAACCUGAUAUAUGUAGCCUUUUUACAUUAGAAAUUUAGCUCUCAAAUAACCCAAUCUGAAAUUCGCUUCUAUAGAGAUUUGAACUCAGGAUCUUGGGGUGUUACUCAGGUCACGGCAACAACUAGGCUGCAUUGUGCUUAUACAAAGCCAAAUUUUAAAUUUUAAAAACUUAACUUUGAAGUAGAUUUCGUGGUUUUUUCACGAAAGUUUAUUUUAUAGAAUUUACUUUUAAAUCGCUAAGAACACGUAUAUAAUUUUUUUUACCUACAAAUUAUUUUUCUAAUUGCUGUAAUAAAUCAUACAAAUAAGCAUAUGGAAAAGCAAAAUAUGAAUCGGAAUCGGGAAUCGCUAGUCAGUCACGUAGGAAAGAACAUAGCAACAGUGCCGACCAACACAGAACACUAGCUUAGCUCGAUUUUUGCAUGCAUUCAUACAGAUGAAGCACAGGAUAAUAAAUCGUACAAGCCCACAUAUACGCAUUCUACAGGAAUAUAGGAAUAGGAGCAUAGAAACUGCAUCUGUGUGACUGUCUACAAUCAUCACAGGCUUGAGCACAACCUGCUCACGAAAAGACAUAGACACACUAUACUUGCUACGUACUCCACUAGCUAAUUCAACUCAGUGAUACUCUCCUCGUCUUUCUCCUCGGAGAUGGCAGCCAGCUCCAGCUCGGAGGACAGAUACAGCGACUCCAUUGCCGGGAUGUAGUCAUCGUCACAGAAGAAUGGCCUAGGAGGAAUUUGCAAACAAUCAACACCACCUUCAAGCAUCUCUAUCACCUCGCUCAUCAUCGGUCGGUCACAAGACCUCAUCUGGAUGCACCACAAUCCAACGAUGCAGAGCUUCUUCUCCAACUCAUGCAUGUCGGCGGCAGCGGUGAUCUCACCUGUUUCUUGUCGGGUCAGCUGACGGUACACUCGUGAUGGAUAGUAUGCCUGGCUUGAAUUCUCUGCAUUCGGAUCAGCAUUCCUUCUUCCUCCGGCCAUCUCCAAUAGUAGCAUCCCGAAGCUGUAAACGUCGGACUUGCUUGAUAUAACACCAAAGCUCCGAGAGAUCAUCUCAGGGGCAAUGUAACCUACUGUUCCUCGUGCAGCGCUCACCGGCACAAAGCUCUUGUCCCUUGGGUAUAGCCUUGCGAGACCAAAAUCUGCAACUUUUGGAACAAAGUUCUUGUCUAGAAGGAUGUUGUGUGGCUUGAUGUCAAAGUGUAGAAUCUGCAGAUCACACCCCUGAUGCAGGUAGUUGAUUCCUCUGGCUAUGCCCAACGCGAUUUCAUUUAGCUUAUCCCUGGAGAAACUCUUGUCGGAUGAGAAGAUGUACUUGUCAAGAGAACCCCGAGGCAUGUACUCGUAGACAAGCGCUCUUCUCAUUUCUUCAGAGCAGAACCCUACCAGGCGCACCACAUUGACAUGGUGGAUCCGGCCAAUGGUAGAGACCUCACUGAUGAACUCUUCUCCGUUGCAGUUGGAGUUGCCAUUUAGCAUCUUGACGGCAACAUGGAUAUUGCCCGGGAGCAAUACGCCUUUAUACACAGUCCCAUAGCUUCCUUGGCCUAGCCUGUCUCUGAAAUGGCUUGUGAUUGCAAUGAUGUCUGUGUAGCCAUACCUCAUUGGGCUGAGCAUCUCUUGCAUUCGGAGGAACUUCUCAACUGCAUCGAUUGUGAUCCUUGCUUUCCAGUAUUUGUGGGAAAGGAAGGUUAAUACAACAAGCGGCGCCAACAGGAACCUGCAUAGUACUACAUAAAAACAAGUUUGUAGGGUUGUUUAGGAUUGGUUUAACCUUUGAAUAUAAUAGGAUCCUGAAGUACCUGCAAUCCAAGUCAGAAUGGACAUGGCUGGUCCUGUUCCGUAAAUUGCAAACUCGUAUGCAACACGAGGCAAUUUAACUGGAGCCAUUAUGCACUGCCAGAAAGGCCCAUACGCUAAAAGGAUUGCUAGAAGUCGAUUUUUGAUGUAUAUAUCAGACGAUGGCACCAUUGUUUGACGAAAUAUGCUGCAGGACAAUGCCAUGGUGAAAACGGAAAUAAAAUUAAGGUCCUCACAAGGUUUUGUUGGUACAAAUGGGAUGAAAAUACCUUACCUAACGGACUCUGCCAGGCAUGCUCUAAAAUCAAAGUGAUAUGUCCCUGAUGAAGAAGAAAUUCCAAUGGCAAACCCUUUCCUCAUGUAUUUCAGGACAUCAGCAUAGCUUAAGCUUGCAUUGAUAGACGCUCCCCUGUCAUCCAGAGGUGUCAUGCCCAGGUACCCACAAGAAGGCUCUAGGCUCUCAACAUAAACAGUUUCUGACUCCGAGCCAGUCAGCACGUAGACGAAGGAAUGGCUGGUGCUCAGGCAAGCGACGGGUUUGUACCUGACAUUCCUCGUUAUCUCCUUGGAACAAUUCACAAAUGCAGCCCACCUAUUUGUAAAAGGGGCCAGUUCAAUUACUUGGACUCCGUCACUGGUAGGGGCCAUGGAUAUGCGCUCGUGUGGAGGUUGAUGCUGCCGCCGCGGAAGAGGGCAGCUGCUGUUAUGUGAAUUCAGCAAGUCUGUGUCAACGACGACGAAAAGGCUCCAAUGGAUAAUGCGAGUCACGUAGUAUGUUGCAUUGUUGAUGCGAAUUGUGGCCUUGGUGUCGCUGCAAACCAGCUCGUGAGAUUUAUAGCCGCAAUCAGGUGGAUCGCCGUGCCGGCGGAACGGAGGGGAAACGUUCUUGAGAUGGCCCCAGGAGAAGGGAGGACACUGCGCUGUCUGCGCUGCCUCCUCGGGCCCGUACAUCUGCCCUUCAACUUGAAGGAGAGCUGCAAGCACAGACAAGGCAGUUAGCGCCUGCAGGGCAGUGGAAGUAGAACGACGAAAUGCACCAGCCACCGCCAUGGCAGACAGCCAGACACAGACAGUUACUGUUCGACUAGCUAGCUCUAGCUGCCGCCCAAGUUACCAAGUUGAUUAGCAAAGCUAGUUGACGCGGGUGAUUACCUGCUAAGUACUGCACUGACCUACAUUCAGAUGUUGACUGGAGUAAUCCAAUUCUUAAUCGCAGUACAGUUUUGAUUUGAUCUUUAACUUCUUCCAGUAAGUCAAAUGCACUGACCUGUGCAUUAUUGGUCUAGACAACCUACAAUGUCAGGCUAACUUUUCUUUUCUGAAACCGAGGCAGGAAAUGCAAUUAAUAUUUGUAAACAAGAAAAAUGGGCUCCAGAAUAACAGCGCGGAGCUCAAAGCGGGUACACACGUUGUCAUGUUCUUGUCUAUCAAACAGCAAGCAAACGAUUAGCGACCAUAAGAACUUCAGACAAACCGAAUAUACUAACAAACUCCUGCCUAACAAGGACACCUGUACUGGUUUUCUCUCAAUCUUAAUAGAUUUGGCCGGCGUUUCCUUUGCCAGCCCAGCGAAAAAUAUAUAGAUCAUAAAAAUGUUUGUUUUUAGCACCGACUGCAGAAUACAAGUGCAGACUGCCCAUGAUUUCUACUGACUGCGGAUUAGAACGGGAAGAAUUUCAACAGGCAGAACCGAAAGCACAUUUGCAUAUAAACUACUUACCCCGGCCGGCAGUAUUUCCGUAGUGUUUCAAUUGACUAUUGCUGAAGACGACUUGACUGCAGCAAGCCAGCAAGUUCCCAUUGGACUUAGACAAGUCCACAACCUCAGUCUUCUUUAUAUGAUGAUAUAGCUUGCCAACUUUACAAGAGUUUAUUUCUGUAGAAGAUACAUGUUUCAUGAGGUUAGUUAUACAAAUUAGUGAGAAUAGUAGUAUGACUGAAGAAAAUAGGACAUCCCUGAGUUGAGACAAGAAUAGUCAAAAUAAGGAUCACAGUACAGCUGUCAUUGGCAAAAAAACAACUACAGAACUUUCCAAGCGCUACAAGUCUAGAUCACAGCAGGAGUUCCAUUGGAAGCUAGAAUCCAUGCUCAAAAGGCAGACAUUAUGACAAGAACGAUACCAAUCCUCCAGAGGUUGAAGCAAAUAGGUGAUCAUGUCUUAUACUCACAGCCUUCCCUUCACACCUUCAUCUCCAUAACAUUACAAUGAUUUCCCUAAACUUCUUUUCACAGUGUUGCUGCUCUCUCUUCUCAACUAUGAACCCUAUUCCACGAAAGCAUGGGAUGAAGAAGGCUUCUUAAAGAGUUGUUCAUCACAGCGGUGCAGCAAACAUGGACCAGAUAUACGGUUCCCCUUCAGGCUUUCAACCCACGAUCCAUCAUGUGGCAUGCCUGGCAUGCAGUUGUCAUGCUCUGGGCAUGAUACAAUCCUGGAUCACCCUGUCUUAGGCUCCUGCAAAGUGACCGCAAUAUAUUACAGGUACCGUGUCAUAAAUGCCAUCCUCCUUGUGGAAUCAUCAUCAAAUUGCCCACUUCAGAAGCUCGCUUCAACAAAUGUAUCAACUGCCGUGUACGAACCUCAAAAGAAAGAUGGUGCAACCAUAGUAGGGUGUUCAAAAGAUUCCAUAGCAACAAAUCAAGAUGGUAUUGUUGGCCCAAGAUCUUGCCUCAACCUAAGUAGUCAUGGAAGCCAGUUAUGGUAUUUGGUGCCUCCUCGAACAUACAUGUCUGCUCUUCCACCGGACUGCACAGUGGUUGCGAAAGGCAUCCCAAUACCCUACAAUUAUGAUAGAAAUGGUCCAAAUGAAAAUCAAUACCUCGACAUCUCAAACUUAAAAGAAAAGGCAAAUAAAGUCAUCAACUUUGGUGAAACAGCAUUUACUUGGCACCUUAACAAGAUUACCAAUGCUUGUCAGGGGUGUGAGUGGAAUGGUCAUCACUGCGGAUUUAGUUCACAAAGGGGCCAGGCAUUCUGCCAGCAUCAAGGUAUCCUUCAUCUCAUAUUUUUUUUUCACAAGGGAAUUCUACAAGUUAUUUCUUCUAUUUAUUGUAUUAAUAAUUAUGUUAUGGAAUUCAUAAUUAUCAAGCUUUUUUUAAACAAUUCCUACAGGAUUUUUACCUAAAGGAAGACCUUGAUGAAAACUGUAAUCGUCUUGGAAAAGUUCUAAUAACUAGUACGAAAAAAUGAACCAAACCAGUGGAAGGACAUGCCAAAUUGGACCUUCCUCAAUAAAUAAAUAAAUAAACCAAACUUUCUCUCCAUCUCCAGGUUUUUAGUUAUCUUGACUUGCGUAUUUUAGAGCACUGGAAUUAAUGCAGAUCACUCUAACCAAGGUCAUUUCAUGCUAAAUACUAUCAUACUAAUUUGGGAUGCCACUCUUCUUACUCAUCAAAAUUGGACUUACCGACUUAGACCCUUGGGUGCUAAUACAGUAGUGCUGACUGACACAAAACUGAUCUAACCAUUAUGAAUUAGAGGUUCCUAACAAAGUUAUAGAAAGUUGUUUUCCCUUAUCUUUGUUAUUACUAAACUUUGAUGUAAACUAUUUUUUUUUCUUCCUUCCUUCAGGUUCACAAGUCAUCCUCAUUGCAGGUAAUGCAGAUAUUCCCUGUUCUUCAAAUUCUCGCCUGUCAGCAACCAAGAUUUUGUGUACUCUUGUUCCAAUAAGAGUUGCUUUGUUCCUUUUUCUUUUUGUUUCAAAAAGCAGAUAUUAGCUCACACCUUGCUUAUCCUAAUGGAACAAACUAAUUUCAUUUACUUUUACACAGCUACAUCCUCAGCAGCCACACUAGUUGUUCUUUUGCUGAUGGUGGGCACAACAAUCUAUCUUUCACUAAAGACAAGAUAUAAUGAAGAGAUACAUUUGAAGGUCGAAAUGUUUCUCAAGACAUAUGGCACAUCGAAACCCACAAGGUAUAGUUUCUCUGAAGUUAAGAAGAUUACAAGACGGUUCAGGGAAAAGAUAGGCCACGGUGGGUAUGGAAAUGUAUACAAGGGUGAGCUACCAAAUGGAGUGCCCGUGGCAGUUAAGAUGCUAGAAAAUUCCAGAGGCGACGGGCAGGAAUUCAUCAAUGAAGUUGCAACCAUUGGAAGAAUCCACCAUGCCAAUGUGCUUCGUCUUUUGGGUUUUUGCUCAGAAGGAACAAGACGCACUUUAAUUUAUGAAUUCAUGCCAAACGACUCAUUGGAGAAAUACAUAUUCUCACAAGGUCCUAACGUGUCACGGGAAUUCCUAGUGCCUGACAAGAUGCUAGAUAUCUCUUUAGGCAUUGCCCGAGGAAUGGAGUACCUACAUCAAGGGUGCAAUCAACGCAUUCUACAUUUCGAUAUCAAGCCUCAGAACAUUUUGCUAGAUUACAGCUUCAAUCCAAAGAUUUCAGAUUUUGGACUUGCGAAACUGUGUGCAAGGGAUCAAAGCAUUGUCACACUGACUGCAGCAAGAGGCACAAUGGGCUACAUUGCACCAGAACUGUAUUCUCGGAACUUUGGGGUGAUAUCUUACAAGUCAGAUGUAUACAGUUUCGGUAUGUUGGUUUUAGAAAUGGUGAGUGGAAGAAGGAAUCUGGACCCAGGUAUUGAUAACCAACAUGAAGUUUAUUUUCUAGAAUGGAUUUAUGAGAAAGUAUUCACUGGGCAGAACUUAUUGAUUGGUACGGAAAUGACACAGGAUGAAAAAUACAAAGUGAGGAAACUGGCAAUUGUGGCACUAUGGUGCAUUCAGUGGAACCCCAAAAACAGGCCAUCAACGACCCAGGUGGUUAACAUGCUAACAGGAAGGUUGCAGGAUCUGCAGAUGCCUCCUAAACCAUUUGUCUCAUCUGCAAGCGAAUCUAUACCAUAAAAAAAUGAAGAUAUCACCACGGUUGGCACAUGUUUUUUUUUUUGGGAAUACGCGAGGAGCGCAUUUUUGUAUUAAGAGGAAUAAAAGUUAUUUACAGACAAACACAAAGCAGCAGGGGACUGAGACAGGAUACAAGCAGGAAAUCAAAGGUGUACGUCUCGCGGUCUGUUUUGGCUACCAAAUUCCCUCCUAAAGAUUGGGAUGGCUUGGUUUGCUUGACGCCAUAGCGUGGCCUCUGCUGCCAUUCCCUUCACGAUGUCCACCCAGGUCCUUUGUUGCUGAUUGAAUAUCCGGCCGUUUCUUUCUUUCCAAAUUGUCCAUGCCACUAGCGUGACUACCGUGUCAAAGCCCCGCCGAAGAUGCUCUCAAAUUCUUAUUCGACUGCUGCAGAGCCAUUGGUAGAAUGAUGGUUCAUCCACCGGCAGACACUCAGGGUGCCCAAUUGCCCUUAACACCCACCACCAAAGUUGUCUGGAUUCUGGGCAGCCAACAAGAAUGUGAUCAAUACUCUCGUCGUGUUGAUCACAAAGUACGCAUCUGUCAAGCCAACAAGAAUGUGAUCAAUACUCUCGUCGUGUUGAUCACAAAGUACGCAUCUGUCAGGAUGUGGUAGGCCACGACGACGUAGUCGAUCCGCUGUCCAGCAUCUGUCCAAUACGACCAGCCAAAGAAAGAAUCAGCAUCUGGGCGGCGCUAGAGAUUUCCAUAUCGGUGCUGAUUGAAAUGGAACACGACCUAGAAAUAAUGCUCUGUAUGCCGACUUGGAGGAGUAUUGUCCUGAGCUGUCCCAUUUCCAACAGAUCACAUCUUGCUCAGAGGGAUUGCAACCAGCAUUUUGCAGAAGUGACCAGAGCUUGAGGUAUUCUCGGAUUGCCUGAACUCCAAGUGCCCCGCUGAUGUCUCUGAUCCAUGCUUUAUUGAGCAGUGCUUCCGCGACCGUCCUGCGUUUGCGGAUUCGAACAGGAACAUGUUCGAAGAUGGAAGGCGCAAUGGCUCGUAUACCUCCCUCCUGCAUCCAGCAAUCCUCCCAGAAGAGGAUACUUCUUCCAUCCCCCAGUUGGCACAUGUUUGAAAGAUAGCCUACGUAUUGCUCAGUGAUCCUGAGUACUAGCUAGCAUGCACCUUACUUGUAAAAUGAAUAGCACAUACAGAAUUGUGCUCAAAGACAAUGACUUGAUAAUUACCUUAUUCUGUGUUCUGUGAUAGCCUUGAUUUAUCUUUAUCAUUCAUAUUAUGUAGCCUCAAACACUGGACCCCUCAUAGGCUGUACAAUGCGUUUGAAAAUUCCUUUGCAUUUCAUUCAGUGCAUCAAUACCAGGUGGGAUCGCAUAAUAGAAGCCUGUAAGGCAGGCGAUUAGCUAUGGCAUGUUGUUCCUUAUUUACUACUACAAUCCUAAAUUGAAACUGAAUCUACAGAUGCGCAUGGGUCUGAGUUUGCUACUACAACCCUAAACUGAAUCUAUAGAUGGGCAUGGGAAUAAGUAGAGUUCACCCAAAAAAAAUUCAAAAGCAGAGCAAAGGAAUUACCUUCAUCGAUGCCAAGGAGAGGACACAGAACUGUCUUAUGAUGAUACUGCAAAAUAAGAUGUAAGGAAAAUUUCACUAUUGCAAAUAUAUUCAUAUAAUCAUGGUGCAUAAAAAUUUAGAGCCAAAACUCUAUCCUACCCCACCAGGGCCAUGUUCGCUGAUACAUUGUGUUGGAUUGCACUGUUUUUAUUUUCAAGAUGUAAUUAUCCAUUAUCUGUUAAAACCACCAACCAGAACUUAUUAUCUUCGUUCAUACUUGCAGGUUCGCAUGUGGAAGUCAUUUCAGGUACUGCAGUACUCAAACCUACCUUUCUAUUCAAAAGAGAAAAGAAACAAUGUUAUCAGUACAUAUAAAUUCUUAUUGCUAGCUAUUCUGAGUCUUCUGACUCAGCAUUCUUCUGCUAAAAAAUACACCACCUGCUCUUACAGUACCCAUCAGACAAUCACAAUCAGUUGAUUACUAGCCACAACUUUCAAUCCUAAUGCAAUGUGCUAAUUUCCCCUUCUCUGUUAAUUCAGCUACAUCAUUGGUAGCCGCAUUUGUUGUUCUUUCGUUCAUCAUGGCCACAGCACUCUAUCUUUCACUGAAGUCAAGGUAUGAUGAAGAGGUACAUUUGAAGGUUGAAAUGUUCCUCAGGACAUAUGGCACAUCGAAGCCCACAAGGUACAGUUUCUCUGAUGUCAAGAAGAUAACGAGAUGCUUCAAGGAACAAUUAGGUCAGGGUGGAUUUGGAAGUGUAAACAUUGUCCGCCUUCUGGGAUUCUGCUCUGAAGGAACACGACACAUUCUUAUCUAUGAAUUCAUGCCUAAUGAAUCAUUGGAGAAAUACAUAUUCUUUCAUGACCCUAAUACUUCUCAAGAACUCCUGGCACCAAAAAAGAUGUUAGAUAUUGCCUUAGGCAUUGCCCGAGGAAUGGAGUACCUGCAUCAAGGAUGCAACCAGCGAAUCCUCCAUUUUGAUAUCAAGCCUCAUAAUAUCUUGCUGGACUAUAACUUCAAUCUGAAGAUUUCAGACUUUGGUCUUGCAAAGCUGUGUGCUAGGGACCAAAGCAUUGUUACCUUGACCAAAGCAAGAGGCACAAUGGGCUACAUUGCACCAGAGCUAUAUUCUAGGAACUUUGGGGAGAUAUCUUACAAGUCAGACGUAUACAGUUUUGGCAUGCUUGUGUUAGAAAUGGUUAGUGGAAGGAGGAACUCAGACCCAAGUAUUGAGGACCAGAAUGAGGUCUACUUUCUGGAGUGGAUCUAUGAGAAAGUAAUUACUGGGCAGGACUUUGUACUUAGUGGGGAAAUGACAGAAGAAGAUAGACUGAAGGUUAGACAGAUGGCCCUCGUGGCACUUUGGUGCAUUCAGUGGAACCCAAGAAACCGUCCCUCGAUGACGAAGGUUGUAAACAUGCUAACAGGAAGGUUGCAGAAUAUACAGGUGCCCCCUAAGCCAUUUGUUUCAUAUGAAAGCCAUGCUGUGCCAUAAAUCAUACUAGUAAUGUUAUGGGAGUUAUGCUUAGUUGACGUGUUGAAAUAGUAAUGCCUAGAAAUUGCAUAAUAUGCACCUUGACUGCACAUUGAUUAUCUGUAUGAGGUAUGAAUCAUCGCUCUUUAUUACCAUGUAAUAAAAGAAAUAAGAAACACAUCAGUUGAUGUGAUUACCUUGUUCAGUUGUUGCUAUGAUAUAUCUCCAUCCAACCACCGUGUGCAGAGUACUCCUCGUUGCACUAUUUCAGUAAGAUGCCCUCCUCGUCCGUUUCAUGGGUCCAUAACUAGUGGUUUGCAACAAAAUCCUGCAAGGAAAUUGAAUUAUGGCAAUUUUUCCCAUGCAGAACUAAUAUAAAAUAUCGAAGCAAAGAGUAUUAUUUUUGUCUGUUUGUCCGUGCGAACGGCUGACUAGGGUAACAUUCAUACCCUGAAUUCGUCACUGAAUAAAGAAGUAGAUUCAUAUCCUAAAUUACUCACUGAACUAAGAAGUAUAAUAAGUUAAGUUGGCUUGGUCACAUUCCUAUCCAUCCCAUUCAAAAAGUCAGGGCCCGCCUAUCUAUCUGAUGGAAAUCUCACAUCAAACAGGAUGCUGCUGGGCAAGCAAUCGAGGAGCUACGAAUUUGCAAUGUGAAGAGAUGAAUGGGCAUGGACUCGACUAGUGAAUAAGUACACUUUAAUAAAAACUUAGGAAAAAUAAUCAAAAGCAGAGGAAACGGGCUACCUUUAUCAAUGCAAGGAGGGGGCAGCGAACCGAACAACCACCGGAUCAGGAGAUCUCCCUGAGUUCUGUCAAUCCUGCGGCUCUGGGGCCUGGAUUUGCGGCUCGGGUCGCACAAGGACACAGGGAGAAGGCGACGCAUAGCCCGGGCAACGCGCAUUGACGGCGGAGCGCAAAGCAGAGACAUCGCCGGGGAAGCAGAGGUGGCCGGGAGUCGGUGGGAUCGCCGGCGACGGCGAAGGGUUCGUGGCAAGAGGGGGAGGAAAGGGGAUGGAAAAAGUACACCGAAGGUUCCUCAACUUGUCAUCGGGAUACGAAAACAUCCUCAAACCGCAAAACCAGAUAUGCGGGAUCUCUCAACUAUACAAAACCGGUCACCCGAGGUCCCUCGGUGGUUUUCAUCCCGGUUUUGUCCGACGUGACGGCUGAGUCAGCGUGGGACCCACGUGGGCCCCACAUGUCAGCGGGCCACGUCAUCACCCUCUCCUCUCCCUUUCUCCUCUCUCUCUCUCUCUCACUCUUCUCGUUUGGGUAGGCAGCGGGGGACAACGGCGUCGGCUGGCGACUGGCGACGCCCGCCGUUGCAGAGGCCGCACGCACGGAGGUGGGCCGCCGUCGAGUGAGGAGAAAGCAAGGGGGCCGGGGAGUCCGGCGGCGACCUCCUCACCGGCCGCGACGUCGCCAUCAAGUCCUUCCCCAACCGGCGACAUGGCGGCCGGCGAGGGGAGCAAGGCGUCCGCGGCGGCGAGGCUGUUCUUGUCCGCGGCCAGCUUGACCCGGCGCAACGACGAGCCAGGCGCGGGCGACGAGCCACAUGUGGACCGUCCACACGCCGACGCUCUUCACCUUGGCGCUGGCGCCGCCUCGUCCGUUGCGGCCACGGCGGACUCCGAGAGCUCCCCGGCCGCGAACCUGCCGGCGAGGUCGUGGAGGUAGGCCGCCUUGCGGGCAGAGACGCCGAUGGCGCGGAGGUCGGCGGCGGAGAGGGCGAGCACCGCGGCGGGGUUGACCACCGCGGCAUUGGGAUCGGCGGCGGCGGGGAGGCGCGUGAGGAAGCGAGCGUAGAUGGCGGCGGCAGCGGAGGGAGCGAGCGUAGAUCGGCUGUUGCUGGCCAUGGCGACGUCACGGAGGCGGACGCUGCUCAAGGUCAUCGUCCUAGGCGACAGCGGGUCAGCACACUACACUAGCUCAUCCUUGGCUACUGCAGGCCUAGCUGUUUCAUCUUAGCUUGAUUCGAAUCGCUCUAGCUAUGCUUCUGUCAGCUUGAUUUCAUGGUGCUUGUUUGAUUUUUGCCUGACUCCUGACAUGGAUUGGUUUAUUUGGUUGUGAUUUUGGUUUUGGUGCAGGUUGGGGAAGAUGUCCCUGAUGAACCAGUAUCCUUUACCUCCAUAGCUGCCUAGCUGCAUAUCAUCGAGCUUUGUAUCCUGCACAUCUACCAUGGCCAGGAUGAGCUUGAGACCGAGAGGCCGGCGGCCGCGGGAGGCCUGCGGCGACGACCGCCUCAGCGCACUCCCCGGCGACCUGCUCCUCCUCGUCCUCCGCCGCCUCUACACCCGCACGGCACUUGCCACCGGCAUGCUCUCCAGGAGCUGGGCGCAUCUGCCCCACGAGCUCCCGGCCCUCGAUUUCAGGGUCAGCGACAUACUCCGCCGCGCUAUCACCGGUGACCGGUGCAUCCUCCGCCACCGCGGCGUCGUCGGCGCGUCACCAGUCGCCAGCCGCCGCCAUCGUGUCGCCCGUCACCGGCCGCCGGCGACGCCCUCGUCCUCUCCCACCUUGCCCCGCCGAAGGCAGCAGCCCGCCGACGUCCUCCCCAGCUGCCAUCCCAAACGAGAAGAGCGAGAGAGAGAGGAGAGGAGAGGGAGAUGACGUGGCCCGCUGACAUGUGGGGCCCAUGUGGGUUCCACGCUGACUCAGCCGCCACGUCGGACAAAACCGGGUUGAAAACCACCGAGGGAUCUCGGGUGACCGGUUUUGUAUAAUUGAGGGAUCCCGCAUAUCUGGUUUUGCGGUUUGAGGAUGUUUUUUAUCCCGAUGACAAGUUGAGGGACCUUCAGUGUACUUUUUCCUCUUACAAAAGGAUUCGGCCCAAGAGCUUAACCGGUCAUUACCACGAGCCUUCAUCUAGCCUUCUAGGAAUAAGUUCACCGGUGGUCCUCAACUUAACAGGGAGAUUUUUUAGGUCCUUUAACCACAAAAUCAAUACCCCUAAACUCACACAAACCGUGCACUCAAGAUCCUAUGGCAGUAUAUAUGGGUUGUUUAGCAACGUGGCAUCCUACUCAGCAAAAUAAAAUAAAAAAAGUACGUGGGGCCCACAUUGUCAGCUGCACAUUCUCUUUUCUUCUCCUUCUAUUCUCUUUCCUCUCUUCGCUCUUCUCUUCUUCAGUAAGGGAGGUCGUCGGCGGGCGGAGCGGCAAUGGGCGAGCGCGAUGCGUGCAGCGAGCGGAGAGCCGACAGCGGCAAGCGAGCGUGGCAGCGGUCCACGGGUGGCGGGCGGAGCAAUUUGGGAGGGAGGGGGAGGUGGCCGGCGACCCCGUCCGAGCUCGUCUGACUUACGUGCGAGCUCGCCCCCGACGUAACUCGGUGUGCUGGGGACGACGACAAGGAAAGGGGGAGAGAGAGGUAUCGACGGCCGACGACAGUGGAGGCGGGCGAGCUCGGUGACGGGCUGCUCACGCUCGUCGACCAGGCCCCCCGCUCUGUACUCGCCCACCGCUACUCCGCCUGUCGCGCUCAUGGAGGAGGUUGACCAGCACGACGACGACGCCGGUGGUGAAGAUCUAGAGCAUGACGAGCGCCGUUGCUCUUGCCCGCCGCCCAUGGCUAGCUUCGCUCGCCCGUAACUCUAUUGCUGCUCUCGCUCGCCGCUCUUGCUUGCCGCUCCGCCUGCCACUCUCACUCGCCGCCCCACCCGCCGCUCCCGCCGUCCCGGCGGCCUUUCUCCCCCUCUCCCGCUUCUUCCCCGCGCGCCGCCGCACCCGCUCCGCCGUCGGCUACCACGCCCGCAUCUGCCCGUCUGCUCCUGAAUGUGCAACUGACAUGUGGGCCCCAUGUAUUUUUUUUUAUUUUUUUCUGACUAGGAUGCCACGUCAGCGAAACUACCCAUAUAUAUUGCCAUAGAACGUUGAGUGCAUGGUUUGUGUGAGUUUAGGGUGCACAUUUCUGGUUUUGUGGUUAAAAGACCUCAAAAAAUAUCGUUGUUAAGUUCAGGGACCUCAGGUGAACUUAUAUCAUCAAAACGCAGCGAUUGUAGAUACCAUAGAUACAUAAAAUAGAUCAAAAGGUGACAUCACAUCUCAAGGCAUCAGCAUACUGAUAUACUGUUUGUUUGGUUCAUUUGAUUAGUGGAGGCUUGCAGCUCUGUAGCUGUGCCGCUGCGCGUGCUAUGCUUUCCUCCUGCGGUCAGACAAACAUAAACAGGGUGUGUACAUGGAAUUUGUUAGUCAGACAUAAAUAUAUUGGAUAUUUGAAUUACAGCUCCCAGCGGUAACAACAGGCACUACUAGGCUGUCCAAAUCGUGGCAUUUCUUUUCAGCAAAAACAGGUCCAUAUAACCUCCCGGAGACUUGACCAUCACUAUCGGGAUGAACUCUGGCGUGCUCAUGCAGCAGUAGCACACACACCAGUACACCACAUAAAAUGCAACGACCAACAACACAUUUGGCCAAUGGCCACACAUAACGAUGGCGUCCCAAUCACAAAGUUAUGAUAAACGAAAGCUUCCCUCUAGUUCACGGCAAAGAAACGACCCGGUCAGUCAAGGCAAGAAGCUGCCUCCUUCCGCUAGCCACACUGACCUCUGGAGUCAACACCUCCAGCGUUGCAGUGAUCCGAAUGCCACACCAAAGCAGAGAACCAAUUAGGAAUGUAUUGAGUAGCAUUUUUUUUCAGAACUUUUUUGAACGACUUGCACAGACAGUGUGAAAUUCAAAUUGAUAUAGUAGGAAAAAAUUACAAAAUUACAACCUUGGGAGGUCGUAAUCAGGAAAAAAACAAAGAUUUCCACCUCCCACGCACCGACAGCACCAAACACAAAUUGGGAAGAAGGCUAGCACCAAACCGGACGCUGCUAGGCCAACAAAGGAACUACAGUCGAGGUCGCCCAAACCUAUCCCUAACAUCUGACAUUAAACCCCUACUCUAGCCACCUCUUUGGGAUUGAGAGAGAAAAAGGGUGAGACAGAAGGAUGGAACCGCUCUCCCCCAUAGGCCCUCUGACAUGGUCAACUUGCAUAAGCUAGGGCGCUGACACGAGAGGACAUGCAUCUAGAGAGCUAGCUUGCACCAAAAGUCUAGGAGGAUUCAACCAGGGUUGCCUAGACGAUGUCUCCAGGGAGAGGAGCGAAUAAAACACCGCCGCCGCCGUCCAUCGAGCUCUCAAAAAGAGCCAAGACUAGGUUUUCACCCACCGACCACCACCUGCAAAUCCACGGCUGACACACCGAUGCUCCACCACCGUCAAACCUUUGCCGAAAUGUGGGACCACUGCACCGACGCCCCCCGCCGGCUAGCCUCCGCGUGCCCCACACCACACCGCACCCAUCGGCAGCUCCUCCUCAUGCCGUGCCGACCUACGUCACCGCCGGCCACGCCUUCUUGCGCCGUGCUAGCCUCCGACCACUCCUCCAGGCGUACUAGCCAGCCGCUGCCACGUCGGCCCAUCCGCUGGCCAUGCCGGCCAGAUGUAGCCAUCGCCCACGCCUCUCCUCCGCUGGCCGUGCCGACCAUAUGCAGCUGUCGUCCAUGCCUCCUGAUGUGACCAUGGCUACUACGGAUACAACCAUUGCUUACAUCAUGGAUGAACAACAGGAGAUCAAGUUCAAGACCUCCAAGUGCUGGAAUCCGAUUCGGCCACCUGCUAGACUGCUGACUUCAAACGGCCGCCAAAUCUACAUACGACCUCCGUUUUCGGCCCGCGAGUACUUGAUGGAAAGCUCUUGGAGUCCUCUUUCCAAUGGGUUCAGCCUCAUCUCUAAAUCCCAUCUCAUUUGGCCGCAAUCAAAGAAACAAGGUGUUGCGUCACAUAUUAUAAUGUGCUUAUGGGCUUGUAACUUCAUUUGUGACCUUGGCCCAAGUGGGGCCCAUGUGGGGUGCGCCCCAAUCUGGUGGAGCACGACCCUAGGACCCUCUUGGUCAUCUCUCACCCCUAUAAGUAGCUAGGUACCCCUUCAGAGUUUCGAGGGUUUUGUUAGAUUAAAGUUUAGACAUUCCUACUUGCUUGCAGCGCGCGUGUCAGCUAAACCAUCCGUCUUCUUGUUCUUCGGAACUCCAACUCAUCAUUUGUAUUCAAUUCCUAUUUGCAACAUCAGAUUGCUUUUAUCUUGUUCUUGCUUGUUUCUUCGAUUUGCUUGUAGGAAUAGAGUUGAUUUGCACCGGCAAGAUCAACAACCCACGGAGAGGUAUAUCAAUCGCUAAGGUGCAACACAACGUCUCGUACGGUUGUAGUCGGAUCGUCAACGCUCCUCCCAAAUCGUGGUUAUCUGAACUCACCGAAAGAUCGGGCCAACAACAUCCUUGAGUAUCGAGUGGAACUCAGGGUUCAUCACCUCCCCGACUAGCCGUCUGCACCCCGUCCGCAGCCGCCUGUGCCUCCCGUCGUAGUCGCCCUCGCCCGCUUCCCGCUGUCGACAUCGUUGUUGAUGACCAAAUUUGGUAAAUUAUGAACCAGGUUCGACAUUGGGAUCGAAGCGGAUUCAAUAAAGAGAUUGAUUCUGUCAGAGAUAUGGGCCCGGGCGUAUGCAAAGUGUGGGGGAGUUCCCUUCCCAUCCUCACACGUGGCUCUACAGCCUGGCCCUGCCCCCACGCCCCAUGAGUCGCAGGCGCGACCGGGGGGCCUCGGGGUGCCAGGUCAUGCCCCUCGGGGUGCGGCGUCAGGCCCCUCGGGCCCUCGCGCUGCGGCGGCCCGAGGCCCUCGCCCAACUGCCGCGUGGCGGGGGGAGCGUGAGGAGAGAGAGGCAUGGCUGAGUAUAGGUGUCCAAACGGGCGGCACGGCCCGGCCCGGCACGGGCACGGGUCCGGCACGGCCCGUUUCGGCACGGCCCGUUAGGCACGGCUGAUGAAACGGGCCGUGCCGUGCCGGCCCACGUGCCGAGCCGCCGGCCCAAGCACGGCCCGUGGAUGGCCGGGCCGUGCCGUGCCGGCACGGCACGCCUGCGGCCCACGGGCCGUUCGGGGCGAAAUUUGAGAUUUUUUGGAAUUUUUUCGAAAUUUUUAUGAAUUUUUUAGCCUCCCAACGGUUAUUUUCAAAUUUGAACGGUCAAAUAGCCGUUAGUGUGCCACGUGGCGCCUUCCCAUUCGACCGCCGCCCGCCCACGUGGCGCUUUCGGCCUGACGGGCCGCCGGCGAAACGGGCCGUGCCGUGCCGCGGGCCGUGCCGGGCCGUGCCGCUACAGUAGCCGUGCCGUGCCGUGCCGGCCCGCGGGCUCGGCCAGCGGCCCAAGCACGGCACGGCUACUCGGGCCGUGCCGGCACGGCCCGUUACUGUAGCAGGCCGUGCCGGGCCGUGCCUGCUACAGGUUCGGCCGUGCCCCGGGCCGCCCGUUUGGCCCGGCCCGUUUGGCCACCUCUGUGGCUGAGCAGCCAUCAAUGCGCGGCGCCCCAACCGUCCCUCACCAUGUUUAAUGCGGUAAGGAUGAACGUGCGGUGCCGCACCACUGGCCCACGUCAAAUCGGGUGUGACCAGUCUGUGAUCGGCCUAUCGCCGGUCACGUCCGAUUGACGCGCGGUCGUGCCCUCACGUCGCCUUUGUCUCCGGCGGAGUGGAGGUAGGUAUGUCCCGUCACAUCGGGGCGUCAUCGGAGUCCUCUCCACGUGAGAAGGACAGUCACCAGUCAUCGCCCAUUUAAGAGCGAAUGAUAGGGCUGUCCCCCGUGUCAGGCGGGGGGCGGCGCUGGGUCCCACCUAGAGACGCACAACUACCUUGCUUCCGGUUGAAGGCACGGAUGGAGGUCUGAUCCAGGCUAGGUGGGUCCCCCUCCCAUGGAGGGGUAGGUAUAGACGGUGCAUGUGGUAUCCCCUUGAACUAUAAAAGGAGGACCUUGCUCACCGGGAAAAGGGACGACACUCGGAAAACCCCGAACUCCAGGAAGAGAAGGGAAGUAAGCUCUUCUAAGUUGGGGAACCCUUGUAAUCCUCAUCCAUAAUUCCACACACAGGAGUAGGGUAUUACUGUCACGACCGGAAAUAACCUAACGGGCGUUCCUUACAUACGUGUAUUAUUCCUUGUCCCAGGAGGCAAGGUACACCAAAAGUUGAUACAAUUCAGAGUUUAACAAGCGGAAGCGUAAAUAGUUAAUUAUUACAUGGGCGACGAGAGCCCAGCACACAGAAAGGCAAUGGAAAACAGCGGAAGACUAGGGCGACGACCACAAGCGCCUGACGGCAGGCACGAGCUAGACACCAAAGCCUUCAUCAUCCAGGAGCUCCUCUUCUGGGUUUGGGAAAAAUUGAGCAAGACUGAGUACAACCACCGUACUCAACAAGACACACCCACAAGUGCAGCAUACGCCAGGACAAGGUUUUAGUAACACCAUUUUGUGUUACUAUAUGUCCAAAAAUGUGUUACAAUGUUAUUCAGUAACACAUUUAUGAACUGUUACUAUAGCCUAUGUUACUGUAGCGCAAUCUACUGUAACACAUCUAUGCGUUGUUAUAUAUAAGAAAAGGUGUUACAACUAGGCUAUAGUAACAUGUAUUUAGGUGUUGCCAUAGACCAUUGUAACACCAUUUUCUACCAUUACCAACACCGUUGGUAACAUCAUUUUCUACUUGAAGUAACAUAUUUGUAACAUUUUAUUGUAUAUAUUACAACACAAUUACUUUUUGGAUUGGUAGUGCAUUUCACCUAAAAUUACUACAUUUAGAAAAAAAUACUGCAUGAAGUUUUAUCACUUCAAAAAUGGAAGUGGCAUGACCAUAUAUACGUAAUAGGAGAAAAUAAUCACAAGUGAAGAAGUGAAAUGAUCAUAAUAUAUUGCAUUGCAAUAAGGAAAUUUACAGAAUUAUUGUUUACAUCUUGUAACAAAGAAAUUUAUAGGCAUAUCUUUUAAAAAGAAAAAAAUACACAUUUUAGCAGCAAGCUGCUAGAUAAUUGUGCAAUACAUCUAUUCAUAUAUCAUCUUCGCAAAUUCCUUCGCUUCUUUCUUAGAUCUUGAAGUGGGCAUUCAACUGUCAGAAUUCAGCCACUGAUCAUCUGAAUCUGCAUAAGAAAUUUAUUAUUAGCCUUCACAAUUGCAUUAAAUAAUAUUGACAAUAUUCUUCAACAUAUAAAAUGCUACUAUGACCAUACAUAAAACAACAUAGCCAUAUUGUCAUUUUCCUUAAAAUGAUGAUCUGUAACCACUUUACUAAACUAGUUCAAAGGCAAAAAAAAAAGUUGCUCACAGAUUCAUCUAGCAUUAAACUGAGGCCAAUUGCCACCUGAAAAAUAGAUUAGGAGUACUAAUGUUCAUCAAGAUUAUCAAUGAUCCUGUCAACAGUAUAAUUAUCUGAUAGUUUCAUCCUUUAUAUCUGAUGAAACUGGGGAAUUUAAAUUGGUUUUUGGACAGAUCAUUUUAUUACUAAGCUUCAUGUUCUUUCUCCUCUGUUCUGUCAACCAAAAACAAUGUGGAACUAACCUUUGAUACCAUUGCAACCCCAGUGUGGUAGUGUCCCAUUCAUCUUAAAUAUAUUCUUGCAAACCUGCUUCAGAGGGGAAAAAAGACGACGUAGCAUCAAAGUAUCAAAUAAUGUAUUGAAGCAAGAAUCAUUAGUAUUUAAGUCCAUCUAAAGCAAACUAUCUAACGCCAUGUUUGUGGAGUAUUGACUGUACACAUCAUGCUUCCAUGCUUCCUCCAAACGUGCCUACACACCACAAUAGUUUCCUACACACCACAAUAGUUUCCUCCAUACUACAGUAGAACGCCUGUAGUAUUUUCUUUAAAUGUAUCAGCAAGUGUAAUACAAGAUUUUGGAAAAACACAGUGCUCAGGAAAAUAAUUUUCUGUUGAAAAUGCAGGAAAAUAGUUCGAACGGCACAUUUCUUAACAUUGAAAGCUACAGUUGACUGAGAUAUACAAAUCGGAUAUCAGUAUCCACUGCUACCACCAUAUAGAAGAAUAAAUGAUUACUACUCCUACAAUGGCAAUAAUACAUUGGGUAGCAUAUCAAACUUUGGAGCCACACACCAUAGAACAAAAAGAUAUAAUACUCUAUAUAUGCGCUGGAUAUGUCAACAGUUAAACAUCAAAUAUUUUUGCAACAUCAUAUAUUUUUGCAGCAGGAACUUCCCAAUAUGCAUGUGAGCAUGCACUUCUGAAAGUUCUUACUACUCCUACCAAUGACAGUACAACUUCUAUCAAUCAUCUGUGAAGGAAAAUAAAAAGUAAUUAUGACCUUCUUUUCCUAUAUAGCAUUUCUCCAAUAAGUUGGAAAAUACCCAUAGAAUAAUUAUGACUAACCAGAGAAAGCUGCAGCCAUAAUUACCUUGCACCAAGUGAUGUGCUCUGUGAGUUCUUCUCCUGUGGUUCCAUCUUUACAAUCUCGUAAGCAGGCACACAUAGUGAUAUAGAGUUGCUUUGCCUCAUUUUCUACACUUAAAGCUGCAGUGUUAGUUUCUUGUAUCAGAACUUCAUUAGACAAUAAUAUGUUUGAUUUACUUAACAAGGCAUGGAAGAAAAUAGAUGACAUGCAGAAUAGUACCUUAAGAUUUCGUUCCCAAAGUUUAGACAUAGCACAUCUUAUUUUGAACUUCCAUGCACAAACCACAACAUGCUGAUCCAAAAUAUUGUUCAAAGCUAGUGUUUUAAUCAAACAAGUUGACAUUUGUUUGCAAUAAGAAGUCAACUUGUAUUAUAUUGGUUUUGCUCUUUUGGCCCUCUGUUGUGAGUUGUGACCUUUAAGUAAUGAUCAGGCAUAACUGGAUUUUAUCGAACAAAUCGGUCCAUAUAUACUGCCUGCUUGAAAGAGUCAACAACUUAAUCCCCUUGAAAAUACUGGCUAGCUGCAUAAAAAGUUGUUCUGUUGAUGGUGAUCACCCAAUGUGUUCAUGAAACUGAAAGCAAUCAAGCACUACUAAUUCACAGAUUUAGGUUUUUUUUUUUAUGAAUGAUCAUGUUGGCAUAAGAAUUUUGCAAUUUCGCGUGAUCAGAAAAAGUAUGGAGAGAUGUGAAGAUAACAUCAAUAAUCUGUCUAAGGACAAAAUUAUGCUUUUACGGAGUUGGCAUGCAACAGUACACAGUGAAGCUUUUCAUCAAACACAUGAUGUGCAUAUGUGUGAUAGAGAACAAGCCAUCCACUCCUAUUAAAGAAGAAUUUAGUGAGACAGUACACAAACCACAAAAAGGAUUCCUUUGGGUUCUUGUGAUGUGCUCACCAUGCGUACACAAGAAGGAUGCAGUGAUCAGAUGUGUUUGGACUCUCCAGCAAUCAGAUGUGUCUCGAUCUUGCAUCCUGCAAAUGCCAGGAAGAAAGGGAUGGGUGAGACAGGCUAGAUAGAUGGCCAGUUUUGGGGAGAGCAAGCAUGUGCGGCUGAGCAAUUUACUCCUUCUCGCCCCCUCCUCCGAAGCCGCCGGCGUCUGUAGUCCCUCGACAUCGCUCACGCGGCUCACCUGACGAGAUCGAUGCCGCUCCACGGACGGAAACUCCCCUUUCUCCCCUGCCCACCUGCCACCGUAGGGGCUGCGACGAGCCGACUCCCCUUUCUUGUCGCCGGGAUCUGAGUAGUUGAUAACACGAGAUUGCAGCAGCCAGCAGAUGGGAAGCACAGACCUCGGUUGCUCGGGUGAUGAGUCGUGGGAUGUUGGGUUCCUCCUGGAAAUAAGGAGGUGAUGGGGUAGGGGGCGUUGGGUCUUAUUAUAUCGUGAACUGAAGAUGUGGAGAUAAAUUAGCCGGUUCGUUACAAGUGAAAUUUUGGCGGCAGUCUCUAGACGGAAAGUCGAGAUUGGCGGGAAGUAUUUUUAUGUAAAUUGCGCAUGAAAAUAGCACGGUAUUUCUUUGUCUAAAAACUAUGAGAGGCCAUAAUUUAAAAAAGUUGGUCCACUUGUAAGUAUUAAAUUAAGGUAAUUUUAAUUUUGUUUAUAUAUGUAACAUGAGAUUUACUUCUACAUUACUGUUUUUGAGAUGGAAGUUUGAUCACAAUUCUUUAACCAAAUAUAAAUUUAUAGAAAUGUAAUAAGUUUAUGAGAUUAAGAAAUUACUUUCAAAACAAAUGUACAUGUAUCAUUGCUAUAUGCACAAACUUAUCAUUUUCGUUGAUAUUAUUUAAAGUUAUAAUAAUUUAAUAGAAACUUUUCUAAAACAUUAUAUAUUUUCUAGAUCGAACGUAGUAAAUGGUAAACACAUCCAUUAAUUUAAUUCUAUGUUAUUUGGCUCUACCAUGCUAUCUCAAUUAGUUUAUCGUCUAUUGGUUUAUCCGAGUCUGACUACCUUCAUAAAUAGCCUGAAGUGCAAGUCCAAACAUCUUAUCACUAUUUUACUUCCUAUACUUUUCACAACCAACCAGAGCCGUCUCUAUUAGACACCGGUCCUUUUAAGUUAGUGUUAUGUCUUCAGCGUCCUACGUGUAAGCUAGAGAAGCCACGUGGCUACAAACGUGCGAAACACAAAGGUAGCAUUCGAUGGAAGAUGAUUUUCACAAGUUCAGUGAAGCUUGCUUGUGGUUCGCAUAUUUUGACUUAAAUUUCAUUGUCAAAGUACCCUCUCAAUUCUUUAGAAAAUUAAUAAAAUUUCUGCCAAUAUGAAGUUAAUUGUGCAUCCCAUACUUAUGGACAAGUAUCCUCUACAUGCCGUUGUGCCUAGAGAGCGUCGCCAGCCGUUGUCAUUGCAGUAAGGAAUAACAAGAUAUUAUCACUCUUUGCCUCCUUCCAUUCUCAUUCAUCAUAUUACAUAAAAAAGAUACAUAUACUUUUCCGUAAAAUUUUAUUUUCCGCACAUUAUAAAUAACAUUGUAUAUGAAAUGUAAUAGGCUAUUAUUUGUUAUAGAGGGGAAGAUUUUGUUUCAUUAACAUGGAUUAAACUAAUUUAUUGAUAAGGUGAGUACAAAAUUAUUAAAACUUUAUAGAAUUCCAAAUAAAACUACUACUAAUUUAUUUCUUUAUAGGUCCACCCUGUCAGAUUUCCAUCAAUCUAGUUCUAUUGUGCCUGAAAAAGAGAAACACAUAAAACUGAUUUUGCCGCGGGUUUGCUCCAAAUUUUUGUGUUUGUACGCUUUUUUCCUCCCUCAAUUUGCCGGGUUUUCUUCUCCACUAUCGGAAGCAGUUAUGAUCCUAAUAGAGAAAACAAAACCCAUCUCCUUACUCCUGAACAUACCGAUCCAAUCUCUCCAGUCAUCGCAGCUUCUCCACAGCAGAUCCCGGCGCCCGCCACGGCCGACGACGUCGUCGGUGCGGCGGUGCCUCAGCCCUGUCUGCUCGUCCCCAGGGCAAGAUCACCCGCCUCAACGCGCUUCUCCACGCCGUCAUCGAGAUCGAGGUCAACUCCGACGCGCUCCAGCAGCCGGCGCGCGCCGACACCGAGCACGCCUCUGGCCACAGCUACUGCGGGCCGCUCCACGGCGUCCCCAUCCUCAAGGACAACAUCGUGAAGCGCGACCGGCUGAACACGACGGCCGGGUCGUUCGCGCUGCUCGGCUCCGUCGUCUGCCGUGACGCCGGCGUGACGGCCGGCCUCCGCGCCGCCGCUGCCGCCGCCAUCAUCCUCAGCAAGGCAAACCCCGUCCCGAACGGUUGGAGCGCUAGACGCUGGUAACCCCUAUCACCACGCUAAGCUGUCGUUUUAUCUCCAGCAUCUCGUCUUGUAUGCAAUGUGUUUGUGAAAUUGUCCAUAAAGAGCCUCAUGUUGUCAAUUGACGUGAUCUGGUCCAGCCGCGCAGCGCCAGCAUGAUGCAUCAUCGUGUCAAACGGGUGGCGGCUUACGCAGGCGCGCAUCCCCUGUGCUUUCAGUUUCAGCACCAGCAGCAACCACCUCACCGUGAUGGAUUCACUGGCUGAAUUUGUUCCUGCCAAUCAACGGCAGCUAAUCAUAGUAAGCACUUGUUGAAUUUGUUUCUGCCAAUCGAUGGCAGAUUAGUUAGCACUCUAUUUCUUUAUGCACACCACAUGUUCGAUACUUUGGGCCAGUGCAAAUCAUUGGUCUUAUUGUUUGAACCGACUCACCGCUGUAUACUUCUGUGGAUUUAGGCAGCUCCAGUUAGCUACUCACAGGAAGAUCAUUUUUGCAUCUACUAGAAGCUGCAGCAUGGACAUGAUAUAUUUGCAAGAUAUGGUGAGCACACUAUUUAAUAAUCCCAAACAUCAUAUUAGUGCUGGCAGUGAUUGUCAUACUUUUGCUCAUGCCAUAAUUGUUUGGAAUGUCAGAUUGCAUUAGGAGGUGAUGAAGUAAGUGUUUCAAACAUGCAAAUUCAUGUCAUCAUCCACCAGAACUGCCCCCUCGCUACUUUCUCUACCGUAUGUACUAGUAAUUAUUAUAGUUAUACUCUACUUUAAAUUUGAUUUCAUGCUGGAACUUUCUUAGGAGUAAUAUGCAACUUGUGACCUGUUUUUGCUAGCAUUAUUGUUGUUUUGAAUGAAGAAUUGAUGGUUGCAAUUGGCAGAUUUCUGCUAACCCGUGAAUCAGUAAUUAAGUUAUGAAUGGAUGCAAAUUCUGCUAAAUACAUAGCUAUUUUUAUUCAGGAUAGAGCUUCGAGCUACGACAUGAAUAAUACUCAUGUACAUGAAUGUACAUGUUAAUACAUACAUUAGGAUAAAUAUAAUAAAGAACUGCAUGAUUGGGUAGUGUGAACUAGCCUAGCAAAAUGCUUGUGUUUCCUAUUUUGUCCUAAGAGGAGUUCUGAUUUCAGUUCUGUUUUUUAAAUCGUUUGGUGGAAAAUCUGUCAGUUUUUUUAUAAAAAGAUAUGUGGAAUGAUGUAGACACUCCCAGUCUUAUAUACGGUCCUCAUCAAGGUUGUUCAAGUUGCUUAGGAUUUUAUUCAUUCAUCCUUAUGUUUUUUUUUGUCUAGGAGCAACAUCUUUGUACCAUGAUCUAAGCUGUCAACGUAGUAUGAUCAGCCAUCUGUGGCCUUUCAAUUAUUCUAAUUAUGCAUGUGACAAGAUUGUCAUUUUUUUUAUUCAAUUCAGCGAUCUCCAAGGUUGCAUGUAAGCUUUGUCCACUAGAUCAUGGAUCCAACACAAGCCUCCAGGUGCUGUUAACCUCAUCUCCACAUAUUUAGCAACAAACUUUGUGUGAGUUAAAGAUCAAAUUGUACAGUCAAACAUAUUUACUUGUGGUUAUUAAAUUUUUAACACACCUAAAUUACCUUUACUUUCUAUUUCAACACAGAAAACUAUGGAUUUAAAUGCUAGUAAACAGCCAAUGCUUUUCUACAGACCAUUUAUGAGCAUUUUUGGUAGAAUAAAGGAGUUUUCCGAUCCAAUGGCCAUUUAAGAAUUGUGUGAAUUAGUGAUUAUUACAGCAGAAGUGCGUGGUCAUUGAGUAUGUUUAUUAAAAUUCUUUGAAGUGGUGGAAUUUAAUUACACUGCCACCACAUAUUUGUCACUGUUGUUGCUAUGGAAAGUACAAAUAUUCAUCUAUUUGACAUCAACUGUUUAUUUUCAGGCCCAUUCUUUGGUUGUCAAGGUGGUAAAUACAAGUAAAGGCUUGUUUUGAUAACCUCUCUUGCAGGAUUUAUUUUCAAUUUGUUCAAGGCUGUUGGUAUUGCACCGAGGAAAUUUAUUACCUUCUUUUUUUUUCACCUUGAAAUGUCAUAUUGAUAACCCAAGUAAUCAUGUCAUCAACUCAUAUGUGAUAUUUGGAGUGCCUUGGAGUGUAUUGCUUUGAAAGCAAUUUGAAUAUCAACAGAGAUUGUACAAUGUUGCUUUCUACUCUGCUAGUGGAGGGUAUUUGUUAAUUAAGUCCAUUGUUGAUGGAUGAUUAUUUGAUUUUUGCCCAUGAUAAUGGAUUAAACUUAGAUCAACAUGCUAUCUGCAAUAUAUUUAUCUGACUACAUAUGGAAAUUCUUGUAUACUAAACAAUGUUAUGAAGUCCAAAAUAAUUUACAGUUGAGAACUGCACAAGUCCAAGGGAACUUUAGUCUGGUCUAUUAUAGAAAAAUGGCAAAAGCAGAGGUGAUUAAAAUGAGAGGUAUGAGAGAAAAUAAAAGAGUAUUAGAAAUUUUAAGUAAACAAUGCAAUGGAAAGUAAACGGUUGAUGUAAAUCUCCGAACAAACGAAUACAAUACACAUUUGAGUUAGUUUGCUAUAUGGUUAGCAGUUUUCCUUUUUUUUUUGUAUAUAUAUUUGGAGACAUGUCGCAAAUCAGAGUAAAAAAACACAAAGUAAAAUUACCACAACCUAAUAUGCGCUUUCCAGGUGCCACUGGAUUGCGAUGCUUGCGAUAUACUCCCUCCGUUUCAAAAUGUUUGACACCGACUUUUCAGUACGUGUUUGACCAUUCGUCUUAUUCGAAAAAUUUAAGUAAUUAUUUAUUCUUUUCAUAUCAUUUGAUUCAUUGUUAAAUAUACUUUCAUGUACACAUAUAGUUUUACAUAUUUCAUAAAUUUUUUUAAUAAGACGAACGGUCAAACAUGUGCUAAAAAGUCAACGGUGUCAAACAUUUUGAAACGGAGGGAGUACAUGUUUGAGCCCAGAUAUUAUUAUUAUUCUUUCAAAAAAAAUCUUGGACAACAGUUGAUAAUGUGAUUACGAGGUUCGCUGAAUUGGCCACUAGUUUGGAUGGCGCAAACAAUAAGUAAAAUCAUCUACAUGCACCUAGCAACACCAAGGCACACUUGCCUACUUGGUUGAUCGAGAAUUGCAUAUACCAAAGGUCUAGAGUUCAACUCCCUCCACAAGCAGCACUUUUUUACCAUAUAUUUGUUCGUUGUCUCAGCAUUCAUAACAUUGUGUUACUAUAGGCGUCAGUAACAUAUAUGUAGGUGUAUAUUUGUUCGUUGUCUCAGCAUUCAUAAUAUUGUGUUACUAUAGGCGUCAGUAACAUAUAUGUAGGUGUUACUGUAUGCAGUUCAUGUGUAACAUAACUCAUAUGUGUUACCAAGAAGACUGUAACACAUAGCUUUGUGUUGCUAUUGAACUUUCUUGUAACACAUGUCAUAAAGUGUUACAAAAUUAUGUUACAAUAUGUAGGUCCUGGCGUAGUGUAAAUGCAAAGAAGUACAAUGGAGUUAUAGUAUAGGGGGUUAGGGUUUGCAAUAAACAGCAUUUAAGAAACACUUAGUUGCUCAAAGCUAAAUUUAAAACACGAUCCUAUAACUAUUUAAUAUUAUUAAACAAGGCCGUGAACCCACACGAACCUGCCUUAACCCAAGGUCUACGAUGAUUCAGACCGAACUGGCAACCCGACCCUGGGCCCCAGCUCGUCCCAAGCCAACCCAGGCCAGCCAUUCCACAUUUUAGUUAUUAAGCAGGUUUUAAGAAUUGAAAACACUAACUUGGGUACAUUGCUAGGCUUGCCCAUAACCGAGGGCGCGGCUAUUCGAAUAGGUUUUACUCUGAUCAGAGGUGUACAUCUUUACCCACAAGACACGUCUUCCUCACGUGCAACCCCGUGCCACAUACCACCACGGCAUAUGGACGGAAGACAUGACAUAGUUUCCAACCCAUCCUAGCCAUAGACAAGAGUACCGACCCAACCCCACCUACGACCGGAACCUCCGGGACAGGUAGGCAGGACUGAGCCCCUAGCAGCAGGACACCAGCCCUGUGCCAUGACAUCUCGACUACCGGGCCGCAGCUCGUGUAGCCUUCAUUUGUCCUAGAGAUGUCCAUCGACCCCUGACUUCGUCCAUCUCCAUUCGUGUACUUUUGUUUAUAACCAGACUGAGCCACAAACUAAGCCUUACCCACUAGACAUGUGGAAGUACGGUAGUGCUUUGCAACAGAGGCCCGAAGUCCGGUCCUUAUGUGGUCGAGGUGCUACUAUCAAAACCAUGCACCCCAAGCCCAGCGUAAAACCAUUUUGAGAGUUUUGAAUAGAGGGAGAGGUGUGCAUCCAAUUCCACAAUAGUCCAACCAUUCCAUAAAGUCCAAGAGAUAUGAAUGUUCCCAAAGUCUAAAGUUAUAAAAACCACCUAAUGUUGUCUUAUUAAUCAGCGAAGCAUCUACCUAAAUUCAUACCAGGGGAACCAUGAGUAGAGUGCCCACUAGUAGGGGUUUUGUUUAUUCUAGGGUGAACAAGGUAAUAAUAACAAUAGCAAUAAUAAGGUCAUAACAAAGGUAAAUAGGCAUGGCUAAAUAAAACAGUGAUAACGCGGGAAUUUAAAUAAAGUGAUAAUGCAAUAAUUUAAAUCAAAGUAAUUUCAUAAAGUGGGAUCCAAUAUGUUCAAAGAAUGAUGUGACUUGCCUUGCUCGCUUUCCCAAACGUCGGCUUCAACCUCCACGAAGAGCGGAUCUUUCGAAGCUGCAGCGUCUACACGACCAACGGAAAAGAAAAGGGCUUUUACUCUAAUAAACUCCAUAUAACAAGCAAGAACAAAGCACAAAAAUGGGUUCUUGACUUCUUAAGAAAAAAUUAGAGACUUGAACGGUCCAAUUCCGAGUUCAAAUGGCCAAGUUAUGGCCAUUUGAAGUUUAUAUGCUCUUUAAAUGAAUAUUUACGAAUUUCUUCAUUUAAAUUUUAAUUAAAAAUAAAGGUUUAUUGCGUCAGCUGAGGGGAGGGGCGCGCGGACCGGGUCCAUGGGAGUGGGGCCCACGCGGCAGCCUCUCGGUCCACGGUGGACCGGGUGCACCCGGGCUCACACCGGCCGGCGCCGUGGGCCCCACGCGUCAGCCGCACCCGAGGGCGCGGGCGGCUGACUGCCGGGCCCCACGCGGUAGCCGCUCGGCGCGCCCGAAGACGGCCACGUCGGCGCGGCCGGCGGGAGACGGCGCGCCCGCGCCCCUAUGGUCGCCGGCGGCGGCCAUAGGCACGGCGGAGCGGCGGCCGAGAGAGGGGAGGGAAAGGGGGAAACGAGGCGGCGGUCCACGGCUCACCCAAGGUCGACGGCGACGACGGAAAAGGCGACCGGAGCGGAGGAAGGCGGCGGCGCGGCUCGGGUGGACGGGGACGGCGGCGCUCCGGUGGUCGGCGAGCUCGACGAGGGGGUGGACGGGACGGCGGCGAUGCGGCGAAGCCGGAGGAGGCGACGCCGGGGCGGGAGACGGUCCCGGCGAGCGAGAAGAGGCGGCCGGAGGUCGUCGGCGACGGAGGAGAGAGAGAGCGACGGCGCGAGCUCGAUUCCGGCGAGGAGAAGGCGCGGCAAAGGGUGGAAAUGGGCGAAGGAGGUGCGGGGAGGGUUUAAAUGGGGUUGGGAGGGGCAGAGGGCGGCCGGGGAAGGAAGGAAACCGGCCGGGAGGUCCGGCCGCCAUCAAUGGCGCCGGCGAGAUUUGCGGGGGCAAAUCCGGCCGUUUGAAUGCGAGAGAGAGAGAGGGGAAAAUGGGGGGAAAGAGGGAGGGGAUCACGGGGAGUAAUUCCCCCCACUUAAAUGCACGCGGGGACGGCGGGAUGCGGCGGAUUCGGCGGCGGCGGCGGCGCUUGGCGCGGGCGGAGCGGCGGGAGGUCGGGGAUGACGGGUGGGCCCCACCCGCCAGCGAGGGUGGCGGGCGGGCCCGCCCGUCAGCGGCGCGCGCGGGGAGGGGCCGAGUGGGCCGCGGGGGAGAGGAGAGAGGGGGAGGGAGAUGGGCCGAAUUCGGCCCAAGAGAGGAAAGGGGGAUUUUUAGGGUUUUUCUUUUUAUAAAACCUUUUUAACUUUGUUUAUUUCUUAAUAAUUAUUAUUUGUGCUCUGAAAAUUCCACUAAAAUUUAUUUACACAUUUUAGGCUUUUAGGAAAUAUACAAAAAUCCUCCAAGCCUUAAUUGACUUUUAACUUUGCACAUUUUAAUUUUUGAAGGCUUUCACAAGGAUUUUAAUUAUUCUAGGCAUAAUUUAAAGGGUAUAUUUUAGGGUCAUUUUGGGACGCGACAAUUACGCUUCGUAGCGGCCCGAACCUGUAUAAUCUCGGUGCUAGUGUGCAGUUCAGUAGAGUCCAGGGCGGAUACACCAUCUCCUUGAGCGAGCCUCUUCCCCCGGCCGAACUCACAAAGGGGGGUCUCACGAUCUCCCGCUAGAGAGGAUCACUCCUCGACAGAUUCGAAGAACGGAGUAUGCAUCGGCUGCGAAGGCAUCGGCUGGAGUCUGCAUUGACUGAGAUGGAUCGGACAGAGGGUAGCCGAUACAGCCGAUAGAGGUGAUGCAGCCGAUUCUGAUGAUGAUGACUUUGAAGAUGCUUCUAGAAUUGAUCAAGGUACUUCACGAGGAUUGCCGUGAUGGAGAUAAAGCUCUCGGAUAGGCAAUUGUAUCUAUUAAUUAGGAUAUUUCAUGUAAUUUCCUUAGAGAUAUGUUUGGGCAAAAGUAUGCCGCAAAGACUUAUGGUAUCUUAGAGUUUGUUAGAGAUAAAUAUCGUGUCCGGCAAGGACAUAUCUUGUAUCUCGGGUAUAAAUAGAACCCAAACCCAUAUAAUCAAUUAACACACGUUCAAUACAAUCUCGGCGCAUCGCCACCCUUUUACUUUUGUUUCAUCUCGACGAGUUCUUGCUUUCGGGUUGAGCUGCAUUGUUUCGAUCUUCAACUAGAGGUAAACUUGUCAUGAUGGCUUGCGUUCUCGGGAUUAGUGCUUCCAUCUUUAUGAUACUCUAAUAUUGUUUAUAUAAUUCGUCGAGUUAUCACAUAUCCUAUAUAAUCUUUGACAAUAUUAUUAUCUAACCUUUAAUCGGCCAACAUCUAUCGUUGUAAGGCAGCCGAUUAGGUUUGACGGAGCUCGUGGCUCCUCACCGGGAGACCGCGCAGGCCCCCCUUUGCCAGUUCGGCCGGGGGCUUAGGGUGAGAUCUCAAGCUCUCUCUGUGUGUGGAAAGAUCGCGUACCAGGAAGAAACGUGAGACACGGACGAUGUAUACAGGUUCGGGCCGCUGGGAAGCGUAAUACCCUACUCCUGUGUUUUUUGGUGGAUCUGUGUAAGAGCAAGUUACAAAAUAUCAACCAGCCCUCUCCUCUCCCGGGAAAAUCCCCCCCCUUCUCUCUUUGUGGGCAUGGUCCUCCUUUUAUAUCUUAAGGGGAUACCACAUGUACCCUCUCCUUUCCAAACUGGACUUUUCUUCUCUUUAUGGACGGAGAUUGGUAUGGUUGCCGUCCGAAUGACACUUCGAUGGGACAGCCCACACCUACUUCCACUCCCGGCGGAGACAGGCGCAAUGUGGGAUCGUGGCUGUCUGUUGCUGACGCGACCAGUGUCAGACCGGUCACAGAUCGGUCAUUCUUGUCCUCUAUGCGUCAGUUCAGCGAUCUGCAUGAUCACCCUUCUUUUUAUAGCAUCUUGCCUGUAAUGGUUGGGAUGAAGCCUGGUAUUCAUUUAACCAGGGCUAACGUGCCAUCUCUAAGAGGUAACACGCUAGCCCCGGCUGGAGACGUGUGCCUAGAGGCUCUCGUCUUGACGGGACGGGGCGAGGCGUGCGUCAGACCACCAGUCGCCACCUAACCGUUGAUCCGACCGGUCUGUGACUGGUCACAGACCGGAUAAAAGAGCGCGCUGCAUUGCGCUGCAUGCAACGUGACACGUUUGACCAGACCGCAAUAAAUGCGGUUAGGUGAGCCCUACCGUGUUCACCCAACCUAUGUACAUAGUGCAAACCCCACAGGGGGUCGGGGCACCUCGGCCCUCGGGGUCGGGGCAGGAGCAACCCGACCCCCCCCUCGGGGAAAUCAGGAGGAGGGCGGACACCUCACCCUCGGGCCCGACGUCCCCGAAGGUGCCAGGCCACGUGGGCGAUUCCAUCUGCCUCAAGCCUCCGGGCGCAAUACUCCCGGUCCCAUAUCACCGACAGUAGCCCCCGGCGUUAUGUCAGGGCAAUCAUCCUUCUCAAGGGAAGCGGCCGGGCAUGACGCCACUCAUGAAGCCUGGUGACAGGUGGGACCGGUCUCCGUGAUUGGGCAGAAACCCAACGGUCUCAAACCACGCAUAUCGGUAACGGUGUCUUGGCCGUCAGUCAUGGGCGGUCUCUUCAAGACUGCCACAUCACUUGAGCAGCGCUCGAAUCUGGGCGUGUAGAUUUGUUUCGUCUGGAGAUAUGGUAACGUCGCUUCGGUCAGCGAGCGUAAUUAACGCACACACGAUACGAUCUAUCUCGACUGCCACAACCGCAUAUCUUCCUUAUGCGCCGCAAGCGGGCGAAUGGGAUUAGUGGAAGCGUGGGCGCGAGAAACGAGGGAGCGAGAUAGCGAGUAACGAGGGAGCGAGAUAGUGGGCACGAGAAACGAGGAGCCGGGCUCAGCGAUGGCAAGGGUAUAAAGCUAUCGAGGAAAGGACUUGCUCCCUUCCUUUCGCCACUAUUCCCCUUUCCUUCGCCGUUUGCGCCCCUAACUCUCUCUUUGCUGCGCCUCACCUUCGCCACACACACUCGUUCUCAACCCUCUCUUUCUCCGACGACAUGGCACGGGGCUCCGCUCUGCUCGACGGUAGCGUACUACCGCCUUCCCGCAUUGUGAGUGAGAGGCAGGCUGGGCUGCCGCGCCGCUUCAUGCCGGAAUCCGCCACCGGCCGGGAGAUAGUGAUGCUGGGCGAGGCGCGCCCAGCGCCAGAUUACCCGGGGCGGUCCAUCUUCUUCCUCCCCUUCGCAAUGGCCGGGUUGGUUCCUCCUUUUUCUUCUUUCUUUAUGGAUGUUCUGGAGUUCUAUGAUCUCCAGAUGGCGCACCUCACCCCCAACGCAGUGAUGACUUUGGCCAUCUUCGCGCACCUGUGCGAGAUGUUCAUUGGGGUGCGCCCAUCUCUUCGGCUGUUCCGGUGGUUCUUCACCGUGCAGUCGGUGUCGCCGCCGUCGGUGGUCGGCGGCUGCUAUUUCCUGCCGCGGGGGCCGGUGUUGAACCGCUACAUCCCCUGCGUCCUCCGCAAAAAGUGGGAUGACUGGAAGAGCGACUGGUUCUACACCCCCCUCGCCGACGAAGCGCAUCUCCGACUUCCGAGCCAGCCCCCGGUGCAGGCCUCCAGCUGGCGGGCGCCGGUAGAUCUGGUGUCACGCCCUGAAGUUCCCCUCCCUUGCUCUAAAUUCAUAAAAUAAAUCGUUCGAAGAAAUUGUUUAAUUUAACCUAGAGAGAAACCCUAAAUUAAUAAACGCAAAUAAUAAUCGGAAUCGGCAUGUGGAAUUUUUCUUGGGUUCUACAUGUCAAAAUACGCUAACAGGAUUUUUAGUGGAAUUUUCAGAGCCUUGGAAAUAAUUUUAACCAAUUAAAAUGAGCAAAGUGCAAUAUUAAAUCCCUGGGAAAAUCCUUUUUCUUUUUCUUUUUCUUUUUCCUCUCUUUUUCCUCCUUUUUGUCAAAUGGGCCGUCGGCCCAUUUCCCUUUUCCUCCCCCUCCUCUCUGCUGGGCCGGCGACAGGCCGAGGCCCAGUCCGGCGGCCCAGGCCGCCCGCCGCCUCCUCUCUCGGGGUCGCCGACAGGUGGGGCCCACCUGUCGGGCCCGUCUCCCUCCUCCCGCCGAUCCCGGCGCGCCGCCGCGCCCGCAACCGUCGCCGCGCCCACGUCUCCGCCUUCCCCGGCCCUCGUCGACCACGCCCGCGCGUGCGCCGCGUCCCCCGCGCCCACUUCCCUCUCUCUCCCGCUCGCGCCCGCGCCCGAGAUGGCCGGGAUUCGAAAAUCGGAUCCCGCCUCUCUCUCCUCCCCCACUCCCCACGUCGGCCGGCGAUUCCCGCCGCUCCCGGCCACGUCCGGCCCCCUCUCCCCUUAUUUAAGCAUCGCCGGCACCCCCUCUCUCCUUUUCCCCAUUUCGCCGACCCCUCCCGUGCUCCCCAUCGUCCCCGCGCCGUGCAACCACCCACCGCCGCUUCUUCCCGCUACUCCGGCCGCCGCUAGCCGUCGCUAGGCUCGCCGCCGUCUUGCGCCGUCGCCGCCGUUCGAUUCGCGUGGCCGAGAUCCACCCCGUCCACCCCUCCUCCGUCGAAGUUCGUCGCCGGAGCCCUCAUCCUCUUGCGCACGGGUGAGCACCACCUCCACCGCCGCCGUCGGCCAUGGUUUCCGAUCGCCGUGGUCCAUCUCCCUCUCUCUAACCCCUCCCAACCUUUUCUCUAGGUCCUCCCGGAGAUCGUUCGCCCGUCGCCGUCGUCCUCCCGUCGCUCGUCGUCGUCGUUCGCCGUCGUCUCCACUCGCGCCGGCCAACCUCGGUGAAAAACUCCCCCUCCUCCCCCUUUCCCUCUCUUCCGUGUGCGUCGCCGUCCUCCGCGCGCGCAUCGUCGUCUUCGGCCGCCGCCGCCGCUUUUCGCGCCGUCUGCCGUCGCCGUCCGUGCCGCCGGUUGCCGUCGCCGGCGACCGCGCGUGCCGCCGUCGCUCGCCAUGCUUGGCCUGCCGGCUUUGAAGCCGAGCCGAGCCAGGCCGCCUUUUCCCCCCCCCCUUGUGUCACUGCCAGUAGGGCCCGCGUGCCGGCGCCUCUCCCUCACUCUCUUGAGCCGCCGCUCGGUGGGGCCCGCUUGCCAGCCGCCCCUCUCCCUCCUUGAGUCACUGACCCGUGGGUCCCGCAUGUCGGCGCCGCCCCACCCCUUGCUGACGUCAGCCCUGGGGCAAUAUUGCGCAAUAAAUUGAUUAAGAGUUUUUCUUUAUUAGUAAAAACACAGAUAAUCUUCUAAAAAUCAUAACUAAUUCAUCCGAGCUCCGUUUAAGUCCAUUCAAGUCUCAGUAAAUUCAUAAAAAUGUGUAGAAUCCAUUAAAAAUGGUUUUGUUUCCUGUUUCAGUAGUCUUAUAGCAUGUUUUGCUUGUGUGCUUUGUUUGUCGCGUAGAUUUCGCCCGUUUCGUCGAUUCGUGGUUUCUCGAAGACGUUGCUGUGGUUCCAUCAGUGCGAGAGCAAGGCAAGUCAUACAUUGCAAUUGAUCAUAUUGUACCUAAUUUACAAAUGUCCCGCAUUUCUAUUAAAUAUUGCAUUGUUUUACAAUAUCAUGUGGGAUGGGUCCUAUUACUCAGCUAUAUGUUGUUUUCCGUAUGCCAUUGAUAGCUGGGGUAUUAAAAUGACUAGAUGUUGGUUUAGGAGAUGCUUAGUCAUGCUUAGUUCAACUAGUGCACAAAGGGGGACCACAUUAAAGCAUAGACUUGAUUAUUGGCAAUAGCUUUGGAUUAGUGCCACCGCAAUGGUGUUGGCUAAUUAAAAUACACUACAUGGUGGGCUGUGGGUGCAUGGUUUUGCUAGACGUGCCCAUGGCGAUUAAGGACCGGUUCGCGGGAUGCCCUGGAAGAAUUUAUCGUACUUACCACAAGCCAGCGUGGGCAACGGCUGGGCUUGUAGUGUAGCUUUUCUCUAGCCGACGUACCCAGGCGAGGGUGGGCGUGAUGGAGUUGGGUCGGCCGGGGUGUCCGGUUGAUCGGCUGCCGGAUUCACCGCGGCACGAAAGGGGGGCUGCCCGUUGCCUGCUGGGGACGGGGGCGAACCCUAAGGUGUGGUGCGAUCGGUUAGAGGGGGUUAUACGAAGGGUCCUGUCACGGCCUCUUUCCGGUAUGUCGUGGUGGCAUGUCGGCGCACGGGAACGUGUCGUGGGGCUGUGUCUUGUGGGUACAGUUGUACACCUCUGAUCAGAGUAAAACUAUUCGAAUAGCCGUGCCCGCGGUUAUGGGCGGUCGACCAGAUUCACCGUGAUUAGUUUCACCCUAGUUUAGCUUAAUGAACUGGUUAGUUCAGGUGGUGGUUUGGGCCUGUUGCAACGUGGUGUAACGUUGGACAGUGAUUGGUUAAUAUGGAUUAAUUACUACAACUGUUUUACUGCUUUCAACUACUGCUUUGAAAUGCCGGCUUUAUGCAAAAGAACCUUUAGCCUCCCUUGGAUAUAUCUUGCAUCAUACCUCCUCUUCCGGUGUGACUUGCUGAGUACAGUGGGUAGUACUCAGUCUUGCUCUCUUUUCCCCCACACCAGAGUUGAAGUCCUUCUCAGUUGAAGAUGUCUCGAAGAGGUUGGUUUCGUCGCUGCCGUCAAGGAUUGCCUGUGGAAUGGAGUCGCCCGCUGCAGGAGUCAAGUCUUCAGGCUUAGCUCGCUUUUAUCUUUUUCCGCUGCAUUUGUAAUCUUUUAUAUUUUUGUAAGGCGUGGAUCUGUAUGUCAACAAUUGUCGUUUGUGUACCCUGGCUGGUCCUGGACAGGGGUUUAAUACACAUUCAGCUUAGAAAUUCUGGUUCGUGAAUUUCUGGGCGCGACAUCUGGGGGAUGGCUAUGUCGCCGUCCUCGACCGCCUCGCGGGCCUGCGAUCCCAGGGGCUCACCGGGGCCAUGGUGUACGGCGACUACCUCCGUCGUCGGAUUGCGCCGCUCCAGCGGCGCGCUCGGGCCGCCUGGGAGUACAUCGGGCCCGAAGACUAUAUGCGGACCCGCCAGGGGGUCAGAUGGGAUUGGGCCCCCGAGGAUUUCAAGAUACUGAUCCAACGGGUGCUAAAUCUCAACUCCGUGGAGGCGUCCCUCAUCCCCCACGGUAUCCUCCCCCUCUGCAGCGACCCAGAUCGCGUCUCCAUCUUGACCAUUAUGACGGCGGUCGGGGCCUCAGAGGAGCAGGCUCCUAAGGGCCAUGGCGGCGCAGGUGGGAGCCGCCGGGGGGAUCAACCUACCCCCGGAGGGGGUCGUGCUUCUGGGCCCCGCGUCGGGGGCUCGGGGAGCAACCGCCCUACCGACGCCCGGGGGAAGAGGAAACUGGGAGGAACACCUCCCCCAUCUCCUCCCCGAGGGGGCGGGGCGGCACGUGCCAGCAGCAGGCGCCCGGAGGGGGCCGCGCCAACAUCGCAGCCCGAGGGGGAGCGCAAGAAGAAACGGCUGCGCAAGAUGGGGGAGACAGAACCAUCCCAGGGAAACCUAAUUUCCCCUCCAAGGUGGUCAUUUAACCGACCCCCUCGCAGGUUCGUCCCGCUCUCUUUGCGACCGUCUUUUCUUCUAUCCCAAAAGCAAGUUUUACCUUACCUAUUUUGUUUGCCUUCUGGUUUUUUCUUCUGCUUCAGCGAUGUCCCGUCGCGUCCCUCCCGCCAUCCCAAGUCCGGCCAAUCCGAGGCCGAAGAUCCGGCGGCCGCAGAGGAACAGAGGCGAGAAUCUGACCGGCGAGAGGCCGCAGAUCGCCUUCGGGAAGCUGAAGAGGCCGCCCGGGAGGCCGCUCGGGUUCGGCAGGCGGAGGAUACCGCUCGGGAGGAGGCCGCCCGGGCUCGCCAAGCUGAAGAAGCCGCUCGGGAGGAGGCCGCCCGGGCUCGUCAGGCUGAAGAAGCCACUCGGGAGGAAACCGCCCGGGCUCGCCAGGCUGAGGCGAUGGCGUCUUCCGAGGCGGUUCACAACAAGACCGCCGGCGCGUCGCUCGGGCCCACUCCCUCGGGUGACGCUCAGGCGACAACCUCCGGGGCAGCUUGCGACAAGGCCGCGGGCGCAUCGCCUGGGCCCGCUCCCUCGGGCGACGCCCAGGACCAAACGGGUCCGGGGGACAUCCCCGAGCUCAGUGCGUCUUCUGGCGGGCCGAGCCGCGUCGCAUUUUCUCCAAGGCGGCUCUUCUCCUCGUCUUCUGCCACCCCGCUGAGUGCCGAGCCCCUUCUGCAAGCCUUGGCCGCCGCAAACACCGCGGUGCUAGAUGGAUUCAGCGCCCAGGUGGAGGCCUUGCGAGCGGAACGAGCGGAGCUCGAGGCCGCAUGGGCGCGCGUCGAGGAGGGGCGGCGCUCGGUGGACGCCAUGGUGGAGGUGGGCCGUAAGGCUCACCGCCGCCACAUCUCGGAGCUUGAAGCCCGCAAGGCGGCGCUGGCGGAGAUCGCCCGAGAGGUGGAGGAGGAGCGAGAGGCCGCCCUCGUCGCCACCACUGCGAUGAUUGAGGCGCAGGACUCCCUCCGCCUUCAACACGGGAGCUGGGAGGCGGAGCUAAAGAAAAAGCUCGACGCCGCCCAGGGGGUCCUCGACGCCGCCGCUGCCCGAGAGCAGCGAGCAACAGAGGCUGAAGCGGCGUCCCGGCGGCGCGAAGAGGCCCUUGAGGCCCGUGCCAUGGCGCUGGAAGAUCAUGCCGGCGCCGUGGAGACCAGCUUGGCGGACCGCGAGGCCGCCGCCGCUAUCCGGGAGGCGACGCUGGCGGCGCACGAGGCCGCCUGCGCCGAAGAGGAGUCCGCGCUCCGGCUCCGCGAGGACGCGCUUGCUGAGCGGGAGCGAGCUCUUGAGGAGUCCGAGGCCACGACACAACGGCUGGCAGACAGCCUGUCCCUCCGCGAGGCAGCGCAGGAGGAGCAGGCGCGCCGCAAUCUGGAAUGCUUCCGCGCCGAGAGAGCCGCGCUGGAGCAGCGGGCUGCUAACCUCGAGGCGCGAGAAAAGGAGCUGGGCGCGAGGGAGCGCAACGGCGGGGCGGCUACGGGCGAAAGCGACUUAGUCGCCCGCCUCGCAGCUGCCGAACACACCGUCGCGGACAUGCAGCGCGCCCUGGACUCAUCCACCGGGGAAGCCGAGGCCCUCCGCUUGUCGGGUGAGAUAGGGCCCGGCAUGCUUUGGGAUGCAGUCUCCCGGCUGGAUCGCGCCGGUCGGGAAGCGGGCCUCUGGAAAGGCCAGACAAUUCCGCGCUCCACCAAUCUGGAAGGCCUCGCCCCGCACCUUAGGAGGAUGGCCUGGGCUGUCCAACAACUCCCCGAGGAACUCGAGAAGACCAUCAAGUCAUCCUCGAGGGACCUCGCCCAAGGAGCGGUGGAACUCGUGUUAGCGAGUUACCAGGCUAGGGACCCCGGCUUCUCCCCAUGGAUGGCGCUGGAGGAGUUCCCUCCCGGGACCGAGGACGAUGCGCGCGCACGGGUCCGGGAUGCCGCCAACCACAUCGUCCAAAGCUUCGAGGGGUCGGCCCCUCGGCUCGCGUUCGCCCCCAGCUCCGACGAGGAGGGCGACGCCAGCGGUGAGGACGACGGUGGCGACGAGGCCGGCGACCCGGGCACAUUUGAAUGAGCCCCCAGGCCCCCGCCAAUCUCCAAUUUUUUCUUUUUCUUUCUUCUUUUCGUAUAGAUCAACUUAAUCUGCAAUCAAAAAUGAUGAAAAAUUUCUAUGUUAACUUUAUUUUGCUAUGCAUAUGAGUUGAGGAUGAUUUGUGCCGUGGUCCUUUUGCAUUUUAGCUUGAUUUAAGGGCUCGUGCUCAAGUCCCGAUCCUCAAAUGGCUCGGGUCGGGGCUAGUGCCUGGGGAGAUCCACAUGUCGAGACUGGCCAGGCCGGGAACAUGGUGACCGAGGGUUAUGGGUGACCCGAUUGUGGGUUUUUGCCGAUUCCCCCCCGGAGUUCACCACGCCCUGGGGCACGGCUCGGUUCUGGGCCCCGCUUGGCGAUUUUAGCUGACCGAACCGAGCCCCCGAGGGCAAGGUUGAGCACGAGUGACCUUAUUUCAAGUUAAGAUUCUUCAGAAGGAAAAACGGCACAGACACAACCUUUAGGAAAUUGAAACUGCUUUUAUUGAAAUGCUGAAAUAAGAAAAGUAAGGUUGUGCAUGUGUGGUAGCCCCCGGCUAACCCUGCACACCCGAGGGGGGUGCGUGGUUAGCCCGAGCCCGAAACCUGACACCCGACCCCCCCCCUCAGGGGUAGAAGCGACGAAGGUGUUCGAUGUUCCACGGGUUCGGCAGCUCAGUGCCGUCGCCCGUGGCCAGCCGUACGGAGCCCGGCCGGGGGACGCCGAUCACUCGAUACGGACCCUCCCACAUUGGUGAGAGCUUGCUCAGUCCAGCACGCGUUUGGACGCGGCGUAGGACGAGGUCGUCGACGCAGAGUGAUCGGGCCCGGACGUGGCGCUGAUGGUAGCGCCGCAGGCUCUGCUGGUAGCGCGCGGCUCGGAGGGCCGCGCGCCGCCUUCGCUCUUCCAAGUAGUCGAGGUCAUCUCUACGAAGCUGAUCUUGAUCAGCCUCGCAGUACAUGGUGGCCCGAGGAGACCUCAGGGUGAGCUCGGAUGGGAGAACCGCUUCUGCGCAGUAGACGAGGAAGAAAGGCGUUUCCCCGGUCGCUCGGCUUGGUGUGGUUCGGUUUGCCCAGAGCACCGCUGGCAACUCCUCGAUCCAUGAAUCGCCGUGCUUCUUGAGAAUAUUGAAGGUCUUGGUUUUAAGGCCUUUGAGGAUUUCUGCAUUGGCGCGCUCCACUUGGCCAUUGCUUCUGGGGUGGGCAGGUGAGGCGAAGCAGAGCUUGAUGCCCAUGUCUUCGCAGUAGUCGCCGAAGAGUUCACUAGUGAAUUGGGUGCCAUUAUCCGUAAUAAUACGGUUAGGCACUCCAAAACGGGCCGUGAUGCCCUUAAUGAAUUUAAGAGCAGAGUGCUUAUCGAUCUUGACAACCGGAUAAGCCUCGGGCCACUUAGUGAACUUGUCGAUCGCAACAUACAGAUACUCAAACCCGCCCGGGGCCCGUUUGAACGGUCCCAGGAUAUCAAGCCCCCAGACAGCAAAUGGCCAUGACAGUGGUAUGAUCUGCAGGGCCUGGGCCGGCUGAUGGAUUUGCUUGGCGUGGAACUGACACGCUCUGCAUCGCCGGACCAGAUCGACUGCAUCAUUGAGAGCUGUCGGCCAAUAAAAUCCUUGACGAAAGGCCUUGCCAACCAGGGUGCGCGAGGCGGAAUGGGCUCCGCACUCGCCCUCAUGGAUGUCAGCAAGAAGCUCAACGCCUUGUUCCUGAGGAAUGCACUUCAGGAGGAUUCCGUUAGCCGCGCGCCGAUAGAGGGUCCCUUCUACCAGCACAUAGCGUUUGGAAAUGCGUUGUACGCGUUCACUCCCUUCGCGGUCCUCAGGUAGAGUCUUAUCUGUGAGGUAUGUUUGGAUCUCAGAGAUCCAAGCGAUCAAUCUAAGGGAGUUUGGAGCGCUCCCUUCGGGUCCCGAGGCCUGGACUCCGACGGGCCUCGGGGGUCGGUCAGGCGCAUCCGUCUCCCCUAAGGGGUCGGGUCGCGCCGACGGCUGGGUAAGCCUUUCUUCAAAGGCGCCCGGUGGGGUCUGGGCUCGCGAGGACGCGAGCCGUGAGAGUUCGUCGGCUAUCAUGUUAUCCCGUCUGGGCACAUGCCGAAGCUCUAUUCCGUCAAAAUGGCGCUCCAUACGCCGCACUUGGCGUACAUAGGCGUCCAUUUGCGGGUCAGAGCACCGGUACUCCUUACAGACCUGGUUAACGACCAGCUGGGAAUCGCCUAACACCAGGAGACGGCGGAUCCCCAGUCCGGCUGCCACCCUGAGUCCGGCAAGGAGUCCCUCAUACUCUGCUAUAUUAUUGGUCGCUCGAAAGUCAAGGCGGACCAGAUAUCUAAGGACGUCUCCUGUCGGGGAGGUCAACGUGACCCCCGCACCGGCACCCUGGAGGGACAGAGAACCAUCGAACUGCAUCACUCAGUAGGUGGUGUGAGGUAGCUGCGAGGGGUUCGUGCUGGCCUCGGGGAUUGAGACGGUCUCUGGAGCCGGGGUCCACUCUGCCACAAAAUCGGCGAGGGCCUGGCUCUUGAUAGCGUGGCGUGGUUCAAAGUGCAGAUCGAAUUCAGAAAGCUCGAUUGCCCAUUUUACCACCCGUCCUGUACCCUCUCGAUUAUGCAAGAUUUGACCGAGGGGGUAAGACGUAACCGCAGUGACCCUAUGUGCCUGAAAAUAAUGGCGCAGUUUCCUCGAGGCCAUCAGAAUAGCGUAAAGCAUCUUCUGGGCCUGAGGGUAUCGGGUCUUAGCGUCCCGGAGGGCCUCACUAACAAAGUAGACAGGCCACUGCACCUUUCGGUGGGGCCGAUCCUCUCUGCUAGGGGACGUAUCCCCGGGGCGUUCUUCGUUCAAGUGGCCUUUCGGGGCACACUUGUCUUCUGUGCCGAUGACCUCGGGGUCGGAAGAUGAAAGGGGCGGCCUUCCCUCAGUGGCCUCGGGGCCGUCCUGGGGGUCGGGGGCUCCUGGCAUCGUCGGACAAGCGGGCAAAGGGCCAACUCCGGUCGUCAGGGGCCUCUGGCCUCCGUUCGACUCGGGGGCCUCUUCUCCCUGCUCUUUCCCGGGUCGAGUCAGCACAGGGUUAGCCUCGGGGUCAGAGGGCGUUAAGUGCGGCCUUCCCGCAGUGGCCUUGGGGCCCUCCUGAGGGUCGGGGGCACCUAGCACCGUCUGACAAGCGGGCAGAGGGCCGACUCCGGUCGUCAGGGGCCGUAGGCCACCGUCCGACUCGGGGGCUUCUCCUCCCCGCUCGCUCCCGGGCCAAGUUAGCAUAGAAUGGGGGUGCACGAAAUGAGGAUUGUCUUCACCGCGCUCCACAACCAACGCUGCACUAACUACUUGGGGGGUCGCCGCUAAGUAAAGUAGCAGGGGCUCAUUUGGCUCCGGGGCGACUAGAACCGGGGGAGAGCUAAGAUAUGCCUUUAACUGAGUGAGGGCAUGUUCAGCUUCCUCCGUCCAAGUAAACGGCCCCGAGCGCUUGAGGAGCUUAAACAAGGGUAGCGCCUUCUCUCCCAGCCUUGAUAUGAAACGACUUAGGGCGGCCAUGCAACCGGUGACGCAUUGCACAUCCCUAAGUUUGCUGGGGGGGCGCAUCCGCUCGAUAGCUCGAAUCUUCUCGGGGUUGGCCUCAAUGCCUCGGGCAGAGACCAAGAACCCGAGAAGCUUGCCCGCAGGUACACCAAACACACACUUAUCGGGGUUCAGCUUUAUGCGGGCGGAGCGGAGGUUCUCAAAAGUUUCCGCUAGAUCUGAAAGUAAAGUUUCUUGGUUGCGCGUUUUUACAACCAAGUCAUCGACAUGAGCCUCAACAUUACGUCCUAUUUGGCUACCCAAAGAAAUUCGAGUAGUACGUUGAAAAGUAGGACCUGCAUUCUUUAACCCGAAGGGCAUUGAUGUAUAACAAUAGGUUCCUACGGGGGUAAUGAACGCAGUUUUCUCCUCAUCCUCCCUAGCCAUGCGAAUCUGAUGGUAACCAGAGUAUGCAUCUAGAAAACACAAAAGGUCGCACCCCGCAGUGGAGUCGACGAUCUGAUCUAUGCGAGGCAGGGGGUAAGGAUCCUUAGGACAUGCCUUGUUAAGGUCGGUGUAGUCGAUGCACAUCCGAAGCUUGCCGUUCGCCUUGGGAACGACCACCGGGUUCGCCAGCCACUCCGGAUGGAUGACUUCACGGAUGAAUCCGGCCUCCAGAAGUCUCGCCACCUCCUCGCGGAUGAAGGCUUGACGUUCCGGGGCCUGCCGCCGCACUUUCUGCCGGACCGGCCUUGCGCCCGGCCGCACGGCGAGACGGUGCUCAAUCACCUCCCUGGGGACCCCGGGCAUGUCCGCUGGUCUCCAUGCGAAGACGUCAGCGUUUGCCCGCAGGAAGGAGACGAGCGCGUCUUCCUAUUUGCCAUCCAGAAGACCACCGAUCCGUGUGGUCUUGGAUGGGCCGUCGCCCAAGGCAACCUCCUUGACCGGGACCUCGUCGCAUGUGGCAAUCCGCUGCCUCGGGGCGGUGGGGGCGGAGGUGCCAAGCCUCUCGUCACCACCCUCGGGCUUGGUCGCAGCAGCGAGGUGGUCCGCGCGCUGCUCCAUGCAAGCGAGCGCGACUUUAAGGUCGCCACGGACAGAGAUGGGGCCACCAGGGCCCGGCAUCUUCAUCUGGAGGUAGGCGUAGUGGACCGCCGCCAUAAACUUCACCAACGCGGGCCUCCCCAGGACCGCGUUGUAGGGCAGACUGAGGUCCGCCACAUCGAAGUUCACCCGCUCCGUGCGGAAGUUGGCUGAUCCACCAAAGGUGACCGGUAGGUCGAUGUGACCUAACGGCCAUGUGUGCCCCGGCGUCACACCAAUGAUCGGUUGAGACGGCUGGAGCACCAUCCCCGGGGCCUUGAUAGCAUCAAAGGCCGCGGGGGAAAGGAUGUUGAGAGCCGCUCCUCCAUCUAUGAGGACACGCCCCAACUUCACAUUGCAGAUGGUGGGGGAAACCACCAUCGCAAUCUGCCCUCCCCGGGCAACGCACGGUGGGUGGUCGGUCUGGUCAAAGGUGAGGGCCACCUCCGACCACCGCGCCCGACGCGUCGCCUCAUGAGUAGGGGCCGCGGCCAGAAGCUCUCGCUUCAUAGCCUUGAAGCUCCGGCGAGAAACGUGAGCACACGCUCCCCCGUCGACAGUGGCAAUGGUGGCCCCAGGUUCUUGGAAACCUAGGUCAUCAUCACCAUCAUCGACGUCAACGGCGGGGGCCUUCUGUCUGGCCUCACUUCGCCGUUUACCGGAGGGAACUGCCGCGGACUUGCCCUCACGGCGUUCCUGCCUCCUGUCCUCCUCCCACUUCCUCGUUCGCUCAGCCAAGUUUUUGACUGCGCGACAGUCCGCGAGAUCGUGGAGGGAGGUGUUGUGGACGGAGCACCACUUGCUGGCUGGGCGCUCCCUGCUGGGAGUACCAGCCUCUUUCUUUUUGUCGCUCGCAGGCCUCCCCUUUCGGGUGGCCCGCGGAGCGCCCUCGACGGCGAGGACGUGACCCUCGUCGCCGGAAUGGACCGACCUUUUCUUCCUCCUCCUGUCACGCCGCCCUGUCUGAGCGGCGGAUCCGGGGGCGGCCGAAGCUGCCACACCGGAACCGGAGGGGUUCCAGGUCCAGGCCUCCUCCUUACGAGCCACUCGGUCCGCGAGCUGAAAAAGCUCUGCGGUAGUCUGGGGCUCUUUGGAGGCAAUUUUUUCGAGCAUGCGGUUGUGCCGCACACCCCCCUGAACGCGUAGAUCACCGCGUGUGCAGGGAUGCAAGGUAUAGUAUUGCGGACUUGGCAGAAACGCUGAAUGUACGAGCGAAGGGAUUCAUCAUCCCCUCGCUGUACUGCGUGCAAGUCCGCUUCUUCACCUGGGCGUGGAUAGGUGCCUUGAAAGUUCAUGGUGAACUGCUGGCACAGAUCCUCCCAGGAGUGGACCGACGCGGGUGGCAAGUUCAUUAGCCAACCCCGCGCCUGUCCCUUCAGGGCCAUGGGAAAGAAAUUCGCCAUGACCCUGUCGUCUCCCCCAGCGGCCUCGAUCCCGGUCGUAUAGACCUGGAGAAACUCGGUGGGGUUGACGCUCCCAUCAUACUUCUCGGUGAUGGUGGGCCGGAACCUUGGGGGCCAACGGACAUUCCGAAGACUCGCCACAAAGGCUCUACAGCCAACACCACCAACCGGGGGCACGGAGGGCUGAUCCUCACGUCCAUGUCGAGGUGACACCCUGGACGAAGAGGCACCCUCCGUUGCGCGGGGAGCACGCCGAUCACUACGUCGGCGCUCAAUGUCGAGGCGGGCAUCCGGCUCUUCAUGCUGAUCCUCCCGAGUCGGAGGCGCCGACGAGGGAGUGGUAGCCGAAUGGCGUGCAGCAGCCGCCGCUCGCCGCGCCCUCCGUCUUGACGACGCGGAACCGGUAGUGGCGGCGCCGGAGGUCUUGGUGGUGGCGGACCGUCCGCCAGCACCCAGGCGUUGCUGUGCCGUCAUGACCAAGUUGGCCACGUCGUCCAGCCAUCGCUGGGCUGGAGACUCCGGGUCAGGGACGACAGGCGGGUGACGUAGGAGCGCGCCAACAGCCUGAAGCGCGCCUUGAGGCGUGCUGCCGUCGCCGUAGACGAGGAGGCGACGCUCCCCAUCUCGCCGUUCUCCUGCACCACCCGCGACUGGCGAUGCUGCGGAUUUUUCGACUCUCUCGAGCGCUUCCCCCCGCUUGGGACUUUGGCGUGGAGGAGGUGGGGGAGUACGAGCUCGACGGCGCGGGUUUGGCUCCCCGUCGUCGCCGCUCACACUCGGAGAGAGGUCGUGCGCCUUUGCUUGCUCGGCCAUUAGGCUGAACAAGGGAAACUUGGCGCACACGGAAGAGUAUGAGAGCUCAGAAAACACACGCUGAGCCCCCUACCUGGCGCGCCAGAUGACGGAGCUCGUGGCUCCUCACCGGGAGACCGCGCAGGCCCCCCUUUGCCAGUUCGGCCGGGGGCUUAGGGUGAGAUCUCAAGCUCUCUCUGUGUGUGGAAAGAUCGCGUACCAGGAAGAAACGUGAGACACGGACGAUGUAUACAGGUUCGGGCCGCUGGGAAGCGUAAUACCCUACUCCUGUGUUUUUUGGUGGAUCUGUGUAAGAGCAAGUUACAAAAUAUCAACCAGCCCUCUCCUCUCCCGGGAAAAUCCCCCCCCCCCUUCUCUCUUUGUGGGCAUGGUCCUCCUUUUAUAUCUUAAGGGGAUACCACAUGUACCCUCUCCUUUCCAAACUGGACUUUUCUUCUCUUUAUGGACGGAGAUUGGUAUGGUUGCCGUCCGAAUGACACUUCGAUGGGACAGCCCACACCUACUUCCACUCCCGGCGGAGACAGGCGCAAUGUGGGAUCGUGGCUGUCUGUUGCUGACGCGACCAGUGUCAGACCGGUCACAGAUCGGUCAUUCUUGUCCUCUAUGCGUCAGUUCAGCGAUCUGCAUGAUCACCCUUCUUUUUAUAGCAUCUUGCCUGUAAUGGUUGGGAUGAAGCCUGGUAUUCAUUUAACCAGGGCUAACGUGCCAUCUCUAAGAGGUAACACGCUAGCCCCGGCUGGAGACGUGUGCCUAGAGGCUCUCGUCUUGACGGGACGGGGCGAGGCGUGCGUCAGACCACCAGUCGCCACCUAACCGUUGAUCCGACCGGUCUGUGACUGGUCACAGACCGGAUAAAAGAGCGCGCUGCAUUGCGCUGCAUGCAACGUGACACGUUUGACCAGACCGCAAUAAAUGCGGUUAGGUGAGCCCUACCGUGUUCACCCAACCUAUGUACAUAGUGCAAACCCCACAGGGGGUCGGGGCACCUCGGCCCUCGGGGUCGGGGCAGGAGCAACCCGACCCCCCCCCCCCUCGGGGAAAUCAGGAGGAGGGCGGACACCUCACCCUCGGGCCCGACGUCCCCGAAGGUGCCAGGCCACGUGGGCGAUUCCAUCUGCCUCAAGCCUCCGGGCGCAAUACUCCCGGUCCCAUAUCACCGACAAGGUUAAAUACUAAUAUCGACUUAGAUUAUAUAGGGUAUCCACCAUCCUAUGAAAUAUCCAACGGCUUGAUUGUCUAGAUACUGUUAUUCUUUCCAUACUUAUAACUGCAUCAGUUAAGUUUGACCUUAUAAGUCGUGAUUAGAAUCUCAAUCUCUAGCCUGCUUUUGGUUGCCGAUUAGGGUAGUAUCGGGGUUUCAGCCGAUCUUACCUGAUUUAACUCCUUUAUAUUUUAUAUGCUUGAUUGAUAUGUUAAAUCCGCCCUUUAUAUUAAGAUCUUGUUGCAUUUAGGUAUAUUAAACUUCCUGUUUGAUAUAUUUUGCUUGCUUUAAUAUCUUAAUAUAGAAUGGUAUCGGAGUUUUAGCCGAUACAUGCUAGAUCUAUCUGAUCGGCUAUGCUAUGAAUGCUUAUAAUCUCCUUGUUAAUAUAUAUUUUGAUCUAAGUGAUUUAUACUAUCUCGGCAUGGCGACCGAUAUAUCCUAAUCACUUGAUUUAAGUAUAUAUCGACAGAAGCAUUAUAUACCAUUAAUAUUUACAGCCGAUCGAAUAGAUUUAGUUCUUUCUUUCCUAUUUAUGACUGCCGAUCGAUUCAAAUAUGUCAUCGGCUCAAAGAUAAAUGAUAUGUCAUCGGCGACUGGCCGAUUGGCUAUCAUUUAUGGAUUUAACCGCUAUUUUUUUGUCUUUAUUUCUUGUUGAUUGCAGGAUCAAAUCAACUGGCACGCUCACGAACCUAAAGGCAAGAUUUUGGACCUGCACUGAAGUUAAGCAGAUCUUCCAGGCCAGUGUGUGUUUUUCGCAUCAACUUCUAUUGUUUGUAAAUAAAUAAAUAGCGUACGAAAUUCAUUUCACUGUUGCCGGCCCGGCAGAAAAUUCAUUUCACUGUUUACAAUCGUUUCUAGCUUCAGCAUUUUACAGCCUACUUACAAGCUAGCUAGCUAGCUGACUUGGCUUCCAAGCAGACACAAGCUUUAGUGCUCAUCCUCCUCCGAGAUUUCAGUUAGCUCAGAGAAGAAAUGGUAAGAAUCCACUGUUAGUGUGAACGCAAAAUAUGAUCUUGCGGCUAAACCUAAAGUCGGCAAAGAGAUAUUUUGUUUAGGGUGAUCGCUACAGUGAUCGAUCUCUCAUGAACAUCCCUGAUCGGGGGAUAACCGCCAUACCCUAGUGUCGGUUCCCCCUGUGUGCAGUGGCUAUAAAUAGAGAUCAAUACCUAAGUGUUAAACCCUAAGAGAUUUCUCUCGCUACCCGAUCAAACAACCCACUGAAACACAGGGAAGAAUCAAGACACGAUUCUCUUCGUGCUUCCAAACUAGAAGAGAAGAAAGAAGAACAAAGACAGAGAGAAUGGGAACUCCAGGAGAUCAAGGUAUGAUCCAAUCCCAUUUUAAUUUGUAGUUCCACUUUGUGCCAAACCGAUUCUAUCAAAUCCAACAAUGGUAUCAGAGCACCGGGUUGGCCUCAAAUUGGAACUCAAUAAGUGUUUAUGUUCAAAUUGUUCUUCGUGUUCAUGCCCAAAUCCCUCUGUUAAAGUUGAGUUAAGCCCAAAUCAUGCAAUCCCGAAAUAUAAGAAAUGGAAUUAGGCCUUCUAGGGUUUCGGGUUGAAGAAAUUAGAAGAAGGGGAAAGCAAAAGUUCAUGCAAAUCUCAGACAAAUCCCCAAGAACCGAAACCCUAGCUACAGUAAGAUCCCAAAUUUUUCCCCAAAUCAUGAAACCCUAACCCUAAAAUCAAGGGGAAAAAGGAGCACGGCGGGCUUACUUAAGGGCCAUGGUGGCCGGCGGCGACCACCGUGUCGCCACCGACGCCGGAAAGAGGCGAGCGCGCGCCCGAGGACUUGGUCCCCGAGCGGCCUCGCGACCCGUCGUGCUGGCCCGGCUCUUCCUCUUCGCGUGCUCGUCUCGCCGACGCCGCCUCGCUGAGGUAGCCGUCGCCGCCCCGUCUCGCCGUCGCCGCCGCGGAUCUUCCUCGCGCGAGCGACCGGCGGGUGCUUAGGGCACCGUCGAGCAACGCUCGACGGGGAUGCGCACCAGCUAUGGCGGCACGCAGCCCCGGCGAGCAAGGCUCGGCGGCGCCACCUCCACCCCGUCGUGCGCCGCUUCGCCGUCGUCAUCGUCUCGCUCACCGUCGCCGCGGGCGUGAGAGAAAGAGGGGAGGAGAGAAUGGGGCUAGGGUUUUCAGGGGGGGGGGCGGCCGCGCGCCGGUUUUGUCCCGCGCGGGAGCGAUCCCGGCCGUCCGAUGAGAUGGACGGCUCGGAUCGGCUCGUCCCGACGCGGGCUAACCAGGCCGCGCGGGAGGCGGCGAAUGCCGGCCUAGGCCCAGGUUGUUGGGCCUGGAGCCCAGGCGGAAGGCGGCGCGGCAAUGACGGGCCAGGCCGAGUGCGGCCUGGCUCGAGAACGUGGCCCAGUUCAAAAAAAAAGGUUAUGUGGGCUGCAUACUAAUGGGCCUAAUUAAAAGGAUUGGGCUGAGAUAAUAUUACAAUUAAAAUUUUCUUUUUUGAAGAAUUAUGAUUAUGAUUAUGAUAUUUGUGUUUAAACAUUGAAGAUAUUUUAUUAUGUUUUAGUUAAUGAUAAUAAGAAUAAUAAGUGAUUUUGUUAUGUGAUAAAAUUCUCUUUCAUUUAUUUAUUUAUUUUAUGAUCAUUACAUUAUAUUUAUUACUUAAAGUUAUUAUUGUUUUAUGCAUUAUGAGUUUAUUUCCGUUACAAAUAAAUAUUAUAAUUAAGUGUGACAAAUAAUUGUCAUUCUGGCCAAAGCUGAUUGACUUUUAUUUGAUCACAAAAUUUUAUUAAUUCAAUUCAAAUCUGGCUAAAGCUGUUUUGAUUGAAUUAAUAAAAGGAGUUUUAAACAAAUUAAUAAAGUGUGGUUUGUAUUUAUUAUUCUGGCCAAAGCUGAUUAAUAAAUACUUAUUCACAAAAUUUUAUUGUUCAUUUCCUUCUCUGGCCAAAGCUGUUUUGGAUUUGAUCAAUAAAAGAAGGUACUCAUCUUAUGCCUCACAAAUUUCCGGAAUAAUGGGCAAUAUUGAACAACUUAAUGGAAGUAAUUAUGCUUCAUGGAAGGAGAAGCUGGAAAUUACUCUAGCUCUAUUGGAUAUUGAUUAUGCCCUCCAUAAUGAUCCUCCGGUUGAGCCUAGACCGGAAAAUGAGAAUUAUGAGACAUUAAAAAGGAUAUAUGAUGAAGUAAAGGCAAAAUGGGAUAUUUCAAACCGUAAAUGCCUUAUGAUUAUCAAGAGCUCCAUUAUUGACGCAAUAAGAGGAGCAGUCCCAGAUACUCAGACAGCCAGAGAAUAUCUUGCUAAAGUUGAGGAACAAUUUAAAGGCUCUUCUAAGGUUUAUGCCACCACUCUUAUUAAAAGAUUGGUCAAUGAAAGAUACGAUUUUACUGAAAAUCUGAGGGAACAUAUUAUGAAGAAAUGUCACAUGGUUUCUAAGCUUAAAUCAAUGGAAAUGGAAAUCUCUGAAGGUUUUCUUGUCCAUUUCAUUAUGUCAUCUCUGCCUCAGGAGUUUUCUCCAUUUACGAUCAAUUAUAAUGCAAUGAAGAUCAAGUGGGGCAUUGAUGAAUUAAUAGCCAUGUGUGUACAAGAAGAAGAAAGGCUUAAGGCAGAAAGAGUUGACCAUGCAAAUUUAUUUAAGCACUCCGAGAAGAAAAAGUAUAAGAAAUUUAAGAAGGAGUAUUUGAAGCCUAAGCCUAUUCAAUUUAAAGAAAAAGGGCAAUCUUCGAAUCAAUCCCAGCAGAAUAAAUCUGGAGGAAAUCCCUAUACAGAAGAAAAGGGAAAAGAAAAGGAUGGGUGCUACUUUUGUGGAAAGAGUGGACACCGCCAAAAGGACUGUAUUGGAUUUAUGAGAUGGCUCAGUAAGAAAGGUACUGAUGUUAUUUCUUUUGUUGAUGAAUCCCUAAAUAUUGAUUAUGCCACCAAUUCUUGGUGGAUUGACUCAGGAGCGACAAUUCAUGUUGCAAAUUCCUUGCAGGGAUUCGCUAUGAGGAGGACCCUAAGAAGAGGGCAAAGAAGAAUUAGAGUUGCUAAUGGAGUUGAAACUGAAGUUGAGGCCAUUGGAGACUUCACUCUCACACUUCAUACUGGCUUCAAACUUCAGCUGCAUGAUGUUCUUUAUGUACCCUCUAUGAAAAGGAACUUAGUUUCAGUUUCACGUUUAGAUAACGGUGGUUACUAUUGUACUUUUGGAAACAAUAGAUGUAUAAUUAUGCAUGAUAAUAAAGAUGUUGGUCUCGCCGUUUGACGGGAACAACUUUAUCAAAUCUCUGUGUGCGAUGCCACCUAUAAUGUUGACUCCUCCUCAAAUGCAAAUGUCAAUACCAAACGAAAACAUAACGAUAAUGAGACUUCUUCGAAAUUAUGGUAGUAUCGUUUGGGCCAUAUUUCAAGGGGGGGAAUUGAGCGUCUCAUUAAAGAAAACAUCCUUUAUCCUUUGGACUUCUCAGAUGCAGAUGUUGAUCACUGCAUUGAUUGCAUCAAAGGAAAAUAUUCCAAGCAAAUCAAGAAAGGUGCAAAUCGAAGUAUGGGAGUUUUGGAAAUCAUCCACACAGACAUCUGUGGUCCAUUUAAUGAAAAGUCAGUCGAUGGAUUUGAUUCAUUCAUUACAUUCACCGACGACUACUCUCGUUAUGGAUAUAUCUAUCCAAUCAAAGAAAGAUCUGAGGCAUUAGACAAAUUUAAAAUUUUCAAAGCAGAAGUUGAGAAUCAACAUGAUUGAAAGAUCAAAAUUGUAAGGUCUGACCGUGGUGGUGAAUACUAUGGUAGACAUACUACUUAUGGUCAAAUUCCUGGACCUUUUGCGAGGUUCUUACAGGAAAAUGGCAUUAAGGCCCAGUACUCAGCACCAGGCGAACCCCAGCAAAAUGGAGUAGCUGAAAGGCGUAAUCGCACUCUUAUGGAUAUGGUACGAAGUAUGUUAAGUCACUCCACUCUGCCGGUAAAGUUAUGGAUGGAAGCUCUUAAAACAGCUACACACAUUCUUAACAGGGUUCCUAGUAAAUCAGUCCCUAAGACACCUUUUGAAUUAUGGACUGGGAAGAAACCAACCCUAAAUUAUUUUCAUGUGUGGGGUUGUCCUGCUGAAGCACGAGUUUUCAAUCCAAAUAUGGGAAAAUUAGACAUCAAAAUAAUCAGUUGUCAUUUUAUCGGUUAUCCUGAUAAGUCAAAGGCAUAUAGAUUCUACUGCCCAAAUCAGUUUACAAAGUUCAUUGAGACAAGACACGCUGUGUUCUUGGAAAAUGACAUAAUCAAGGGGAGUAUGACACCCAGAGAAGUUGUUCUGGAAGAGAAACGAAAUUAUAUUCCAAUGCCUAUAAUUGAAGAACCCGUUUUCUCAACACAUACUCAUGUUGCACCUUCAAUAGAAAGAAAUAAUGAUGCAACACCUGCUGAAACUCCUGCAACUACUUCUAGUAGUGUAUCAAAUGAUGAGAAUAAUGAGGAUGCUCAGCAGCCCCAGAUUGUGAUAGAUGAGCAAAAUAACGAACCCGUCAGAAGAUCACAACGAGUUAGAAAGUCAGCGAUUCCAAGUGACUAUGUCACUUACAUAAAUGAAGAGGUGAAUAAACCUAUGGGUGAAGAGGUGAAUGAGCCUAUACUAGAUAAUGAUCCCAUCUCAUUUAAAGAAGCAAUGAAGAGUAAACAUUCGUCUGAAUGGCUAAAAGCUAUGAAAGAUGAAAUGAAAUCCAUGAGUACUAAUAAAGUCUGGGACUUAGUAGAAAUUCCCGAAGGAGCCAAAACAGUUGGCUGCAAAUGGGUCUAUAAGACUAAACGUGACCCCAAGGGAAAUAUCGAAAGGUUCAAAGCAAGGCUUGUAGCAAAAGGAUUUACGCAAAGAGAAGGGAUUGAUUAUAAUGAAACAUUUUCUCCAGUAUCUACUAAGGAUUCAUUCAGAAUUAUUAUGGCACUAGUUGCUCAUUAUGAUUUGGAACUACACCAAAUGGAUGUUAAGACGGCAUUCCUGAACGGUGAUUUGUAUGAAGAUGUAUACAUGGCACAACCAGAAGGUUUUGUUAUGAAAGGAAAAGAACAUAUGGGAUGUCAUCUAAAGAAAUCGAUUUAUGGACUAAAGCAAGCAUCAAGGCAGUGGUAUCUAAAGUUUGACCAAAUCAUAAGACAAUUUGGUUUUAAAGAAAAUAAAAAGGAUGACUGUAUAUACACUAAGUUUAAGGAGAGUAAGUUCAUCUUCCUAAUAUUAUAUGUCGAUGACAUACUCUUAGCCAGUAAUGAUAAAAAUAUGCUACUGGAAACAAAGAAAUUUCUGGCCUCUAAGUUUGAAAUGAAAGAUCUCGGUGAAGCCAAUUAUGUGUUGGGUAUAGAGAUUUACCGAGGCAGAUCAAAUGGUGUUUUGGGGCUAUCUCAGAAAGCAUAUAUAGAAAAGGUACUGAAAAAGUAUAAUAUGCAUAAUUGUUCAGCCUCGCCUGCUCCUAUAAUGAAGGGUGAUAAGUAUGGAAAAUUCCAAUGUCCUAAGAAUGAGUAUGAAGCUGCGCAGAUGAAGUCAAUAUCAUAUGCUUCAGCUGUCGGAAGCAUAAUGUAUGCACAAGUGUGCACUCGCCCUGAUUUAGCUUUUGUUACCGGGAUGCUUGGCAGAUAUCAAUCUAAUCCAGGUCUAGAACACUGGAAAUUAGCUAAGAAGACCUUGCGUUAUCUUCAAGGCACUAAAGACCUCAUGCUCACAUAUAGAAAGUCUGAAAACCUUGAAGUUGUUGGUUAUUCGGACUCCGAUCUUGCAGGGUGUGUUGAUGAUAAGAAAUCCACGUCAGGUUAUAUAUUCACCCUUGCAAGGGGAGCUAUAUCGUGGAAAAGCUCCAAACAAAGAGUUACUACAUCGUCGACAAUGCAGGCUGAGUAUGUGGCAUGUUAUGAAGCUACUGGACAGGCAAUAUGGCUGAAAAACUUUAUCCCGGGAUUAAGAGUGGUCGACAGCAUAUCAAAACCACUCAAAUUAUACUGCGAUAACAAACCAGCAGUAUACUAUGCGAGUAGCAACAAAUCAAGUGCUUCUGCCAAAUACAUUGAUAUCAAGUACCAUGUUGUGAAAGAAAUGAUCCAGGAUCAGACAAUAAGCAUUGAGUAUAUGAACACUAAGUUGAUGUUAGCGGAUCCACUUACAAAAGGCCUACCACCUGUUGUAUUUAAAGAACAUGUUGCCGGCAUAGGUUUGGUAGAAAAGCCUUCGAUCCUGGAAUAAGAAGGAACCUAUAUGACACUGACUCCCCAUAAAACUAAGGCGGACUCAUUUUGAAAUUAAAUAGGAACCAUAGUCACUUGGUUCAGUAGUACUUAAUUGGCUACUGUAAUCUAGUGUCUUGAUGUACUGUUUUGUUGAAAAGUGAGUCCAUAAGUUUGUAUAAGCCUAAUGUAAUAAGUUCAAAGAGCUCGUAAGAUUAAAGAAGUUUAUUUUAAAAUAUAAUGGUAUGCUAUAGUCACUGGAUUCUUUGAUGCUUUAUAUUGGUCACUAUAAUCUUUUGUCUUGGUAUACUAUUUUAUUGAAAGAUGGACUUAUAAGUUUAGCCUCACGAUCAAGGGGGAGAAUGUUAGUGUGAACGCAAAAUAUGAUCUUGCGGCUAAACCUAAAGUCGGCAAAGAGAUAUUUUGUUUAGGGCGAUCGCUAUAGUGAUCGAUCUCUCAUGAACAUCCCUGAUCGGGGGAUAACCGCCAUACCCUAGUGUCGGUUCCCCCUGUGUGCAGUGGCUAUAAAUAGAGAUCAAUACCUAAGUGUUAAACCCUAAGAGAUUUCUCUCGCUACCCGAUCAAACAACCCACUGAAACACAGGGAAGAAUCAAGACACGAUUCUCUUCGUGCUUCCAAACUAGAAGAGAAGAAAGAAGAACAAAGACAGAGAGAAUGGGAACUCCAGGAGAUCAAGGUAUGAUCCAAUCCCAUUUUAAUUUAUAGUUCCACUUUGUGCCAAAUCGAUUCUAUCAAAUCCAACAUCCACCAGAUGUGGCAUAGGUUCAUCAUCGCAGAAGAAUGGCCUAGAAGGCAAUCGCAGACCAUCAACAUCACCUUCAAGCAUCUCUAUGACCUCACUCAUCGUCGGCCGAUCAUAGGAAUUCAUCUGAAUGCAAUGCAGCCCAACAAUACACAACUUCUUUUCCAGCUCAUGCAUAUUAAAGGCACUAGUAACCACCUCACCCAACUCUUGUUGAGCCAGCUGAUUAUACACCCAUGAUGGAUAAUACGCUUGGCUUGAGCUCGACAUAUCCUGCUUAGAGUUCCUUCGCCCUCCAACCAUCUCCAACAGAAGCAUUCCAAAGCUAUACACGUCAGAUUUGCUAGAUAUGACACCAAAGCUCCAAGAUAUCAUCUCAGGAGCAAUAUAACCUAUUGUUCCUCGUGCAGCACUAACAGGCACAAAACUAUUAUCCUGUGGGUACAGUUUGGCAAGGCCAAAAUCAGCAACUUUUGGAAUGAACUUGCUGUCAAGAAGGAUGUUGUGCGGCUUGAUAUCAAAAUGUAGAAUUUGCAUCUCACACCCUCGGUGCAAAUAGUUUAUUCCUCUAGCAAUUCCCAGUGCAAUCUCAUUGAGCUUUUCCCAAGAGAAACUCUUCUCAGGCGAGAAGAUGUACUUCUCCAGAGAUCCAUUGGGCAUGUACUCGUACACAAGUGCUCUCCUUGUUUCCUCGGCACAAAAGCCCACCAACGACACAACAUUAACAUGAUGGAUACUACCAAUGGUGGAGACCUCGUUGAUGAAUUCUUCUCCGUCACAACUAUAGUUGGCCAGUAUCUUGACAGCAACAUGGAUAUUGCCUGGGAGUAGAACACCCUUGUACACAGAACCAUAGCCUCCUUGGCCGAGCUUCUCCGAUCCCUGAAGUGACCUGUAAUUGCAGUGAUAUCGGUGUAGGCAUACCUCGUUGGUCCAAGCAUCAGUUGCAUACGAAGAAACUUGUCGACUGCGUCAAUUGUUAUCCUCUUCUUCCAGCACUUGUGUGCCAGGAAUGUCAUUACUACCAGCGGCGCCCCCCCCCCCCCCCCAACCUGAAUAUUACUGCAUAAAAGGGAAGUUUUAUACUUUACUAUUGGAUAGUAGAGGAGAGGAAUACUGCGAAUAUUAGACACAUUGUAUUGAGCCUCAGAGGACCGGUAUAUAUAGGAGUUUACAAUUACAGAUUGAUGUAGGGAGAAUGUGCUUGAACUUUGAAAGGCGCAACGAUGCAGCAGCUAGCUGGGGUAAUAUGGAGUGUGUAACUAUAUAAAUGCUCACAAAUUAAUUGUUGUGGGGGACACUAACUUGAAUAGAGAUGAGAUUUGCUCCGGUCCAACAAAAAGUACCUCGAGAUAGCGGUACUUCACGGCACCAAAUUGUUUCCGAUCGUUAGAUCUAACAAUGCCCGUCAUGCCCAGCUAGAUCCAACGAUCGAAAACGUUUUGGUACCGUGAAGUACCGGUACCUCGAGUUACUUUUUGUUGGACCGGAGCAAAUCUCAUUUGUGAAUGCCGCUAGCUGUAACAGUUUUAAAGAAGAGAAUAAUGACUUUAAACCAUGUGAAGCUGAGUUUCGAAAUUCAUUCAUCUAAAAAAAAAGUAAAGCUGAGUAACGAAAUUAUUAUGGCAAUGACAAACAAAAAGAUGACAUUUUAAUAUGAAUUGCCAACUAGGCGUUGGAGUCAACUAAUAUACACAAAAAGAUGUAAAGUUUAGCACAGCGUGCAGAGAAGAGCAUCUUCCAAACUCCAAGGAAAUACCAAUAAGACAAUUCUCACAGUGCAGGAAACUUGAGGAUAAAAAGCUAGGCAAUCUAAAACUAGAAUGUAGCAAUAAGGAUCAUCUGUUUAAGUACAUAUAUACACGAUUUCUUUACCAGCAAUCCACUUGAGAAGCCACAUGGCGAUUAUUGUUAGUAGAACGAACAAUUUGACAGCUGCAGGUAAUCUAGCUACACGGAUUACGCAUGCCAUGUAACGAAUGUCGAACGUCGCAGUGUCUGCCAUAGUGUACUUGAUGCCUGCACUAGACGCUGGUUCUUCUCGGAAAUGUCUACAAAGACCAUGCAAAACGAAUUUAAGACGAUCGAGGUCACUAGUGGGAUCAAUGCAAGAAAAUCAAUGAAACCACAGGAUAUAUCGCAAGCUCACCGAAAUGUCUCUGCCCUGCACUCCUUGAAAGAGUACGCAGCAUCAAUCGUGUAAGGAAACCGAACAGCGAAUCCACCUCUCAUUAUUUUGACGACAUCCUCGCAGCUUGGAUUCUCUUCUAGCACUCUUGUGUCGUUGCCGUGCAAAGGAGUAAUGGCCAGGUGCCCACACGAAGGCUCAAGAUUAUCAAUAUAACAAGAGUAUAUGCUGCCAAUUAGCACGUAAACGAAGGAACGGCUGGUAUUAUUCAGGCAAGCGACAGGCCUGUACUUCUCAUUGUUGUUUAUUUCCUGCGAACAAUUCACAAAGGCUGACCACCUACUUGAAGCAGGCUCCAGCUCGAUAUGGAUGGUGUGGCAACCAGUAUUCAGGGUUGUAGUUGGAUAAGGUGGAACAAUCCUCUGAGGAAGUGUGUUAGGUGAAUCCGAGAUGUUGGCAUCGACAACCCAGAAGGUAGAAUCACUGUAGUUGAUGCCCGUCACAGAGUACGUUCCCUCGUAGAUCUGAAUCGUAGCCUUGUCAUCGGUGCAAGUCAGCUCGUAGGAUGUAAAACCGCAUCCAGAUGGGUCACCUCGCCGGCGGAAAGGAGACGACACGUUGCUAAGACGGCCGCAGGUGAACGGAAGGCAGUCAUGCCGAUGAUGCUGAUGCCGCCCACCUGCAUCUGGGACGACAACUGCAAGCACAAACAAUACAGAGAUGACUCGCAGGGCGGUUGAGCGAUGGAACGAACCAGGAAUAAUGAUCGCCAUGCUGGAGGCAGAAGGAGAUGAAUGAGAGUGGCUAGAGAUGAACUUAUUUUAAGACGACAUGAGAGAGGCUAGAGAUGAACUUAUUUGGACAGAGUGAGGUAGGAGUAAUACUAAAGCAAUAUAUUCACUGUGGGCUCCUCGAUAGUUAACCGUCGAUGAACAACUUUCUUGUAAACUUUUUUCUCUCCAUCUUAAUUAUAUUGGAUGACCUCCUUCAGUCAUCCCGACAAAAUAUUCACCGUGGGCCUACACGACUGUGAUGCUGUUGACUUGGAGGCACUUAUUAACGUAGACAGGUUACAUCCAGACCAUCACCAGUCACUCAGCUACCCCAGGCAAGCCUUAUCGACUAUCGUAUAACAGAGCAAUUUGUAUGGAUACAUCAUACAUAUGGUACUCUACCAAGUUAGCUUCACGAGUUGAUUCCAGUUACAACAAAAGAGAGUUCCAAUGACAACAAAAGAUAAAUGAGUUUCAUGUAGUUACACGUCUACUGGUUUAUUGGAUAUGCAGUACACGUCUACUGGUUUACAUGUAGUUACACGUCUAGCAGAAAUAUAUACACGUUGUAGAAUCUACGAACGGUCUCCGAAGGUCACAUACUCACAUACCUUUCUAAGCAAUACAACACGGCAGAAGUUUCAGUGGCAGUUGGAAUUCCUGCUCACAGACGCAGCAAUCGUGACAAACACAGGAUAAAUCCUCACUGGAGAUCAUAGCAAUAGGUGAUCCUUUUUCUAUAGCCACGGCCUUCUCUUCAUCUGCCUUCCUCGCCAUUACACUCCAUGGACUUGCCAAAACUUCUCUUCACAGUACUCAUACUCUCUCUUCUCAACUACGAAUCCUCUUCCGCCACAGCAUGGGAUGAUGAAGAUUUCUUCAAGACUUGCUCAUCACACAGGUGCAGCAAGCAUGGACCAGAGAUCAGGUUCCCUUUCCGGCUCUCGACACAACCUCCAUCAUGCGGCGCACCCGGCAUGCACUUGUCAUGCUCUGGACAGGACACCAUCCUCAAUCACCCAGUUCUUGGUCCCUGCAAAGUAACCGAGAUAAGUUACAGUUAUGCUACCAUGAACGUCAUCCCACCUGUAGAUUCCUCACCUCACUGCCCACUUCAGAAGCUCAUGUCGAAAAACCAAUCAACUUCUGUGUACAAACCUCAAGGUCCUCAAUCGCAGGGAGCUACCCUUGUAGUUUGUUCAAGAGAUCCCAUACCUGCAAAUCAAUACGACAUAGUUGGCCCAAUAUCUUGCCUCGGCCAUAAUAACCAGUUCUGGUAUUUGGCAGAUCCCUAUACAUACAUGUCUGUUCUUCCCUUGGACUGCACAGUUAUUUCUAAAGGCAUCCCAAUGCCCUAUAGUUAUGAUAAAAAAGGGAGAAUAAACUGGGACACCUCAAACUUCAAGGAAACAGCAAAUAGAGUCAUCAACGAUGGUGAGACAGUAUUCAUGUGGUACUCUAGUAACAUUACUAGUAUUUGCCAACGAUGUGAAUAUGAAGGCCGACCCUGUGGUUUCAGUUCACAAAGUGGUCAAGCAUUCUGUCGGCGUCAUGGUAUUUUUUCUCUCUCUUUUUGAAGCACAAACCCCAUAUCAUUAUGGUGACUUGUUUCAUUUUCGAAUAGCAUUCAAUAUUUUUUUUCCAAUUCUCAGUACGUUAGUUAUCCAAUCUUCUAUAUUCUAAUACAGUGAUUUCAAGCUCGAUGCAAUAUUUUCACCUUGCAAUCAAACAGUUUAGCAAAAGUGAAGGUGUACUGUGAAUCACUUGAUUGCUAGCUUGGAUGAACAUUUUAGCUCUAGGUUCACAUCCGUAAUGUUCUAACAGAAGCCCCUGCAAAGAGAUGACAGUGUCUAAAAUAAUUAAAUAAUAAUUUUCCCUUUUUCUUUCGCUUCAAACCAAAGUAACUGUUCAAAAUAGUGCUUUGUUGUACACAGAUUACGGUGCACUAAUGAAAAUUCACAAACUGUACAACGUUACAUAGAAGUAUUAACAUUCAUAAAUGUUUAUCUAUACUAAUAUAAAAGAUGGUAGUGGUGGUGGUGAGUCUGCCACCACCACCAGCCAACUACCAUGCGGGACCCACGAAAUGUGAGAUAAAACUUUGAUUGUUUCGUAACCCCCACAUGCCAUAGACCCCGUCGAAAGGAAAAUAUGACAAUAGAAUAUUAUGGAAUUUUUCAUCUUUGCGAAAUGGCAGCAAAAUUAGCACAAUAAUAAUAUACUAGACAAUUAGAAAAAACCCGUUGCAAUGCACGGACAUUAUGCUAGUAUGAUAUAACACUGUUCUCUGUAUUUCAGCAAAAACAAAAAAAAGAAAAGAAAAACAUAUGUACAAUCCAUUUGAUGGACCUGAAUUUAUGUGACAACUCCAAUAACUUAUAAGACAAGUUGAAAGUUAAUAUUACUACAGUAGGAAACAAUAAUGUACCAGUAUCAUAUAGACUAUGACUCUAUGAGCAGAGAGAUUAUAUGGUGCCAACAGAGUAGAGAUCUCACUUGAUAAUGCAGUGAUAAGGGGUAUGUGGUUUCAACCCCGAGGUCCCGUGUUCAAUCCCCAGUAUGCUCACAAUUUCUUCUUAAAAAUUUUUUGGAGGGACGUCUCUCCCUCCAAAUCUCCUUUUUUUUUUGGGUGCUAACAGAGUAGAAUCCAGAACAUGCUUUGCAGACUGCAGUGAUCUGUGAGAUCAUUAUAUUAGAUAUUCCAUCCUUCUAAAUAAUUUAAACUAAAGCAUUUCUCUUUUUAUGGUUGGUUAAGAUAAGAAUCCUCCCUCCCAUCCUAUUCCCUUUUAUGACUACUAGCUAAAUGCCCGUGCUUUGCUGCGGAUAAAAGGAAAAAUAUAACAAUAUUUUAUAACAUAAAUAAAUCAUAUUUUCCAUGAAAUAUGUUAUCCACAUUUCCCCUAUAGGAAAAUGUGGGCUAUCCACAUUAAUUUUAUAUGUGGCUAUCCAUUUAGAUUUAGUUGUUAUGUAAUAUUAAAAAGUUCAAAGGGUAAUAUGUAAAACUUGUAAUAGGAGUAGGUGGGUGGAAAAUUCACUGCCACCACCAUUGGAAUCUUUUUAAAGGAGUAUAGAUACCCAUGCAAGUUUUAAAAUUCUAUACAGCAAGCCAUAUAAAAAUCUGGAAUCAGUUUUACUUUUAUUUUAAAAAAACAUCCUUUUUAUAUACAAAUCAAGGGAAUACUAAUUCUCUUUCUUUCUACAUGCAGGACCGCGGGUCACUCUUGUUGCAGGUAAGGAAAUAACUCAAUCUUUUGUCCAUUCUGCAUGAAAUUUCAAUUAAAUGCCACCCAAUUUAUGAACUUUCAACAAAGAGAGUGUAUAUAUUUUCUAAUCCAAAUAAGAAAUGCCAUGAUUAUCUUGACAAUAAAGGCACAUCUGGAAAAUAAAUUACAGAAUUAUGUCAUCUCCAAAUGCAGCUAACUAACUUUCUUAUUUUUCAAUCAGCUACAUCAUCUGUAGCCACAUUUGUAAUUCUUUCAUUAGUUGUGGCCACUGCAUUCUACAUCUCCUUAAAGUCAAGGUACAACAAAGAGAUACAUUUGAAAGUUGAAAUGUUUCUCAAGACAUAUGGCACAUCCAAGCCCAUGAGGUACACUUUCUCCGAUGUUAAGAAAAUAACAAGACGGUUCAAGAAUAAAUUAGGCCAUGGUGGAUUUGGAAGUGUCUACAAAGGUGAGCUACCAAAUGGAGUUCCUGUGGCAGUCAAGAUGCUAGAGAACUCCUUAGGAGAGGGAGAAGAGUUCAUCAAUGAAGUUGCGACCAUUGGGAGAAUUCACCAUGCAAACAUCGUCCGUCUCCUAGGAUUUUGCUCUGAAGGAACACGACGGGCUUUAAUAUAUGAAUUCAUGCCCAAUGAAUCGUUGGAGAAAUAUAUAUUCUCAAAUGGUUCUAAUAUUUCAAGAGAAUUCCUAGUACCAAAGAAAAUGCUAGAUAUUGCUUUAGGCAUCGCCCGAGGAAUGGAGUACUUGCACCAAGGGUGCAAUCAGCGCAUUCUCCAUUUUGACAUCAAGCCUCACAACAUAUUGUUGGACUACAGCUUCAGUCCAAAGAUCUCAGACUUUGGGCUUGCAAAGUUGUGCGCAAGAGAUCAAAGCAUUGUCACAUUAACUGCAGCAAGGGGCACGAUGGGUUAUAUUGCACCAGAACUAUAUUCUCGGAGUUUUGGAGCAAUAUCAUACAAGUCGGAUGUCUACAGUUUCGGCAUGCUGGUGUUAGAAAUGGUGAGUGGGAGGAGGAACACAGACCCAACCGUUGAGAACCAAAAUGAGUUCUACUUUCCUGAGUGGAUAUAUGAGAGAGUAAUCAAUGGGCAGGAACUGGUGCUUAACAUGGAGACAACACAAGGGGAGAAAGAAACGGUUAGACAGCUAGCCAUUGUAGCGUUAUGGUGCAUUCAGUGGAACCCAACAAACCGGCCCUCGAUGACAAAGGUAGUAAACAUGUUAACGGGGAGGUUGCAGAAACUACAGGUGCCGCCUAAGCCCUUCAUUUCGUCUGAAAAUCAUCUUGCGACUUAGAUCAUGGAAACACAAUUCCAUGGUUUAGAGAUAUGUUUGAUCGAUCCGUAGCUUGUAUGUAUGGUGUAAGAUUAUUCAACUAUAUUGUGCUAUCAGACAUAUGGUAUAUGUAUUCAUGCAAUUCUAAUAUCCCGUGGAUUUGAUUUGCAGUGUGAUAGUUAAAAGAUGAUAACUUGAUUACCUUAUUCUGUCAUUGCUACCAGUGCACUAAUCCUCCUCGCUGAGCACACAUUUUUCGUACCCAUCUCAUCCCCACACUGCCAAUCUACUAACUGUCCUUGUUCUUACCCAUCCCAUCCCCACAAAGGAUCCUGCAGCGCAGGCAACUGAUUAUCUCAUCUCAUGUUCACUCCUGGUAUUGCAUAAUUUAGAACAGAAAAAGAAAAAAAAAAAGCAGCACGACAAAGGGAAAAGGGGUUACCAUUUAGCAAGGCACGAGCAUCCGCAGGAGGUCUCGGAGAGUGUAGAAUGCGGGAGGGGAUUAGAGAAUAUGAUUAAACGUGGUAUCGGGCUUGUUAGAGAUUCCACCGGUCGCUAGCUGCCGCCUGCGGCGCCAUUGAGGAAUAACCGAAGCAAUUUCCAUCUGCGGAAUGAGCGGAGGCGACUCGCAAAAUGGCAGACUGCCGCAGCAAGAUUAACCGAAACUCGGCGCGCGGGGCGUGGGAAUGUGGGAUGGCCGGAGGACGGCGGCCGGAUGGGUGGGGCUGGGCGGCGGCGGAAGGCGUAGGGAGAACUAGUGUGCUUUAUCACAGGUUGGGCCCGUCCGUCUAAUUCCCGUGGCCCAUGAAGACGAGCUUCCUGGGCCGCAUCCUUCAUGAUCUUCCGAGCCCAACAGGCUCCUCACAAUCUCGUUAGAAAUAAGUUCACUGUAGGUACCUCAACUUAACAGCGACAUUUUUUAAGGUCCCUUAACCACAAAACCAGAAAUCUUCACCCCUAAACUAUACAAAACCGUCUAAUUUAGGUCCCAAGGCAGUAUAGAUGGCUAGUUUCGCUGACGUGGCAUCCUAGUCAGCAAAAAUAAUAAAAUAAAUAUGUGGGGCCCAUAUGUCAGUGAGAGAAAAUAAUGUGGGCCCUACAUCUCUUUUUUCUUUUCUUUUUCUCUUCUCUUCUCAACUUCUCACGCGCAGGCGGGUGUGCGGGCGCGGCCGCCGGCGCUGCGGGCUCUGCGGUGCACGGGGAAGAAGCGGGAGAGGGGGAGAGGAGGCGGCCGGCACCAGAGAAGGGGAGAGAGGCGGCCGGCGCGAGGCCCGCGCCGAGGUGGAGGGCAUGGGCGCCCCGGCGCUCCCCGCGCGCCACCGCCUGCGCGUGGAGGGGAACCGGUGGCAGCGGGACUGGAAGUUGUCGGAGGCCGCCGCGCGCCUAGGCCGGCGCCGUCUACGUGCUCAACUGCUGGGCUGGCCGCAACUUCCCUCUCCUCAUCCGCGUAAGGGCAUCAUCCCACGCUCUGUAGUAUUUCAUGAAUUGAAUUGCGGAUGAUAUACAUCGAUGUGGCUGUCAUGGUUGCGUUCUUAUGAUUUGCCAUCACGCACGAAGUUAUUGAUUGCUUGAAAUUACAAAAAGCGACAACAAUUCUAUCAAUCUAGCUGUGUUGUUCAUUCAUCCGCCGACUCCGCUCUCCGCCGCCGCCGCUCCGGCUGCUUGCCGCCGACAGCCCCACGUCGUCGUCGUCCAUCCCGCUCGACCCUUCCCUACUAAUCCUCAUGCUCGCCGUCGAGCCCUCUCCCGGCGCUCCCAUCGGCGCACGCAUCCACCCCGGCCGCUCUCCUCCGCAUCCUCCGCCGGUGUCGCACCGAGGAGGUGCGCCGCGCCGUGGAGGCGGCUUGGCUGGCGACAGCGAGGUUGCCGCUUGCCCGCUCACCUGCCGCGGCUCCGGAUGGGGAGAGGCGGGCGCCGGCCACUGCUCCCGCCGUCGCGGGCGGUCGCGCCGUCCACCUCCUCUCCCCAUCUCCCGCUUCUUCCCCGCCGCUCUGCCGUCGGCCGCCAUCUGCCCGCAUGCGCGUGAGAACUGACGGUCUGUUUGGUUUUGAGGCAGUUUUUAGGAGGGACCGGGAGUUUAGAGGGAUGAGGCUAUUAACUGUUUUGUUUGGUUGAGGGACAUGAGAAAUUUGGUAGGAUGGAGAUGGGGGAUUGAGGAAUGAACUCCCUCCUUUUCAAUACCUGGGUAGGGGUAGGUAAUUGGGAGGGAAUUCCUCCUUUACUUCGCCUAAACAAAUCUCAGCCAUCCGUUUUCAUUAAUGAUUUAAUCUCCAACUAAACUCCUUAUCAAUUUCCACCACCUCUACCAAACAAGAGACUGGGAUGAAAAAUCAAAUUCACAUCUUAAUCUCACCAUCAAUUCCCUCGUGUAAACUCCCAAUCCCCUUCCCUCAAGUUGCCAAACAAGCCAUGAGAAGAGAAGAGAAAGGAAAAGAAAAAAGAGAUGUGGGGCUCACAUCAUUUUCUCCCCCUGACAUGUGGGCCCCCACAUAUUUAUUUUAUUAUUUUUGCUGACUAGGAUGCCACGUCAUCAAAACCAGCCAUCUAUACUGUCUUGGGACCCAAAUUAGACGGUUUUGUAUAGUUUAGGGGUGAAGAUUUCUGGUUUUCCGGUUAAGGGACCUCAAAAAAUCUCGCUGUUAAGUUGAGGGAUCUCCGGUGAACUUAUUCCAUCUCGUUACAUCCCAAUGCGUUAGUUAACAAACAGGGAUUGGAGGGGGUAAUCCUAAUGGGCGGGUGAUCGCUCCCUCCCCUCCCCAGCGAUCACCCGCCCCUCCCCCUUACUACUUUACCUCCCCUUCUUCUCUUAAUACUACACCAUAAAAAUUAAAAUUCAAAUUCAAAUUUGAAACGGGCACGUAAACUUUUUACUUAUAAACUUUGGGUCUAUAAACUAAUAUUUGAAUUCAAAUUCAAAUUCAAAUUUGAAAUGGGUAUGUAAACUUUUGACCUAUAAACUUUGGGUCUAUAAACUAAUAUUUGAAUUUAAAUUCAAACUUUAGCUAUAUAAAAUUUAGAUGUAUAGAAAUACUAUAUAUAGAAAAUAUUUAUAUUUGAAUUCAAAUUCAAAUUUGAAUCGGAUAUAAUUCAAAUUCAAAUUUGAAUCGGGUAUGUAAACUUUUGACUAAUAAACUUUAGAUCUAUAAACUUUAGGUGUAUAAACUUUAGAUGUAUAGAAAUACUAUAUAUGAAAAAUAUUUGAAUUCAAAUUCAAAUUUGAAUAUGAUAUUUGAAUUCAAAUUUAAAUUUGAAUCGAAUAUAUAAACUUUAGAUCUAUAAACUUUAGGUCUAUAAACUUUAGGUGUAUAAACUUUAAAUGUAUAGAAAUACUAUAUAUAAAAAAAUAUUUGAAUUCAAAUUCAAAUUUGAAUCAGAUAUAUAAACUUUUGGUCUCUAAACUUUAGAUGUGUAAACUUGAGGUGUAUAAACUUUAGGUGCAUAAAUUUACUAAAAUAGAAAAGUAAUGCGUUGCCAAAAAGGGAAACCAGGUGGAGGGAGGGGGGUGGGAACCGAUCGCCCUGAGCGAGCGAGGGCGAUCGCUCGCCCAGUAGCAUUUCCUGGAGGGGACCUGUUUGGGAGCUUCUCACAGAAUUUAGCUCCUCCAAUGGUUCAGAUUGUCAUCCAAAUUUUGAAAAUUUGUAGUUGUAAAAACUGGUUACCAACCAGCAGGUUUUCAUAAUCUUAAGCUCCCCAAAUAUGAUUUAAAUCCACGUCUAUCAUGGUGUGAAAUUGUUCCCCCUUAAUUCCCUCAAAUCAUCUUCAAUCUUUUCCAAACCGAAUAAGGCCUAAGAAGAAUCUGGAGCUAUGUCCUGGUGGGCUUCCUUUGCUGUUGAGGUGGGCUAUUAAUCUUCCUAAGGCAAACCAAAUUGUGUAGAGAAUGUUGACACCGAAUCGUGACUUCAUACAUUGAGCACAUUAUGUGCAACUCGCAGCAGCACCCAGAAAAUGUACCGCCGUAGGGACAAUAGAACACCCCGUUUGGUACAUACCACCAAACGAACACCCAGGAGGGACCCCCAUCAAGAUGAAUGCAUGCUGGCUUAUCCUAGGCUCGGUAGGCUAGCUAGAACAUCCUCUAAAGCCGUAGAGACAAUAGACAUUGAGCGAUUAGGGGAUUGUAUGAGAAUAGUAGUUGGGACAGAUAACAAGAAGGUAGAAGAUGUAGAAUAUAGAGAGUUCGUAUAAUAGAUUGAUUUUGAUGAUUGAUCGAUUAUUUUUUCAAUCGACAAUGGCCUCCUACAUUUUACAGGAGGGAUGGACUUACUUCCUAGGGUUUUUUCCACGUUCAUUUAGGUGUAAAAACCAAUUAAUACUAAAAUCUCAGGCCUUGGCAAGAAAACCCGAGAAUCGGACUCGGAGUCGAACUCUACCGAUCUGAGCGGCUAGAUACCUCCGGUCAGACCGCCCCCCUGCGGUCUGACUGACCCUAUGGCACCAGUCAAACCGGCCUCGCGUAGCAUGCCCAGAUUCUUUCCAAAAUUGACUGUAUUUUCCUAUUUUUACUUUAGGUGCUAAAUUUAGGUAUUGAGAGAGUUUGUUGCAAAGGAAGAUAUAGACCAUACAAUUAUUGUGUGGUAUUAAUAAAGCUUAACAUAGGUCUUAAAAAAAACUAUAUAAGAUCAAUGUUCUGAUAUAGUAACAGCUAUCUAGCUUUCUUGCACCUAUUUCCAUUAAUAGAAAUGUAAACCUUACAGACAAGAAAGAGAAAAAAAAAACAAAGCAGAGCUAAUCUCAGUUCUUGGCCUCACUUUUCUUCUUCUUCUUUUUUACUUUGACCAGCUAUCUAGAUUGUGUCAGGUGCCAUCCCACCCUUCACAAGAGCUAGGCACCGUAAGUCUUACAGGCACAAAACACGUGCAGGAUAGGACCAAGCAAUGUUUCCUCAUAGACCUACAGAUUUCCUACACAGCCCCAAGCACCGUUCUCAGAAAAACAGACAAAGACAUCCCAGGAUCACCACACAGCAAAAUAGCAAAUGAACACUUCGAUUAUAACCUAGUUACUAGCGAAUUCAAUUGCGCCAUCGUCCUCCGAGAUGGCAGUCAGCUCUGAGGAAUGAAGGUAUGAAUCCAUCACAUUAGGCAUAAAAUCCCCAUCACAAAAGAAUGGCCUAGGAGGCACUUGCAGCGCAUUGACAUCCCCUUCGAGCAUCUCUAUGGUCUCGCUCAUUGUCGGCCGAUCGUGUGAUUUCAUCUGAAUACACCAUAAUCCAACAAGGCACAGCUUCUUCUGCAGCUCAUGCAUGUCAGCAGCACCUGAUGUCUCACCAACUUGUUCACCUGUUAGCUGCCCAUACACCCAUGAUGGGUAGUAUGACUGACUUGCAUUUGGAUUUGUAUUUGGAUCAGCGUUUCUUCUUCCUCCAGCCAUCUCAAGUAGCAGCAUUCCAAAGCUAUAAACAUCACACUUGCUAGAUAUGACGCCAAAGCUUCGCGACACCAUCUCUGGAGCUAUAUAACCCACUGUUCCUCGUAAUGCCCUGUCUGAUACAAAACUUUUGUUCCUCGGGUACAAUUUAGCGAGGCCAAAAUCUGCGACCUUUGGAACAAAGUUAUCAUCAAGAAGGAUGUUGUGCGGCUUAAUGUCAAAGUGCAAAAUCUGCAUAUCACACCCUUGGUGCAGGUAGUUGAUCCCCCUAGCAAUGCCUAUAGCAAUCUCAUUAAGCUUGUCCCACGAGAAACUUCUCUCGGAUGAAAAGAUGUACUUAUCUAGAGAUCCUUGAGGCAUGUAUUCGUAAACAAGGGCCCUUCUCAAUUCUUCGGAGCAGAACCCCACUAGACGCACAACGUUAACAUGGUGGAUCCUACCAAUUGUAGAUACCUCACUGAUGAACUCUUCCCCAUCGUAGGUGGAGGCGCCAUUCAACAUCUUCACGGCAACAUGGACAUCCCCGGAGAGUAGCACACCUUUAUAUACAGAUCCAUAGCCUCCUUGCCCUAGCUUAUCUCUGAAAUGGCUUGUAACUGCAGUGAGAUCUGUGUACGCGUACCUCGUCGGACCCAGAACCUGCUGCAUCUGUAGGAACUUCUCAACUGCAUCAAUUGCUAACCUUGUUUUCCAAUACUUGUGGGCAAGGAAGGUCAAUAUCGCUAGCGGCACCAACACGAACCUGCAUAGCACUGCAUAAUACAUACAACGUACUGGAGUAAGUAGUAACCGAGAGAGGCUGAAACAAUUAAUUAGGAAAAAGGAGCUACUACAUCCAUCCCUAAAAGGGUGGUUUGCUAAAAAGACACUCUUUUAGGGAUGGAUGUAAUGGUUCGGACUAUAUAACACUCUCAUUGGAUAUUCCUGUAUAUGUGGUUCUAUAAACUCUGGCAUACCAGCUAUGCACUUGACAAUCCACAUGCCAAAUGCUAUUAGGAUGCCUGAUGGAUAUCCAAUCAAGCAGAACCAGAAAUGGAGGUCAAUAAUAGAGAUGACAAUAAGCCGAUCACUGAUGGCAGUGCCUGUACUAGACCUUGGUUCUAUUCCAUUGCGCAAUUCGCUGCAGGUAGAGAAAAAGGAAUCAAAGAGGGGAGCCAGGGAGUACACAAUACAUAUACGAGUAUAAGACAUAUCUAAUGGAUCCCAAAUCAACUCACCUUAUCGAAUCCAUUAGGCACUCGUUGAUACUCCCGGCCCCAUAUAUGCGCGGAAAUCUAAUGGCGAAUCCUUCCCUCAUGAACUUUUUGACAUCUUCAUAGCUCGCAUUCCUAGGCACUGUCGUGCUCCAAUCACCCAGAAGAGUCAUGGCCAGGUAUCCACAAGAAGGCUCCAGGCUUUCGAUGUAACCAGGGUUGUCUGAAUCACUUGAUAAUAACACAUAGAUAAAAGAAUAGUUGGAGCUUGCGCAAGUGACAGGCCUGUAUAUACCAUUGUCCUUCACCUCCCGUGAGCAUCUAACAAAGUAAGCAUGAUUAUAUGCACCAGGAGCCAACUCGAUCUCAAUCCUGUGGCCUGAGACUUUGCGCUUGUACUGAUCAAGAAGAUGAUUCCACUGCGGAAGAGGGCAAGUGCUACCGGCUAUGUUGGCGUCGACGACCCAAAAGCGUCUGUAGUCGUAGUUGAUUUCAUUCACAUGGUAUGUUGCAUUGUCAAUGAGAAUUGUAGCAUUGGUAUCACUGCAGACCAGCUCGUAAGAUUUGCUGCCGCACCCAGGUGGAUCAGCUGCCCGACGGAAUGGAGCCGAUACACCCUUAAGAUGGCCGCAAGAGAAAGAAGGACACUUGUGAUGCCUUCCUUCAACAUGAUCCAGUACAAGACUCACAACCACAAAUAAGAUACCAGUAGCUAAAGCUUGCACGGCAUGAGCAUAUGCUCCAGGAAUCGCCAUGGCAGAUAGACUCUUGGGAGGGAUGAACAAGAUUUUGCCACAUUAAGUAGGGCGAUUACUCUACAAGAUUGUGAUGUUUUUUUUUUCAGGAAUACGCAAGGAGCGCAUCUUUGUAUUAAGAGGAGAUUGUGAUGCUGUUGACUCGAGAUUGAGAUGUUGUUGACUUGGAAGUUUUGAUUCACAAAACUACAAUACUUUAGCACUCAAUUCCUGCCCAAUUUUUUCGUACCCUCAGUAAUAAUAGGCUGCAGAUAACUGGAACAGCGCCAUAUGUAAGUUCCAUCCACUGGUGGAAUCACCCUCUGCAGUCACUUAGCUAUCAAGAGUUCAUGGCAAAUCUUAUCGUGAUUCAGCACAUGCUGCCUUUCCAUGUCACCUCAGUAGAUUUGAUCUUAGCACAAAAUGUAUAAGUUCCAUUUGGCAUUUACAAGUCUUCUGGAAUAAGAAAGGAAAAACGAGGACAUCCACAGGCCAAAAAUGAAAAGAAUAUUGUAAACAGUCUAAACCACAGAAUUUUUCUAACCAGCAAAACACGGCAGAAGUAUCAUUGGCUGCUGAAUUUCCUUCUCUACCACUCCUGAGUGGAUAUAUGAGAGUAACCAAUGGGCAGGAUCUGGUAUUUACCAUGGAGACAUCAGAAGGGGGCACUAUGGUGCAUUCAGUGGAACCCAAAAAAUCGACCCUCAAUGACAAAGGUGGUAAACAUGUUAACAGGGAGGUUGCAGAAUCUAUAGGUACCCCCCCCCCCCCCCCCAAAAGCGUUUUAUUUCGUAUCAAAAUCAUCUUGUGAUAUAGAUCAUGGAGAAGGCAUACCCAUGGGUUGGUACAUGUGUGAGAUAUAUAUGCUGAAUCCACGUAUUCUUACUGAGAUAUCCUAGCAUGUAAGUAUAGUGCUUAAUCAUUCAAAAUAUUGGGAACUCGAACCAGACAUAUGAUCACUAUGUAUUCAUGCAAUUCUAAUAGUCAGCAAUAUAUCCAGUGCAAUAUACUACCUAAUUCUGCAAUUCCUACCAGUCCAGUAAUAGUCCUCGCUGAACACCGAGAUGUUGCUGCUGCAUUUUCUAACCCAUCCCACAUCCACAAGAGUAUUCUGCAGAACAUGAAACUAAUAGUGACAUGUUUGCUCCUGGUACUGCAUAAUACCCAGGCAGGAGGCUCCCCACGGUCUAGAAUGUGGGAGGCGGAGGUGUUGUGAUGGACCGAGAGGAGAUGAUAAAUGUGGCGUCGGGCUUGGUAGAGAUUAGACAAAUCGGUGCCGUCAGCGGCGCCACCAUUGAUGAUCUGAGGACACACGGCUGCAACAACAGACGACGAUGAGGGCGACGGCGAGGCAUGGUCGCAAAGCUACCGGGAGGAAGCGGUUUACUCAUCUGCCAACGGAGAGGACGAGCGGCGGCGGAGGCGUAGGCAGGCCGCAGCCGCCGGAAUGCCGGAUUAACCGGAGCGCGCCGGCGGGGAUGCGGCGGAGGGAGGGGAAGGGGAAGGGAAAUCACGUUCCGGGCCGAUACCGUUCUUCUGGGCCGACAGCUUCAGCCCUAAAAUGUUUCAGCCUACUAAAGCUGCAAGGCCAGAAGGAGACGCCGCGGGGACAGGCCUGCAAUGCAUACAUGCAAGGCCUUCUCCCAUAGUGGGCUGCAUUGCAGUUUAUGUGGGCCUUACUGAUCUCCUCUUACAAAAGGAUUCGGCCCACCCACAAGCUUAAUCAGGCACGACCCGAUCAUUACCGUGGGCCUUCAUCCAGCCACUAUCAUCCAAACGCAGCGAUGAUAGACACCAUAUCUAAUUUUACGAUUUUGCUAUACAUCUCACGGGUGAUUUUUUUUGACUGAUAUUUCAUGUUUUUCUAUCCAUAGGAUCCCUCGCUAGGAUUUGUGCAAUAAUUGGUGGAGGCUGCAUACGUGGAUAAUACCAUGCGUCGGAUGGUAGGCCUGGUUCUUUUCACUUUACAAAUUUUUGAAACUAUAAAAUAAAAAAUAAAAUACAAAAUUAUAGUCCUAUAUAACUAAAAUUACAUGUGCAUAUUAGGUUGAUAUGACAUGUAAGCACACUGUAAUUUUGAUAAAAAAUAUUGUGUAAGUAGAUAUGUAUUGAUUAUUUUCUUUAAAAUAUAAAAUUAUAGUCAUAUAUAACUAAAAUUACAUUUGUAAAUUUAGUUGAUAUGACAUGUAAGUACACUGUAAUUUUGAUAAUUCUUUAAAAUAUAAAAUUAUAAUCCUAUAUAACUAAAAUUAUAUUUGUAAAUUUAGUUGAUAUGACAUGUAAGUGCACUGUAAUUUUAAUAAAGAUGUUGUGUAAGUAGAUAUGUAUUUAUUAUUUUCUUUAAAAUAUAAAAUUACAGUCCUAUAUAACUAAAAUUAUAUUUGUAAAUUUAGUUGAUAUGAUAUGUAAGUGCACUGUAAUUUUGAUAAAAAUAUUGUGUAAGUAGAUAUGUAUUAGUUAUUCUCUUUUGUAGUCAAUUGGAUGUAAAUCUAAGGGUAGAAAAAAUUUGGGUGAUUUUUGGUUAGAAAUCACCUGACAAAUGGAUAAACAGUUCCAGAAAAAUUUUAUUUUUUAUUUUUGCACAGAAAUGCGUAAAUAGAUCGAAAGGAAGUAACAUCACAUCUCAAGUUCUGAUACACUGAUACACUGUGUGUUUGGUUUAUUGAUUAGUGGAGGAGGCUUGCAGCUCUGUACCUGUGCCGCUGCGCGUGCUAUGCUUUCCUCCUGUGGUCAGAGUCGUCAGACAAACAUAAACAGGGGGUGUACAGUGAAUUUGUUAGUCAUACAUGAAUAUAUUGGAUAUUUGGAUUACAGCUCCCAGCGAUAACAACAGGCGCUACUAGGCUGUCCAAAUCGUGGCAUUUCAUUUCAGCAAAAACAGGUCCAUAUAUCUCUAGGUCUCGGAGACUUGAUCAUCACUAUCGGAAUGAGCUCUGGCGUGCUCAUGCAGCACGCACACCACAGAAAUGCACCGGCCAACAACACAUUUGGCCAAUGGCCACACAUAACGAUGGCAUCCCAAUCACAAAGUUAUGAUAAACGAAAGCUUCCCCCUAGUUCACGGCAAAGAAAUUACCCGGUCAGUCAAAGGCAAUCAGCUGUCUCCUGCCGCUAUCCACACUAACCUCUGGAGUCAACACCUCCAGCUCCAGGGCUGUGUUGAUCCGAAUGUCACAGCAAAGCAGAGAACAAAUUAGGAAUGGAUUAAGUAGCACCUUUUUUCAGCUAUCAUUCAGUAGCACUUUCUAUAACAUAUAGCUUCUUUCGUUUGUAAACAAACAAAUAAGUGUACAAGAAAUAUAUCACUAGUUCUAAGAAAAAGAAAUAUAUCACUGUUUACAAUUAUUUCUAGCUUCAGCAUUUUACAAGCAAGCUACUAGCUGAUUUGGCAUCAAAACAUGCACAAGUUUCACUCAUCCUCCUCUAAGAUUUCACUUAGCUCGGAGGAGAAUUGGUGAGAAUUCACCGCAAGUGACACGGGUUCAUCAUCACAGAAGAAUGGUCUUGGAGGCAUCUGCAGGCCAACAACGCCACCUUCAAGCAUCUCUAUGACCUCGCUCAUCGUCGGCCGAUCGUGAGAUUUCAUCUGGAUGCAAUGCAGCCCGAUUAUGCACAGCUUCCUCUCAAGCUCAUGCAUGUUAGCAACAGUACCAGCAGGUAUCUCACCAACACCUACUUGCUGCUCAGUUAGUUGGUCAUACACCCAAGAUGGGAAGUAGGUCUGAUUUGAGUUCUCUGCAUACAUGUCUGAGUUUCUUCUUCCUCCAGCCAUCUCCAGUAGCAACAUUCCAAAGCUAUAGACAUCGGAUUUGCUCGAUAUGAUUCCGAAGCUUCGAGAUAUCAUUUCAGGAGCAAUAUAACCUAUUGUUCCCCGUAAAGCACUGAGCGGCACAAAACUUUGGUCCCUGGGGCACAAUUUGGCAAGGCCGAAAUCAGCAACCUUUGGAACAAAGUUGACAUCAAGAAGGAUAUUGUGUGGCUUGAUGUCAAAGUGGAGUAUCUGCAUAUCGCAACCCUGAUGAAGGUAGUUGAUCCCCCUAGCAAUGCCCAAAGCAAUUUCAUUGAGCUUAUCCCAUGAGAAACUUCUUUCAGAUGAGAAAAUGUACUUGUCCAACGAUCCCCGUGGCAUGUACUCAUAGACAAGCGCCCUCCUUAUUUCCUCUGAACAAAAACCAACAAGAUGAACUACAUUGAUGUGGUGGAUCCUACCGAUGGUGGAGACCUCACUGAUAAACUCUUCGCCAUUGCAGUUAGAGUUUCCUAGCACCUUCACAGCCACGUGAGCAUUGCCUGGAAGGAGAACACCUUUGUAUACAGAGCCAUAACCUCCUUGGCCGAGCUUCUCCCUGAAGUGACCUGUGAUUGCAAUGAGGUCAGUGUAGGCAUACCUUGUUGGACCAUUCAUUAAUUGCAUCCGGAGGAACUUCUCUACUGCAUCAGUUGUUAUCCUUAUCUUCCAGUAAUUGCGUGCUAAGAAGGUUAAUAUCACCAGGGGCACCAAAAUGAACCUGCAAAAUACUGCAUAAAAAAUAACUUUAUAUUUAACACAUACUGUACUAUACAUUGCUCUAGGGAGAAUGUGCUUAUUAAAGUUUAAAAGUUUCCACGAUGCAAGUGAAUUUAGCAAUGUGGCCAGCGCACUGUGAGAUGCGUACAGAAAUUUUCUAAAUAUUUGACGCCGUUGACUUUUUUAAAUAUGUUUGACCGUUCGUCUUAUUUAAAAAUUUUAAGUAAUUAUUAAUUAUUUUCCUAUCAUUUGAUUCAUUAUUAAAUAUACUUAUAUGUAUACAUAUAGUUUUACAUAUUUCACAAAAGUUUUUGAAUAAGACGAACGGUUAAACAUGUGCUAAAAAAUCAACGGUAUUAAAUAUUUAGAAACGGAGGGAGUAACAAUGAGGAUUAUUUGUUCUUAAGUAUACAUGGUUCUUUACCAGCAAUCCACUUCAAAGUCCACAUGGCCAGUGGUAUUACACCCACGAUCAGUUGGACAACUGGAUGAGGAAGCAGGCAACCCCAGAAAUGAUAGUCAAAUAUCACAGUGUAGAAAAUCCUGAAAGACGUUGGUCGUUCCUCUUGGACGAUAUUUCUGCAGAGACAAUAUAAUGUAAAGCGUAAAAAAAACAAUAUAAUGUAAAAUGAACUUAAGAUGCCCCCGAGCAGUUUCUGAGCAGAUAAGCAAGAGAAAUCCAUGCAUAUAUAAAAAAUCGACUAAAAGAGAAAUAAUGAAACCACAUGCAGGAUGUCGCAAACUCACUGGAAUGACUGUGCUAUGCACUGUUUGAUUUUGGAGGAGUAGACAUAAAAACGACUUGUGUAUGGAAACCGAAUGGCAAAUCCACCUCUCAUUAGUUUGACAACAUCGGCGUAGCUUGCAUUCUCUAGCACCAGUGGGCGGUCGCCGGCACCCAGAGGAGUCAUGGCCAGGUACCCACAGGAAGGCUCGAGACUCCCAAUAGAAUCAGAGUUCAUGCCAGUUAGCACGUAGACGAAGGAGCUGUUGGUGCUCAUGCAAGCAACAGGCCUGUACUUGCCAUUGCUCUUCAGUAUUUCCUGCGAACAUGUCACAAAAGUAGCUGUAGUGCUCUGAUAAGGUGGCAUCAGUUCAGCUUGGAUGCUGCGGCGGCGGGAGUCUUCUCCAUGCCGCUCGUAUAACAUUUGGUCGUAGUAACCGAAAUCGCGAUUCCAGCGAGGAAGAGGGCAAUUGUUACGUGAAUCCGAGAUGUUGGCGUCGAUGACCCAGAAGGUAGAAUCCUUGUACUUGAUGUCCAUCACAAGGUAUGUCCCGUUGUCGAUCUGAAUCGUAGCCGGCUUGUCGUCGGUGCAGGUCAGCUCGUAGGACGCAACGCCGCACUCCGGCGGGUCACCUCGCCGGCGGAACGGGGGCGACACGUCGCUGAGAUGGCCGCAUGAGAACGGAGCGCAGCCAUGCCGAUGAUGCCGUCCAGCUGCAUGUGGGACAAGAACUGCAAACACAAACUGGACAGAAACGAAGACUUGCAGCGCAGUUGGGUGACAGAACGAACCAGGGAUCGCCAUGGGAUGGAUGAAUCACACGCAUAGCAAUUAAUUAGCUAGUACUACUGUACUAGCAAGUAGUAAAGCAAUAUAUUCACCUUGGGCCUACAUGACUGUGAUAGUGUGAUGCUGUUGCAUUGGGUUGUGCACUUGUGCUUGUGUGGUUAGCAUGUGGCUUUGGUUGUGUAUUUUGAUGCUGUUAGAUAGAUCUCCCUUCCCUUGAACCCAACGGUACAAGGGGGCCUUGACCCGCGCCCUGAUCGGGGGUGCUUAGCCCAAUGGCUGGUGGGCCCCGUCACCCUGCGCCAUAUAAACAGGGGUGGAGGCCGGGGUGCCACAUGACACGAGGUUCGUUGCUGCCGCCAACUCCACCCAUAAACCCUAACCGAUCGAGGGUGGGCGCAGCCAGUGACGGGAAGUCUCACCGCCGCGCCACGCCUCAUCGUCGCCUAUGACUGCCGCUGCCGCAAUCACUGUCGCCGUCUCGACCACCAUCGCCGCCGUCCACGUCAAGCCCGCAACGACAACGACGAUGUCCGGCACCUCUUCCUCCACGAACACCUCAACCGGUCGGUAUCUCAACCUCUCUCUUUCCAUCUAUAUUGAUGUUCAUCCACCCAAAUAAAUCCACCCGACUAGAUCUAAAUCUAGGUGAUCCUAGAGAGAACCCGAACCCUAACAGAUGCACCUCCAAUAUCGACAAUUUCUAUCGAGUUUUUCUUGUAAAUUUAUUUCUUCUUAAUAUACUUGGAUGGCCUCUUUCAACCUUCCCGGCAAAUUCACACCUGUGAUUACCCACCACCGGCCAGUCACUCUGCUACUCCAAGCCAUGCCAAAUUCACCCGUUGAUUUCAGUACCAACACGCUAAAAGCGAGUUUCUUUUAAUUUUUUUUUACAGAAAUGCAUAAAAAGAUCGAAAGGUGACAUCUCAAGUCACCAACAUACUGAUGCACUGUUCGUUUGGUUCAUUGAAGUGAAGGCUUGCAGCUGUGCACCUGUUCGUGCUAUGCUUUCAGCUUUCGUGCGGUCAGACAAACAUGACAAGGGUGUGUACAGUGUACUGGUCAGUCAGACAUGAACAAUUGCUAGUACUCCCAGCGGUAACAACAGGCACUACCAGUCUACUAGGCUGUCCGAAUCGCGGCAUUUCCUCAUCUCGGAGAGACGAAGGCUUGACCAUCACUAUCGGAAUGAGCUCUGACGUGCUCAUGCGCAGCACACACCACAGAAAUUACAACAGCCAAACAACACAUGUGGCCAAUUUUCACACAUAACGAGAUAACAUCCCAAUCACAACUUUAUGAUAAACGAAAGCUUCCAUCCAGUUCACGGCAAAGAGAUUACUCAUCAUAAAUAAAUAGUGUACAAUAAAAUAUAUCACUGUUUACAAAUAUUAUUUCUAGCUUCAGCAUUUUACCACCUACCUACAAGCUACUGUAGCUACUAGCUUAGCUGAUUUGGCAUCAAAACAUGCACAAGUUCACUCGUCCUCCUCUAAGAUUUCAGUUAGCCCAGAGGAGAAUUGGUAAGAAUCCAUCAUAGGUGACAUGGAUUCAUCAUCACAGAAGAAUGUUCUUGGAGGCAUCUGCAGGCCAACAACGCCACCUUCAAGCAUCUCUAUGACCUCGCUCAUUGUCGGCCGAUCGUGAGACUUCAUCUGGAUGCAAUGUAGCCCUAUGAUGUACAGCUUCCACUCCAAUUCAUGCAUGUCAGCGGCAGUAGCAUCAGAUAUCUCACCAGCACUCACCUGUUGCUCGGUUAGCCGGUCAUACACCCACGACGGGUAGUAGGCCUGACUUGAGUUCUCUGCAUGCAUGUCUAAGUUCCUUCUUCCUCCAGUAUCUCCAGCAGCAGCAUUCCAAAGCUAUAGACAUCGGAUUUGCUCGAUAUAACGCCAAAGCUUCCAGAUAUCAUUUCAGGAGCAAUAUAACCUAUUGUUCCCCUUAAGGCGCCGAGCGGCACAAAACUAUUGUCCCUUGGGUACAGUUUGGCGAGGCCGAAAUCAGCAACCUUUGGAACAAAGUUGUCAUCAAGAAGGAUGUUAUGUGGCUUGAUGUCAUAGUGCAGUAUCUGCAUAUCGCAUUCUCCAUUAUGAACAUGACUCAAACUUUCAUAAAGAUAAAAACAAACAAGUCCACAUGGCGGACUCUUACCAUAUCUCUAAUUCAAACUGACAUUAAAUAUUCUAAUUAAUAGAUACAAUUUCCUUAAAUGAGCUCAAUCUCUAAACGGCAAUGUCAGUUAUUCCAAUCUAGGCCCAUGUCGAGCCCAAGUCAAGUUGUAUCGGCUGCUUGCCAUAUCGGCUUAAUCAUAUUCCGACUCUGUUUCCAGCCGAUGCGCAGUCCGUUUCUGGCAAGAUCCAAUCUUCAAUUUUGCCUCGAUAUCCAACUCCAAAUCUGAGUCUAUCUUGCCAAAUUUCACUGUUAACACCUAGCUACUGGCUAAUUUAGCUAUUCCAUCGCCCUCUUCUGAAAUUGCAGUAAGCUUGGAGGAGUGAAAGUAAGAAUCCAUGACUUGUGGAGGUGGCAUGCCAUUGCCAAUGCCAUCCCCAUCGCAGAAAAAUGGUCUCGGGGGCACUUGCAGCGCAUCCACACCCCCUUCGAGCAUCUCUAUUGCCUCACUCAUCGUCGGUCGAUCGUGUGAUUUCAUCUGAAUGCACCACAGCCCAACAAGGCAUAGCUUCCUCUCCAGCUCAUGCAUGUUAGCAACAUUUGAUAUCUCAUCAAAUUGUUGAUCUGCUAUUAGCUGGUCAUAAACCCAUGAUGGGUAGUACGCCUUACUUUUACUUGAAUCUGCAUUUGGGUCCACGUUUCUUCUUCCUCCAGCCAUCUCAAGUAGUAGCAUUCCAAAGCUAUAAACAUCUGAUUUGCUGGAUAUGACACCAAAACUCCGGGAUACCAUCUCAGGAGCCAUAUAACCCACUGUUCCCCGUAAAGCCCUGUCCGGCACAAAACUCUUGUCCCUCGGGUACAGUUUAGCGAGGCCGAAAUCAGCAACUUUCGGAACAAAGUUAUCAUCAAGAAGGAUGUUGUGUGGCUUGAUAUCAAAGUGUAGAAUCUACAUAUCACACCCUUGGUGCAAGUAGUUGAUCCCCCUAGCAAUGCCUAGAGCAAUCUCAUUGAUCUUGUCCCAUGAGAAACUUCUCUCAGACAAGUAAAUAUACUUGUCUAGAGAUCCUCUAGGCAUGUGUUCAUAAACUAGGGCCCUUCUCAUUUCCUCGGAGCAAAACCCCACAAGACGCACGACAUUAACAUGGUGAAUCAUGCCUAUGGUGGCAACUUCACUGAUGAAUUCUUCUCCAUUACAGUUGGAGUUGCCAUUCAGCAUCUUGACAGCCACAUGGAGAUCACCCGGGAGCAGCACACCCUUGUAUACAGAGCCAUAACCUCCUUGGCCAAGCUUCUCUCUGAAAUGGCCUGUGAUUGCAGUGAUAUCAGUGUAGGCAUACCUUGUCGGUCCGAGCAUUUGUUGCAUUCGGAGAAACUUCUCAACUGCAUCAAUUGUAACCCUUGUUUUCCAGUACUUGUGUGCAAGGAAAACCAAUACAGCCAAGGGCGUCAACAGAAACCUGCAUGUUGCUGUGUAGACAAGUUUGAUCAACUGGAACCAAUAAACUGCAAUUUAAGCCUAUAUAAUUCUGAUCGACGACUUACCUGCAAUCAUCUUCCAGAUCUGCAAGGCAUAUGCUAUUACAUAUAACAUUAUACCCAAAGGCAUACGGUAACGUGAUGGAAUUUGAUGAACGGGUAUGCAGAGCAGGAAAUUUGUAUCCGCCGAAAGAAUGGUACCAAACCAAUUGGUUUUGCCUGUACUAGUCGAUGCGCUGUAUGGAAGAACAAAAACGUCUGAUAUGAUAUCAAGAGCAGAUAUGCAUCGAUAUUUAUGUGAAAAAUAAAGGUGUACAGACGUCAAGAUCAGUAACUUACGGAAUCGAAUCCAUUGGGCAUUGCUUAAAGCUUCCAGUACGAUAUCUGAAAGGAAAUUGGACUCUGAAUCCUUUCCUCAUAGAUUUUACUACGUCUGCAUAGCUUAAGCUUAAGCUUUCAUUUACUGGUGCUACACUGUCCCGACCACCCAAAGGAGUCAUGGCUAGGUACCCACAAGAAGGCUCAAGGCUCUGAAUAAGAGCAGAUUUUUGGCCAGUUAACACAUAAACGAAGGAUCUGCUGGUGCUCAGGCAAGCGACAGGCAUGUACAUAAUCCAGCUACUAUUCUUUAUUUCCUGCGAACAAUUGACAAAGCUAGCUAUCCUAGUCCAUAGAACCUGGAACCUGGGCUCUCGAAGGGAAUUCCAUCGAGGAAGAGGGCAACUGCUAGGUGAAUCCGAGAUGUCAGCAUCAACGAUCAAGAAGGUAGAAUCAGUGUAGUUGAUGCCCGUCACAUAGUAUGUUCCGUUGUCAAUCUGAAUUGUAGCCUUGUCAUCGGCACAAUUGAGCUCGUACGACAGAACUCCGCACUCAGAUGGGUCACCUCGCCGGCGGAAAGGAGACGACACGCUGCUAAGAUUACCACAGGUGAACGGAGGGCAGCCAUGCCGAUGAUGCCGCCCACCUGCAUCUGGGACAAGAACUGCAAGCAAACACAGGACAGAAAUUACCCGCAGGAUAGCAGUAGUAGAGCAAUGAAACACACCAUGAAUCGCCAUGCCAGGUGGGCUUGUGCAGAGCCGGAUCUAGAUGGCCAAAUGACAUGAACAAUAAUACAAAGAAAUUUUUUUUUAGCUACCUGUCCUUGACUGUGAUGCUGUUGACUUGGAAACACUCGACAGAAGCGGAAGAGUCCAAGCGCAGCAUUCAGUUCCAGCAUUAGUCAGUCAUGCAUGGUUAUUUAUUGCUGAAAAAGACUGGACUAGUAGAAAUACGGCUGUGUUUAGUUCAGUGCAAAGUUUGGAUUUUGGUUGAAAUUAGAGAUGAUGUGACUGAAAAGUUGUGUGUGUAUGAUAGGUUGAUGUGAUGGAAAAGGACCGAAGUUUGGAUCCAAACUUUGGAUCUAAACACAGCCGUAUAAUCAUAUAGACUCACAAAGUCAACAAAUACAGCCACUGGAAGUUCCACCAACAGCUGCAAUUACCCGUCAACAAACCUUUAAAAAAGAUUAUCACCAGUCACUCCACUACCACCACAGAGCUUCACCAUGUCAACUUCACGAGUUGAUUUCAACAUCACCAAAAGAAAAAAAAACAAGUCGGAAUAAAAUCAGUUGUGGAAAAUCAAGGGCAUGCGGGAGCCAAAAAUGAUAAGGAAUACCUUUCGAAGAAAUAGAACAUGGCAAAAGUUUCAUUGGCACUGCUCAGAGCCUCAGACAUCAUGACAAGCACAGCAUCAAUUCACACCGAUAAAACAAGUGACCAUUUCUAAAGCACAGCCUUCUCAUUCACCUCCAUCUCAUCUCCAUUACACUGCAUGGACUUCACCAACCUUCUUAUCACGGUGCUCCUCCUACUCGCUCCUCUGAAAUACAAAUCUGAUGUUGCCACAGCAAGUGAUGAUGAAGACUUCUUCAAGACUUGUUCAUCACAUCGGUGCAGCAAGCAUGGACCAGAGAUCAGGUACCCGUUCCGGCUUUCGACACAACCUCCAUCAUGCGGCGCACCUGGGAUGCAAUUAUCAUGCUCUGGACAAGACACCAUCCUGGAUCACCCUGUUCUUGGUUCCUGCAAAGUGACAAUGAUAUAUUACAGGCAUGUUAUCAUGAACGCCAUCCCACUUGUAGAUUCCUCACCUCAUUGCCUACUUCACAAGUUUAUAUCAGUAAAUCAAUCAACUGCUGUGUACAGACCUCACACUUUAAAAGCUGCAAGUCUAGUAGGUUGUUCAAGAGAUUCCAUAGACACAAACCAAUAUAAUAGUAUAGUUGGCCCAACCUCUUGCCUCAGCCUCGCUAACAACGCAAGCCAGUUCUGGUAUUUGGCAUAUCCCUAUGAAUAUAUGUCUAUUCUUCCAUUGGGCUGCACAAUUGUUUCCAAAGACAUCCCAAUGCCCUACAGUUACGACAAAAAUGGUCCAAACUUUGACAUCUCAAUCUUCACCGAAACAGCAAAAAGAGUCAUCAGCACUGGUGAGACUGUAUUCACUUGGUACUCAAGUAACGUUACUAGUAUUUGCCAACAAUGUGAACAUGAAGGUCGGCGUUGUGGCUUUAGCUCUCAAAGGGAUCAAGCAUUCUGCCAGCAUCAUAGUAUGUCUCUUUCUCAAGUAUAAAUUCAGUUUCACUAUGAUGACUUGUUUUAGUUUGGAAUUCUCACUUCUCCAUCUAUUACAUCUCUUAUUUCUCGAGUAUUCAGUUUUCAAACUACCCAGGAUAUUUUUCACAAAUAGUCAAACUAUCCAGCAAACUGUGAAUCAGCCAAAGGCUAGCUUGGACGAACAUUUUGGUUCUAGGUUCACAACUGCAAUUUUUCUCAAAGAAAAUUUCAUCAAGAGACGAUAAUGUCUGAUCAUUAUGAAAAUCAAUUUUUUUUUGUAAAAUUCUCAUAGAAAAGGUUAUAAGCAAUUGCAGCACAUUUUAGCAUAUAGCAAUGAUCUAAAGAGCAAGCUUUAUUUGUAUUACUCUAGACAUUGGUAUUAACUUAGAACAUUAAAUUAGAUUCAUAUGGUUCAAAUUUACUAGUUUGGAAUACUGUAAUAGCUAAUUGAACAUUAAAGUUAGAUGCAAAUGGCACCAAUUUACUAGUUUGGAUUACUGUGGGAGGUACUACGGCGAGAGUAGUAUCUCAAUUAGACCUUUUGAUGCUAGAGAUGCACUUGAUAGUGCAGUGGCAAGGGGUGUAUGGUUUUAACCCCGAGGUCCCGUGUUCAAUCCCUAACACGUUCACAAUUUCUUCUUAAAAAAGUUUGGAGGGACGUCUCUCCCUCCAAAUCUCCUUUUUUUUAGACCUUUUGGUGCUAACACCAUAGUCCUGAUUGUUAGAAAGUUGCACCCAUCGAGUAAUCAAGAAUGUACCAGCAUAAUUUACAGCAUUAACAAGUUCCCACAGUUUUAACAGGGUAGAAACCAGAACAUAUCCAUCUUACACAACGUUGAUACGAAAGUUGUGCACAUGCAUAUUUCCAGCGAUGCUCUGUAAGAUUAUUGAAUUAGGUAGUUUCUUCCUCCUAGGCACUAUAGAUAAAAAUGUUUUACUUCUAUGGUUAAGACAAGAAGCCUCCUUAUCCUAUUUCUAUAUGACAAUGCCAAAUAAACAAGCCAUCUAACAAUCAGGAAUUAAUUGUUUCUAGGAAAAAUUAUAGGUGUUUCUCUCGAUUUAUUUCAUCCAUAAAUCAUGUCAUAACUAAUAACCUUUCUUCCUAUGUCCAGGUCCGCGUGUCACAAUCAUUGCAGGUAAGCAACUAAUUUUUUUUCUUCAUUCUUCCUGAACUGCUCAUUCUGUAGAAUCAUUGCCUUUUCUCCAAGUGCAACUAGCUGAAUUUCUCUCUUUUUUUACUCAGUAACAUCAUCUGUAGGCACAUUUAUAGUUCUUUCAUUAAUUGUGGCCACUGCACUCUACAUCUCCUUGAAGUCAAGGUACAAUGAAGAGAUACAUUUGAAAGUCGAAAUGUUUCUGAAGACAUAUGGCACAUCAAAACCCACAAGGUACACAUUCUCCGAAGUUAAGAAGAUAGCAAGGCGGUUCAAGGACAAAUUGGGCCAUGGUGCAUUUGGAACUGUAUAUAAAGGUGAGCUACUGAAUGGAGUUCCUGUGGCUGUUAAGAUGCUAGAAAACUCUGUAGGAGAGGGACAAGAGUUCAUCAAUGAAGUCGCAACCAUUGGGCGAAUUCACCAUGCAAACAUUGUCCGCCUCCUAGGCUUUUGCUCUGAAGGAACACGGCAGGCUUUAAUAUAUGAAUUCAUGCCCAAUGAAUCAUUGGAGAAAUAUAUAUUCCCACAUGGUUCUAAUAUUUCAAGAGAACUUCUAGUACCAGACAAAAUGCUAGAUAUUGCAUUAGGCAUCGCCCGAGGAAUGGAGUACCUGCACCAAGGGUGCAAUCAGCGCAUUCUCCAUUUUGACAUCAAGCCUCACAACAUACUGUUGGACUACAGCUUCAAUCCAAAGAUUUCAGACUUUGGGCUUGCCAAGCUAUGUGCAAGAGAUCAAAGCAUUGUCACAUUGACUGCAGCAAGAGGCACAAUGGGCUAUAUUGCACCAGAACUAUAUUCUCGGAAUUUUGGAGCAAUUUCAUAUAAGUCGGAUGUCUACAGCUUUGGCAUGCUGGUGUUAGAAAUGGUGAGUGGGAGGAGGAACACAGAACCAACCGUUGAGAACCAAAAUGAGUUCUACUUUCCUGAGUGGAUAUAUGAGAGAGUUAUGAAUGGGCAGGACCUGGUGCUUACCAUGGAGACAACACAAGGCGAGAAAGAAAUGGUGAGACAGCUAGCUAUUGUAGCGUUAUGGUGCAUUCAGUGGAACCCAAAAAACCGGCCCUCAAUGACAAAGGUGGUAAACAUGUUGACGGGGAGGUUGCAGAAUCUGCAGGUGCCCCCUAAGCCCUUUACAUCGUCUCAAAAUCAACUUGUGAUUUAGAUCAUGAGACCGCAUCGCCAUGGUUUGGACUUUGGAGACCAGCAAAGCAAUGGAGCUUGGCCAGCAUUUCCUAUAAAAAGGCAUCACCAUGGUUUGGUGCCUGAGUGAGAGAUAUGCUUAAUCCACAUAUCAGAAAAUAGUUCUUAGUGAGCUGAAGCAUGCACAUAUAGUGUUUGAUUAUUAAACUAAACUGGGCAACCAGAUAUAUGAUAUAUCACCAUGUACUCUUGUAAUUUGCAACAUAUCUCAAUGGAUUUAAUUUGCAAUAUAAUAAUAGUUGGAAGAUGACAACUAAAUUACCUUAUUCCAUCGUUGAUGCUAGUCCACUAAUCAUCCUUGCUGAACACCAACAAUAAGGUCAUAUUUACUCCCAGUGCUGCAUUUUCUUUUCAAGAUAAAAAAAGAAGUGCUGCAUCAUCCAGAAGAGGAAAAAAAAUAAAAAUAACAAAGGAAGGAAGCUAAGCAAAGGGAUUAUUACCAAGGCAGCGAGGCUCUGGAUGGACAUGGACUAAUAAUGUGGGAGACGGAGGUGGUGUGAGCGACUUGAGAAGACGAAACAUGUGGCAUCAGGCUUGGUGGAUUCGACCGGAUCUUUGCCGGCCGUCAGCGCCACCAUUGAAGACACGGUAGCAACAACAGAUGGCGCCAUGGCGGUACGGGCGACGGCGAGGCUUGGUCACGCACUCUCGCAUAUGCCGGGAGGAAACGGCAGCUUACCCAUCUGUCUACGGAGGCGAGAAGCGGCGGCGGAGGCGGCUCGCGGAACGGCAUACCGCCGCAUUAACCGGAGCUCUCGCCGGGAAUAGUGGUGAGGGACGGAGGAAGAAGAAGGGGAUUUUUUUUUUUUUGUUGGAGAGAGGGAGAAGGGGAUGAUUGCUCGGCCACAGGCCGGUUAGGAUGGCCCACCUAAUCCCCCGCGGCCCAUGAACGGUGGAUUGAUCUGACGGUUCACAUGUAGCCCAAUUCACGAGCAAAUAUAAUGCGGAAUAAGUUCACCAGAGGUCCCUCAACUUAACAGCGUGAUUUUUUUGAGGUCCCUUAACCACAAAACCAGAAAUGUCUACCCCUAAACUUACUCAAACCGUUCACCAGAGGUCCCUCGGCGGUAUUUUUGCCCGGUUUUGCUGACGUGGCAUCCUAGUCAGCAAAAAAAUUUAAAAAAAGUACGUAGAGCCCACAUGUCAGCUGCACAUCUUUUUUUCUUCUCUUUUCUUCUCCUUCUCUUCUCUUUUCUUCUCUCCCCUCUCUUCUCCUUCAGGCUGGCGGCGGACGCAGCUGCGAUGGCCGUGCUCGGCCGCCACCACCGCCGUACCCCCGCGGGUGGCCGACGAUGCUAGGAGAGGCACCACCGGCGGGAGAAGGGGAAGAGGCAGAGGAAGAGAUUGUUUCUUGGUCGCCGGCCGCCUCCCCCUCCCUCCCAAACUCGCUGGCCGCCGCGCUCGCUCGCCGCUGCUCUGCCGCGCGCUCGCGCUCCGCUACUCUGUCCGCGGCCUGCUCGCGCUCCACUGCUCGACCCGCCGCUGCGCUCGCACCUUCCGCUGCUCCGUUGCCACGCUCGCCCUCGUUGCGCCGCCCGCAUCCGUGCUCGCCGCUCCGCCGCCGCGCUCCGCUGCCUCCGCUCAGCCGCCGGACGACCGCACCGCGUAGCCUCGCCCAUGGCGACGACGACGGUAGAGAGCCGAUGACGACGGCGGCCACGGCGCGCGGCUCCUCCGUCCGCAGCCUGAAGGAGAAGAGAAGAGAGAGAAAAGAAAAGAAAAGAGAAGAGGAGAGAAGAAGAAAAAAAGAUGUGCAGCUGACAUGUGGGCCCCACGUGUUUUUUAAAAUUUUUUUUGCUGACUAAGAUGCCACGUCAGCAAAACCGGGCAAAAAUAUUGCCAAGGGACCUCCGGUGAACGGUUUGAGUGAGUUUAGGGGUACACAUUUCUGGUUUUGUGGUUAAGGGACCUCAAAAAAUCUCGCUGUUAAGUUGAGGGAACUCCGGUGAACUUAUUCCAAUAUAAUGCUCCAACUUAUAUUCACUGGAGCCAGCAGCCAGUACUCCCUCCGUUUCAUAUUAGAGAUUUGCUUCAGUCCAGCAAAAAAAACCUUGAGAUACCGGUGUCUCGCAGUACUAAAUCGUUUUUAUCUUAGAUAUAGUUGGCAGGAUGGGCAUUGUUACCUCCUUUCACUUUUUUCCGAAUUUUUUUUGAAAAUAAUAUUAUUUUAAUGGAAAAUCGCAAAAUUAUAGGUCGGCUAGACGAAAUCGCAAGUUUAGCGCCCUGUCGAACUGGGGCAGUUCGAUAGGUACCCCUGUCGAACUGGGGCAGUUCGACAGGGUACUGUCGAACUGGGGCAGUUCGACAGGGUACUGUCGAACUGGGGCAGUUCGACAGGGUACUGUCGAACUGGGGCAUGCUAGUUGUCCAAGAAAAAAAAUAAAAAAGUACUUGCUACAGUGCCCGAUAGGGACGUAUCGAACAGGGGGAGUUCGAUAGGGCGCGUGGCAUGGACGUAUCGAACAGCGGAAGUUCGAUAGGCAGUGUCGCUACAGUGCCGCUACAGUGUGCGCUACAGUGUGCUACAGUGUUUUUCCUUUUUUUUAAGUUAUUUUAUUACCUGUCGAACUGGGGCAGUUCGACAGGUACCCUUUCGAACUGGGGCAGUUCGACAGGUACCCUUUCGAACUGGGGCAGUUCGACAGGUACCCUUUCGAACUGCCUCCGUUCGACAGGGUGCUAAACUUGCGAUUUCGUCUAACUGACCUAUAAUUUUGCGAUUUUCCAUUAAAAUAAUAUUAUUUCCAAAAAAAACUCCUUUUUUCCUAGUCAAGUUUGACUAAGAUUAUAAAAACAAUUAGGAACAUCUAAAAUACCAAACUAGUUUCAUAAAAUUUAACAUUGAAUAUAUUUUGAUAAUAUGUUUGUUUUGUGUUGAAAAUAGUACUCCCUCCGUCCCAAAAUAUAAGCAUUUUUAGCAUAGUGUCAAGUCAAACAUUUUUAACUUUAACUAUUAAUAGGAAAAAAUAAAAAAAAAGAUCUAUCAAGUAAAAUUGAUGUUACUAGAUUUAUUAUUAAACAAACUAUCGUAAUAUGCAACUCUUUUUAUUUAAAACAUUUUACUUUUAUAGAUAUUGUUGGUCAAAAUAGUAUCUCGAAGACCGUGUCGAAAUCCAAAAAUGCUUAUAUUUUGGGACGGAGGGAGUAAUAUAUUUUUCUAUAAACUUGGUCAAACUUGAUUAAGAAAAAAAAAUCAAACGACUUAUAAUAUAAAACGAAGGGAGUACAAAACACUUGCUUAUUUAUAGUAGUAUUUCAUACAAAAAAAAUAAAUUUAUGCAUUAGUAUCUAUCAAUUGUUGGAUCCAUGAAUAUGGAAUAAUAACAACCAUUAUUUAUGAACGCUAAUUGCUAGCUAGAUACAUCAUUUUCAUCACAGCCUAACUACUGGCUAAUUCAGCUAUUCCAUCGUCCUCUUCUGAAAUUGCAGAAAGAUCGGAGGAGUGAAAGUAAGAAUCCAUGACUUGUGGAGGUGGCAUGCCAUCCCCAUCGCAGAAAAAUGGUCUCAGAGGCACUUGCAGCGCAUCCACACCCCCUUCGAGCAUCUCUAUUGCCUCACUCAUCGUCGGCCGAUCGUGUGAUUUCAUCUGAAUGCACCACAGCCCAACAAGGCACAACUUCCUCUCUAGCUCAUGCAUGUUGGCAAAGUUGGAUAUCUCAUCAACUUGUUGAUCUGCUAUUAGCUUAUCAUAAACCCAUGAUGGGUAGUAUGCCUUACUUGCACUGGAAUCUGCAUUUGGAUCUGCAUUCCUUCGUCCUCCGACCAUCUCAAGCAGCAACAUUCCAAAACUGUAAACAUCAGACUUGCCAGAUAUGAUGCCAAAGCUCCGGGAAACCAUCUCAGGAGCCAUAUAACCCACUGUUCCUCGUAAAGCCCUAUCUGACACAAAGCUCUUGUCCCUUGGGUACAGUUUAGCGAGGCCGAAAUCAGCAACUUUUGGAACAAAGUUAUCAUCAAGAAGGAUGUUGUGUGGCUUGAUGUCAAAGUGUAGAAUCUGCAUAUCACACCCUUGGUGCAGGUAGUUGAUCCCCCUAGCAAUGCCUAGAGCAAUCUCAUUGAGCUUGUCCCAUGAGAAUCUUCUCUCAGAUGAGAAGAUGUGUUUGUCUAGAGAUCCCCUAGGCAUGUACUCGUAAACCAAGGCCCUUCUCAUUUCCUCGGAGCAGAACCCCACCAAACGCACAACAUUAACAUGGUGAAUCCUACCAAUGGUGGCAACUUCACUGAUGAAUUCUUCGCCGUUGCAAUUAGAGUAGCCAUUCAGUAUCUUGAUAGCCACAUGGAGAUCACCCGGGAGCAGCACACCCUUGUAUACAGAACCGUAGCCUCCUUGGCCCAACUUUUCUCUGAAAUGCCCUGUGAUUGCGAUAAUGUCGGUGUAGGCAUACCUUGUCGGACCGAGCAUUUGUUGCAUUCGGAGAAAUUUCUCGACUGCAUCAAUUGUUAUCAUUCUUUUCAAGUACUUUUGUGCAAGGAAAAUCAAUACAACCAAGGGUGCCAACAGAUACCUGCAUGGUGCUGCGUACACAAGUUCGAUCGGUUGGAAUCAAGAAAUUGUAACAUGCGUAUAUAACUAGAUGAAACACUAGAAACAAUUGAGAUGAUGUGGGUUUAUAAGAAAAGAUAGAAAUAACAUUAACUAUUAAUGGGAUAAAUUAUAUAGGGUAGGGACGUAGGGUCCUGGUCGAUGACUUACGUACGUGCAAGCAUCGUCCAGAACAUCAAGGCAUACAAUAUUAUGCCCAAGAGUAUAUUGUAUGGCGAUGGAAUUUUAGCAGUUGCGCAAUCCAUGAAAUUUUCAGUCACCGAAAGACUAAACCAAUCUGAAAGUUUGCCUAUACCAGUCGAUUUGCUGCAUGCAAGAACAAAGACGGAUAGAUUCAGGCAUAUAUAAAUGGAGGGGAGGUCGGAGGAAUGUGCAAUCAGAUAUUAUGUCAAGAUCAGGAACUCACGGAAUCGACUCCAUUAGGCAAUCCUUGAAGCUUCGAUUUCUAUGGUGUCUGAAAGGAAAUUGGACGCGGAAUCCUUUCCUCAUGAAUUUUACUACGUCUUCAUAACUUAAGCUAUCAACUGCUGGUGCUACACGACCCAUACCAUCCAAAGGAGUCAUGGCUAGGUAACCACAGGAAGGCUCGAGGUUUUCAAUGUAACAGGACAAUCUGCCAGUCAAGACAUAAACGAAGGAGCUGCUGGUGCCCAUGCAAGCAACAGGACUGUACAUAACAUUGUUGUUUAUUUCCUUGGAACAGUUGACAAAGAAAGACCACCAACGUGAAGCAGGGUCCAAUUCGACUUGGAUGUUGUAUGGCGAUGAUUCUUCGUCGUCACUACUAACAUCAUCAUAGUAAUAAGGAAUGCGUUUCCAGCGAGGAAGAGGGCAAUUGUUACGUGAAUCCGAGAUGUUGGCGUCGACAACCCAGAAGGUGGAAUCACUGUAGUCGAUGCCUGUCACAAAGUAUGUUCCGUUGUCGAUCUGAAUUGUAGCCUUGUCAUCGGUGCAAGUCAGCUCAUACGAUGCAACACCGCACUCGUAGCCUCGCCGGUGGAAAGGAGACGCGACUUUGCUAAGAUGGCCGCAGGUGAACGGAGGGCAUGCAGGUAUUCCAUGAAUUAAAGGCCAUUCUAUAUCCGGAUCUGGGACGACAAAUCGAAGCACACACAGGACAGAGAAAACUUGCAGGGCAGUCGAGCGACGGAAGAACGGACCAGGAAUCACCAUGGUGUGGUGUAGCAGCUAGCUUAGCUAGUUCGCCCAAGCAGAGCAUGCAGGAGCUAGGUAGUGACACGGAUGAUAUUACAAGUGUCUAUCUCCGCGCGGUGCGUGCACUGUAUGUAAGCAGUGUAACUAGAGUUUUCCAAGCAAAUAAAUUUAGCUAAAAAGCAACACUUCAUGUCCUUGACUGUGAUGCUGUUGACUUGGAAGUCUUUGAUGACACGAAGCAGAUUAGUCUAAGGCGUAGCAUUCAGUUCCACAAGAGUCUACCGUGCUGCAUCGGUCACCGUUUAUUGAUGUUGCCGAAAAAGAUUGGUCAAAGUGCACACAUUACCAGUCGCCCGCUAUCACGAGCCUUAUCAUUAGGGGAACAGUGCUUCACGGGUUAAUUUCAAAAGCCCCCAAAGCUAACAUAGUGUAUUCUUCUAAAACUAUCUUAACAGGACGCGACUACACCGAGAGUGCUAGCUAUAUGGUGCUAAAGAGAGACACCUUUCUUUCCAAAAAAAAAAAGCUACUUAUACACUCAAUAUCUAUGUAUUUUUUUCCUUCUUAGAGAAGUUUCUCUUAAAUUACUUAUCUGAUUUAUAAUCCGAUUACGCCGUUGUGUUUAUUGCAAUUAAAUCUUUACAACAAGAUCUCACAUGAUUAUAUUUUGAUGAAAAAUCACAAAUUACUUUUAUGAUAUGUCUAAAUUACGUUUACAUUUCACUAAGUUACUUCUUAAACUAUAAAAGUAAAUUCAGUAAGUCUAAAAGUAAUUUAUAUAUAUUAUAGAAGUAACUUAGAACAAACGAAGAUAACUUUGGCAUGUUAUUUGAAGUAAAUCCGUUGUAUAGAUAAAAACAUGACUCUAUCUAAAAAUUAAAUUAAUCAGCACAAAUUAUGGAAUUUACUAAAAAGUCAUAUUUUAUCCCUACAACGAAUUUACUUCUAAUGUCGUGACAAAGUUACUUACGUUUUGUUUUAAGUUACUUUUAGAAUAUAUGUAAAUUACUUUUAGACUUUAUUGAAUUUACUUUUAUGUCUAAGAAGUAAUUUAGUCCAAUCUUGUCACGUCCUGAUAAAUUCAUCCCGAAAUAAAAAUCAUCUUCUAAAAGGAAUAAUAGAAUUAAUUAAAAUUCGAAAAGAAAUUGGCAAACCUUAAAAUACGUACAAGAAAAAUUCAAAUGUGACCCGGAGAAUUUUUGUUAAAUUCUCCUUGGUCUAAAAGGAGCCCUCAAAUUUUAGUGGAAUUUUCAGAGCACAAAUAAUAAUUGAGAAGAAAUAAACAAAGUUGAAAAGGUUUAUAAAAAGAAAAACCCUAAAAGAAGUCUUCUUUCCCCCCCUUUCCCUUCUUGGGCCGGCUCGGCCCACUUCUCUCCCUCCCUCUUUCUCCUCUCCCCCGCGGCCCAUCGGCCUCCCCCGCGCGAGCGCCGCUGACAGGCGGGCCCGCCCGCCACCCUCGCUGACGGGUGGGACCCACCUGUCAUCGCCUACCUCCCGCCGCGCCGCCGCCGCGCCCGUGCCCUAGCGCCGCCGCCGCCGCGGAUUCCGCCGCAUCCCGCCUUCCCCGCGCGCCUUAAUGAGGGGGGAAUCAUUCCCCGCGAUUCCCUCUCCCGUUUCCCCCGCUUUUCCCUCUCUCUCUCCCUCGGAUUCGUUCGAAUCGCGCCCGCAAUCCUCGCCGACGUCAUCAAUGGAGCCCGAGAACUCCGCGGCCGGUUUCCUUUCUCUCCGGCCGCCUUCUCUCCCUUCCGACGCUAUAAAAUCGUCCCUCGUGCUUCGCUCUUCCGUUUCCGCCACUCGCCGCUCGCUCUCGCCGUCGGUUUCGUGCCCGCGCCGUGCUCCUCUCUCUCCGCCGUCGCCGCCGAGCUCCGUUUCGCCGCCGUCGUCGCUCCGGUCCUCCUCCCGACUCGGCGCCACCUCCAUCGGCUUCGCCGAGUGAUUGCCGACCCCGUCCGCCGCUCCGCUUCGCCCGCCGACCGCCGGAGCACCGUCGUCAUCGUCAUCCCGAACCGCGCCGCCGCUUUCCUCCGCUCCGGCCGCCGUUCUCGUCGUCGUCGUUGUCCCGGGGUGAGCCGAAGACCGCCGUUCGCUUUCCCCCUUCUCUCCGCUCUCUCGGGCGCCGCUCCGCCGCGCCGAUGGUCGCCGGCGGUGACCAUCGGGGCGCGGGCGCGUCCCCCUCCCGUCGGCCGUGCCGGCGAGGCCGCCUUCGGGCGCGCCCUCGCGGCUGCCAAGUGGGCCCGGCCGUCAGCCGCCCGCGCCCGGUCCACCGUGGACCGAGCGGCUGACGCGUGGGCCCCCACUCCCGUGGACCCGGUCCGCGCGCCCUCCCUCGGCUGACGCAAUAAAUGGGAUUUUUAAUUAAAAUUUAAAUGAAGAAAUUCGCAAAUAUCCAUUUAAAGAGCAUAUAAACUUCAAAUGGCCAUAACUUGGCCAUUUGAACUCGGAAUUGGACCGUUCAAGUCUCUAAUUUUUCCUUAAGAAGUCAAGAACCCAUUUUUGUGCUUUGUUCCUGCUUGUUGUAUGGAGUUUAUUAGAGUAAAAGCCUUUUCUUUUCCGUUGGUCGUGUAGACGCUGCAGCUUCGGAAGAUCCGCUCUUCGUGGAAGUUGAAGCCGACGUUUGGGAAAGCGAGCAAGGCAAGUCACAUCACCCUUGAGCAUAUUGAAUCCCAGUUUAUAAAAUUAUUUUGAUUUAAAUUAUUGUAUUAUCGCUUUGUUUAAAUUCCCGCGUUACCACUGUUUUAUUUAGCCAUGCCUAUUUACCUUUGUUAUGACAUUAUUAUUGCUAUUGUUAUUAUUACCUUGUUCACCCUAGGAAAAUAAAAACCCCAACUAGUGGGUACUCUAUUCAUGGUUCCACUAGUAUAAAUUUAGGUAGAUGCUUCGCUGAAUAAUUAGGCAACAUUAGGUGGUUUUAUAACUUUAGACUUUGGGAAUUCUCAUAUCAUUUGGACACUAUGGAAUUGUUGGAUUAUGGUGGAAUUGGACAUACACCUCUCUUCCUCUUUCAAAACCCCUAAAACCUGUUUUCGGUGGGGUUUGGGUGCAUGCCAGUUGUGGGAAGUAGCACCCCGGCCACUAUAAGGAUUAAGCUCGGGCCUCUGUUGCAAAGCACUACCGUACUAACCACAUGUCUAAUGGGUAAGGCUUAACUCGGUGCUCAGUCUAGUCCUGAACAAAAGGACACGGAUAGAGAUGGAUGAAGUCGUUGCGACGAUGGAUAUCUCUGAGGCAAAUGAAGGCUACGCGAGCUGCGGCUCGGUAAUCGAGAUGUCUAGGCAAAUGAAGACUACACGGGUCGGUGCCCGUUAGUCGAGAUGCCAUGGCACUGGACUAGUACGCGGGUGGUCUCACCCCUAUGUGUGUGGCGCACCCGGUCUAGAUCUUGUUGCUAGGGGCUCAACCCUGGCCUGCCUGUCCCGGGAUACCGGCCGUAGGCAGGGUUGGGUCGGUACUUUUGUUCACGGCUAGGAUGGGUGAAGGGUUAUGUCACAUCUUUACGACGGGUUCCAAGGCCAUGGAAUGCGGAGUAAAGAUGUGUCUUGUGGGUAAAGAUGUACACCUCUGAUCAGAGUAAAUCUAUUCGAAUAGCCGAGCCCUCGGAUAUGGGCAAGCCUAGCAAUGUACCCAAGUCAGUGUUUUAAUUCUUAAAAUUUGCUCAACAACUAAAAUAUGGAAUGGUUGGCCUGGGUUGGCUUGGGACGAGCUGGAACCCAGGUCGGGUUGCCAGUUCGGUCCAAACUAUCGUAGGCCUUGGGUUAAGGCAGGUUCGUGAGGGUUCACGGCCUUGUUUAAUAAUACUGUGUAGCUCUAGGAUCGUCUUUACAAAAUGGCUUUGGGCAACUAAGUGACUUUUAAAUGCUGUUUACUGCAAAACCUAACCCCUAUUAUUAUCCCCUUGUACCCCCCCCUUGCAUUAAUCAUGCAUCUGCCGGUGUGGCUUGCUGAGUACUGUGGUUGUACUCAUUCUUGCUCAAUCCUUCCCCUCUUCAGUAAGAGAAGCUUUGGAGAAGAUGUCUUAGGUGGAGUCCUGGCUUAUACCCCAGUUGAGCGCCUGUGAAGAUGGAGCCGUAGGCCCGCUAGUCCGCUGCUGUUUAUUUUUGAUUGUCAGGCCUUAAGUGCCUUUGUAAUAAUGUAAAUAUUAUCGAUAUAAUAAAGAUGUGUCUUUUAUAUCAUGUUUGUGUGGUGUACCCCGGCUUUUCCUGGGACGGGGAUUAAUACACUAGCGUUCGGGAAAAGGCAAUUUUCCCGGUCGCGACAAAUCUAAAAGUAACUUAUAUAUAUAUAUGAUAAAAGUAACUUAUGUAUAUAAUAAAAGUAAUUUACAAAUAUAAUUUUUUUUUCAUCGUAAGUGAAGAUUUAAUUGUAACGAACAUAAUAGCGUAAUCGGAUUGUAGAUCAGAUAAGUAAUUUGAGAGGAAACUUUAUUUGAACAAGAAAAAGGCACCCACGUGAACUUUAUUUGAAAGGAAAAAGACAUCCCCGUGGAUGGACAUCAUGACGACGUGCACAGUUAGACGGCUCUCAGAUGCGUCGUGCUAUAGAGCUAAACCGAGAACGCUCUCGAAAUAGAUUUCGCGAUCUUAAUAGUAUACUUCCUCCGUUUCAUAAUAUAAGCCAUUUUAACAUUGUCCAUAUUCAUAUAGAUAUUAAUAAAUCUAAAUAUAUAUAUGAAUGUAAACAAUGCUAGAAAGUUUUACAUUAUUAAAUGGAAGGAAUAAUAAAUGAUGUAUACUGCUUAUGCACGUUCCUAUAAAAAGGCAUCGCCAUGCAUGGUUUGGUGCCUGAGCGAGAGAAAUGGUUAAUCCACAUAUAGUAAAUUAGUUGUCAGUGAGCUGAAGCAUGCACAUAUAGUGUUUGAUUAUUAAACUAAACUGGGCAACUGGGUUUGUGAUAUAUCAACAUGUACUCAUGUAAUUCUGGUAGCUAGCAACAUAUCUCAAAUUCUCAAUGUAUUUAAUUUGCAAUAUAAUAAUAGCUGGAAGAUGACAACUAAAUUACCUUAUUCCAUCGUUGCUGCUACUCCACUAAUCAUCCUUGCUGAAGACCACGAUAAGGUGUGGUAUUA
This 109329-nucleotide long non-coding RNA is filed under the name Oryza sativa (Asian cultivated rice). RNAcentral's name for it is "long non-coding RNA (OSAT_LNC000114)". The stretch from base 101153 to 101248 matches the Rfam family "MIR439 microRNA precursor family". Lineage: Eukaryota; Viridiplantae; Streptophyta; Magnoliopsida; Poales; Poaceae. The record is from RNAcentral.